UUUGGACAUUGAUGGACCUUCAACUUCUCCAAACGAGGGAAUAAGAAAUAAUCACACCAUCCGAAACUAAAACAGACAAUACUUGAUAAUUGUUGUAGCGACAACUCCUUUAGAUUAGGAAGCACUAUCUCCUUCUCAACGUUGAUAGGUGAAGCUUGAUCAUCCUGCCCAGGAGACUCUGGAAUUAUUUCCCUUUUACCAUCCUCUUCUCUGAUUAUAUGCUUCAAUUGACCGCAUUUACUUAUGGAAAGCCUUUCUAGCUUUGGCAGACUUUGUGUGAGGGACGGUGUGAAGAUAAAUGGCAGUUUGUCGAGAGAAUCCAAACUCAGAAUAUUAAGACUUUGGAGGCUGACAUGUCCGGUGGGCCCCUUCCAUAUGCAUUUGACCUCAGGUAACCUUCGCAGCUCUAACUUUGUUAAAGAUGACAGCAGCUCCUUCUCCUCACUGCUUCCUUCAUCAGCCUCACCUAAUUCAAAUACCUCUUCCAAUGAUUUGCAGCCGCCAACAAUCACCUCCUUUAGAUUGUUCAAAGCUCGCAGCAAUUUUGCUGGAAACGGAGCGCGAACAUCCCCACAAUCGUCCACUUGUACAAUUUCUAAUCUUUGUACGGAGCCGUUUUGCUGCACAUGGCCGGCCAUCUUAUCAGAGAACAAUAUUAUAUUUUUUCACUCUCAUAAAAACAAUUUAUAUGAUGUAUAAAUAGGAGAAAAAAGAAGAAAAAACAGGAUUACAUACUUUUUAGAGGUUACAUAUUAUUGUUUCAGUUUUUUUCUUAAUUAGAGAUAAGUUAAAUAAUAAUUAGAUUUUUUGCGAAAAAAGGUUACUACAACUCCUAAUAAUUAGUUUCAUGUAAAAAAUAAAAAUAAAAAUAGUAACUAAUAUUUUUACUUUAGUUAAAAAGUUAAUAAAUUUUUAAAGAUAUUUUAACUGAAUUAAAUAUUUGAACACAAAAUAAGCUAAUAAUAAUUAGUUUCAUGAGGCAGUUAAAUCUAACAGAUAAUAUGUUCUUUCAUAUGAUUAAUUUUUAAUAACGCAGACAACAAUGAGGCAGUUAAGUUCUUAUAUUUAUAUAUGUUUAGAUAAAAAUAAAAAUGAGCAUUUAUCAAUUACUUUACUUUUAGAAAUUGGGAGGAAGAGAGAAUAAAUUAUCGCAAUUGACAAUUUAAAUUAAGUGGAGAAAUAUAAAUUACGUACUUGUAGCUGUGCCAACCAAUUACCCACUCCUUCGUGGCCUCCAAUGGUUAAGUCUUGCAAAGGCAAUUGAGCAUCAAAAUUCCUUGGACCUAAAAAGCUGUAAUUUGAUCUGAGCCGAAGAGACACUUGUCUUAGGUGAGGGAACUUGAUGAUGCCAUCUCUGUUACGAGACAAAGAGACUGGGAAGACAUAUUCCAGUUUACCACAGUGAGAUAUGAAGAGAGUUUUUAAUAGUGGGAAGCAAGGAGACUCUGGAAUUAUUUCCCUUUCACCAUCCUCUUCUCUGAUAAUAUGCUUCAAUUUACCGCAUUCAUUUAUGUAAAGCCUUUCUAGCUUUGGCAGACUUCGAGCGAGGGACGGUGUGAAGAUAAAUGUCAGUUUGUUAAGAUUCCAAACAAGUAGACGAGCAAGAUUUUGGAGGCUGACAUGUCCGGUGGGCCCCUUCCAUAUGCAUUUGAGCUCAGGUAACAUUUCCAGCUGUAACUCUGUUAAAGAUGACAGCAGCUCCUUCUCCUCAGUGCUUCCUUCAUCAGCCUCACCCAAUUCAAAUACCUCUUCCAAUGAUUUGCAGUUGUAAAUGUCCACCUCCUUUAGAUUUUUUAAACCUUGCCGCAAUUUUGCUGGAAACAGAGUGAAAACAUCCCCACAACUGCUCACUUGUACAGAUUCUAAUUUAUGUAAAAACAAUUGCUCAAAUGUCUUCGCAUUUAAGGAUGUACCAACCAAAUUUAAUCUUGUCGAGGUUGGGUAUCCAUAAUUGGGCAGAAUCCGAUUCCCAAAUAUUAUAUGAUAUUUGCGCAAACUAACUGGAAAAACAAAAUCUCUGGGAAUGCAUUCAACCUUCGGUAUCCACAAUGAUAAUACGGCUAACUGAGACAACGAAUUUAGUUCUGUUAGGCUUGCAUUCAUUCCUCCUGUGCUGUCACAUCCACCAACAACAUCCCAUCCCUGAAAGCUUUCAUCCCCGAUCAACAGCUCUUCUAACUUCUUCAACCUUCCAAUCAAAUUCACAGGGAUCCUUCUUAGCAUUUCACAACCUGUCACAUCCAACAACCUUAACUCCUUGAGCUCUCCUAUUUCAUCAGGUAAUUCUUCAAUGGAUAAGCACCACGUAAGAACAAGAAUCUUAAGUCUCUGCAGCUUUCUCAACCAAAUGAGGUCCUUGCAUCCACACCUGAUCAACACCAACGAUUGAAGUUUCGUUGAGAGUUCAAGUGAUUGCAAUGACAAACACCCUCCCUUCAGAGACAAAACUUCAAUUUCUUUCAUCCCUUCGAAAAACUUCUCUGGAACAUUCAUACCAUCAUCCAGUUCUAAUAAUAGAACUUUGAGCUGUGGGCAUACCAAUCCUUCAGGAAGUUUUGCUAGUUUAUUGCCCAUUAACGAAAUUGUUGUACAACCUUCAAAGCUUUUAUUGCUCAUUGGCCACUCCUUCAACCCAAUGCCAACCUUUACCAUGAAUCCAUAUUCUUCUGAUGAUGCUAUCUGAAUAGCAACAUCACGAACCAAGUCAUGCAUUCUCACAUGUUCUUCAGUUUCAGUGCCCAGCAACAAACAACAAGCUUUGAGGUAUUCGAUUGCCACAUGAACUUGUUCCCUUGCAUCUUCAAUGGGCUCCCCAUCUUGAUGUAGCCCAUAGCCAACUGCAUAUCUCGUCAAGUCCUCGAUUGGAAUGUUGUAAUCUUCUGGAAAUAAACAGCAUAGCAAGAAACAUAACUUGGUUUCCUUGGACUUCAAAUAAUCGUAGCUCAACUUAAGACAUGCAUAUGCAUUUUUUUCUUCAAUUUGUUCCAUGUCCACAAAUUGAGAGUUUUUGAGCUGUUUAGACACUCUUUUCCACUGGUUUUCAGAUUUAUCUCUUAGAGCCCUUCCCAAUGUCACAAGUGCUAUAGGCAAGCCUUUGCAUUCUCUCGCAACCUUCCUUGCCACUGUGUUCAAGGUAGAGUCCCCAUCACGUAAACCUGCAUUGAUUCUGAAUAAAGCCAAUGCUUCAUCUUCAGAUAAGACUCCUAAAAACACUUUUUGCUGGCACUCCAUAGUAGAACAAAUGUGUUCAAGACGUGUUGUUAGAAGAAUUUUACAACCCCUGUGAUCAUCACCAAAUGGGAUCCCUAUCUCUUUCAAGUCAAUAUGUUUCCAAACAUCAUCCAGGAUUAUAAGCAUCUUCUUUCCCUGCAGUCUCUGCCAUAAUUCACUUGCUCUACCUUCUUUACCCGUUUUUUCAAAUUUCAGAUGUAAACUAUCUGCCAUUCGAUCCUGGAUGCCUAUGACAUUUGGAUUCUGGGACACCGUAGCCAUAAAAACUUCAGGAAAAAGCUGCGACUCUUUGGCUCUCCUGCCUACUUCUUUCACCAGGGUGGUUUUACCCACCCCUCCCAUGCCGUACAGUCCGAUCAUAUUGACGUUGUCAUCUUUGAGAGCUUUCAUAAUCUGUUCCAAAGCUUCUUUUGAAGCUUCUGAGGGCGUGAAAUCCUUUGAUGGAAGAAAUUCUAUGGGCUGAGGAGGAGCUUUGUCGGCCACUUUUGUAAACUUUGUUUCUAAAAGUUUUCUGAAAGUCUCCGACUUCUUGGCCAGUGCCUUGCUUAACUUGAAUUGUCGCAUGCAGUUUGGACACCAAGUGAAGCAUUUGCCAUUUUUUCCUAUUUCAUUUUCCAAGGGCUUCGCACCUUCAAUUUCGUUGUUUGCAUCUUCCAGCCACUUUUUGACAUCUUUGUAAAUUUCUUCAGCAUUCCUUUCAGCAGCUUUGACAUCAUCUUGCAGACGUUCUUUUGCCGAAUCCAGGUUCUCCUUUCGUUCAUUGAAUUCUUCAACAAAAUGGUUGAAACAGAACAUGUAACGGAACUGCCUUCCUACUGGUUCCACCAACAUGUAACGGAACUGCCUUCCUACUGGUUCCACCAUGAGUUCUGCUAUCUUAGAUAGAAUGGCACUUUCGAGAGCCAUUUUCCACAGGUCUGAAAAUCUAAGAAAUAAGGAUACAGAACGUGAGAGUGAGUCACUUCAAGUAAAACAGGCGCAGAGAGAGUGGGAAUAGGAAUCCAUUACCUUAAUUUGGGAAAAUAUGUGCGCAAAAGCACUGGUACUGAUAGCUCAAUGAAAUAGCGGAAGGAAGAAAAGGAGAAGGCCUUUAGCUCUGUAUGGAAUCCAGCUUCAAAAGCAACAAGGCAAGGUAUAAGUUUAACAAUAAAAUAGUUUACAUGGAUUCUAACUGACUCUUGUGAGUUAAAGCAGUAGUUCCCAUUAAAAAUGCAUUUUGAUGACAUAAUUAAGAUCAUAUAGAGACAGUGACAAACAAAUAAAAAAAUAAUAAUGUGUAAAAGUACUCACCUAGCAAAUAUAAUUGACCUAAGCUCACUUAGACGUCUCCAUGGAUGAUACCAGCUCGCUUCCAACAACAAAUAUAAUUGACCUAAGCUGUGAUAGGUCAAAUUUUUUUUAGUUUUUUUUUUAAAAAAAAAAAACAGAUCAACAAGAGAAAAGACUUACAAAGAAGUAGAAUUACUGAAAGAAACUCAUCAAAGAAUCAAACUCAAGCAAUUAAAAAUAAUUGUCUACGAUGACCAUCUCUGUAUUACACAUUCAGGUAAUAUGAUUGACCUAUAACAAUAUUAAAAAAAAAAUAAAGCUAAAAGAAUUACGUUUUUGAUAGCAUCCAGAGUGCGGUUACUUUUUUAAUCCCUCUUUUGUGGUUUUAUUUUAUUUCAGUCCUUCAAGUCUUUUUCUUUUGCUAUUUCAUCGAGUUUCUUUCUCUUGAGUUGUUGUGCUUGCCCUCGAAUAUGCAUUAUGCUAGGAAUUACAAUUACAUUACAUAAAAAAUUAUAAUUACAUAUUACAAUUACAAAUUUUAAAAAAUAAUUAUGAGAAAGGACCAAUGUUACAAUGUGAACAAAUGAAAGGAGAAUUUUAAAUUUUCUUGUGACAUGGUGACCAGGUAAUUCAAGGAACCAAUAGAUUAUCGCCACAUGUUCAACCAUAUCUCCACAUGUUCAACCUUAUAUUGUAUUGUGACAUGGAGAUAAAGGUCAUCUAAAAAGCUAAUAGAUGGUCGCCCCGUGUUCAACUUUAUCUACCCAUUAGGAAAGGAUAGAAAGUGGGAGAGAGAAAGGUUAAAAAGGCUUAAAAAAGAAAAAGGAAAAGGAGAGACAGAAAUAAAAGAAAGGCUGAGAAAAAGGAAAGGACGUGGAAAUAGAAGGAGAGAUUGAGGGAGGCAGAAAUGGAAAGGGACAUAGAAAGAUCGGAGGAGAGUAAGAAAAAAAUAUGAAUAUGUGAUGUCCUAUUUCUGAUAAAAAUACUCUGUUUUUUUUUAUUUAAAUGGGAUUUUUUUAUCUUUUAUUUGGAAUUUCUUUGGACACUUAAAUAAUAUAAUAACAAAAAAAAAUUAAAAUAUUGAUGAAAUUAAAACCAAUAGUAUUUUUUUCUAUAUUUUAAGUUUUAGUUUUUAAUAGCCUCGUUUGAUUUUUAUUUUUAUUUUCAUGCUCUUAUAAAUAAUGCAGGAAAUGAGGACCUGAAAUCACAACAGCGAAUAAAAAGAGAAAUAACGUGUUUGUUAUUAAGUAUUAAAAAAAAAUAUUUUAUUUUAUUUUUAUUUUAAAUUAAUUUUUAAAAAACUAGCUUGAAAAUUAGUACGAAAAAUAGUGAUAAUAGAGUAGAUGUCCAAAUCAAAACAUAUAAAUAGAGUAUUUUAUAAAUAUUUUGGAUAAAAAAUAGGUUAAAAACAAGUUUUUAAAUAAAAAAUCAAGCUUUAUUAUUUUAUAUAAUUCAAAUAAAAUCAAUAUAUUUAGUUGUUCAAAAUUAUAACUCAAGUUCUGUCAUGUCUUUUUAGAAGGAAAAAAAAAAACGCUUGUAACAUAGUGCAGUGCAAACAGAAGAGACAUCUGGUUUUUAUUGAGAAAAAGAAAGGAAAAAAAAUAUAUAUAUAUAUAUACUCUCUCUUCCAAUUUCCUCUCCCAGCUGAAUUUUGGCGACCGCUCACACAACGAUAGCCUACACAACCACCAGCCAUGCCACCUUUCAAGACCCCAUCUCUCAAUCUCAAAACCAGAAACAACCCUUUCUCCAUUUAACCGAACCUCAUAACUCCGAGAAAGUGAAGGACUAAACCAUAGUGGCAAAAAUCUAAAUUAUCUCUGUUACUUUUCCUCAAUUUUCUAGACAAGCACAAGGAGCUAAACUUAUUCCCGACCAAAACGUCAAGAAUUUCAGUAGAACAAAAGAAGAGAUUAUUACUUGACCAAAAAUAACUAGUUAGCACCCAAAGAAACCGAGUGAAUGAGAGAAAAAGACUAAUAGCUAGAAAACAAUCAACAGAUCCAAGAAUUUUCUGUAUGGUUUCCAAGAAAAUGAAACGAAAUGAGCAGCACAACCCUCUUUCUCCUCCAAGAAAAGAAAGAAAAAGAAAGGAAAGAAACAAAGAAAGUCAAACUUGGCUCCUCUUUUAGUGUUAAAAAAAAAAACAAAGAAGUUCGAGGAAGUGGGCAGCCUUUUUUCUGAUGUUCAUGUGGUGUUCUGCUGUUCACGCAGACUAAGAACUCCUACCAUCGUAAAAUCAUAUAAUUAAAACACAACAAUAAAAAAGUAAAAAGCAGCUAAUUAUGUGCGAAAAUCAGAGAAAUAAGGAUACAGAACGUGAGAGUGAGUCAUUGCAAGUAAAAGAGGCGCAGAGAGAAUGGGAAUAGGAAUUUCAUUACCUUAAAUUGAGAAAAUAUGUGCGAAAAGCACUGGUACUGAUUGCUCAAUGAAAUGGAGAAGGCCUUUAGCUCUGUAUGGAAUCCAGCUUCAAAAGCAACAACGCAAGGUAUAAGAAUUUUGAUGACAUACUUAAGAUACUAUGCGUAGUAAUAUAGAGACAGUGACAAAGAAAUAAAGAAAAAUAAUGUGUAAAAGAACUCACCUAGCAAAGAAAGAAACGAAUGAAAGGUUCAGGAUAAUCACUUAGACGCCUCCAUGGAUGAUACCAGCUCGCUUCCAACAACAAAUAUAAUUAACCUAAGCUAUGAUCGGUCAAUGUUUUUUUUAGUUUUCUUCUUUUAAAAAAAAAAAAAGAUCAUCAAGGGAAAAGACUUGCAAAGAAGUAGAAUUAAUGGAACGAACACAACAAAGGAUCAAACUCAAGCAAUUAAAAGUAAUUGUCUGUGUCACACACUCAAGUGAGGAGAGAAAAGAAGGAGAAAGAAAGGAAAGGGACAAGGAAGGCAGAAAGUAAGGUCACGUAGGGCCAGUCUUGUAGAAAGUUUGAAAAGUAGCAUGAAAGAAGAGGAUAAUAGUGUAGUUGUCAGAAUCAAAACACGUAUAAACAGAGGACAAAAACAGGAAGGGAGGCUGUUUGUUUUUUUAACUGUGUCUGAGUGCUUUUUAUAAUUAUAUUUAAUUUAAAAAAUAUUAAAUUAAUAUAUUUUUUAAUAUUUCUUGUUAUAUAUAUAUAUAUAUAUAUUUAAUAUUUAAUAAAUUUUUAAAUAAAAAAUAUUUUUAAAAGUAUGUGUCACAAUACAAAAUUAUAGUAUAAAUUAAAAGAAAAAGGAGUUUUAUGCUCAUUACUAUUUACUGGACUUGUAGAUAUUAAUAAUAAAGUUUUUGAAAGUUUUCGAUCUAGUAUUUGAACUUAUUUUUUUUUGCAUAAUUGAAUUUUUUUAAGCUUAAUUGCAUAUUUGUUUUUUAAGGAAAUAGGUUGAAUUGAGAAACAGACAAACUCGGCAAAAAUAUGUGGUUAAAAUCAAUCCAUUUUUUUUAAAAAAAACUACUUGGUUGUUAAGGAAAGAUUGGUAGUGUGAACAAAUCACCAAAGUCAGCAGCAAGGAAGUUCUAGGAAGUGGGCAGCCUUUCUUCUACUGUUCAUGUGGUGUUCUGCUGUUCAUUGGACAGUGCAAUUAACGUGAACAGUGCAAAAAAAGCGAGGAAUUCUUGCUUUGCAAAUACUGCAUUUCCAACGCAGAAAAAAGAUGGGACCCAGUGAACAGUAUACCACAUUUUUAUUUAACCAAGCGGCCCAAACGGGCUCUAAGAACUCCUACCAUUGUAAAAUCAUAUAUUUAAAAUACAAUAAUAAAAAUGUAAUACGCAGCUAAUUAAUGUAUUAAGCAGCUAAUUAAUGUUGUUGUUCUUUCUUCUUGUUUUGCUAUUUUGAUUUUAUUGCAUGUUUCAAAAAAAGUAUGAUUGUGAAAGCUAGCCAAACCAUUAGAUCAAAGUAAUCUAAGAUGGUUUUUGAGAGUGUAGUUGUCGUUAUUUUUCACUCGGAAAUACAUCAAAAUAAUAUAUUUUUUAUUUUUUAAAAAUUAUUUUUGAUAUUAGCGUAUCAAAAUUAUUUGAAAACACCAAAGAAAUAUUAGUUUGAAGUAAAAAAAAAUAAAAAAAAUUUCAAAAGUGCUUUUGAAACGUAAAAACAAACAGAGUCUAGUGUAGUUGCGUCCAACGUUGUCCCGAGGUACUUUUUAUAAUCUAAAUUUUUUAAUAUAUUUUUUUAUUUAAUUAUGCAAUAUAUUCAUAGAAAACACUCAAAAUAAAAUUAUUGACAAAAAAAUAUAUAUUUCUUAAAAAUAUUUUUUUAUUGAAAACAUAAUUUUUUAAUUCAUGCAUUUUUUUAUUUAAAAAAAAUGUAUUUUUUAUGAGUAACAUUAUUUUGCUCAAAUGUCCCUAAUACAUAAUUAUUUAUAAAGUAAUGAAAAUAUCAUAAUAAAAAUUCCUAAUCUUCUUGAAAACAAUUAAAUAAUUGAACAAUUACUUAAAUAUUUUUUUAAUAAAUUGAUUGAAAGAAAUUUUUUAUUAAAAAUAAAGAAUAAAGAAUAACAUGAUAUCUAAGAUAAAGGUCAUACAAGCCUUCAAAGAUAAUAUAUGUAUGUGUAUAAUACAAAUUAAUAAAUUAUAAGUAGCAAUAUUUAAUGCAAGUUUAAGAAUAAGAGUUUGCUUUGUGUUUUGUUGUGAGAUUAACCAUAUCAAAUUAUAUAUUUAAUAAUAAAUAAUUGUGUUGUGUUAUGAGUAAAAUCAAUAAAUUAUUUGGUGUUAUGCUGUCUUGUUGUUUGAAUUAAAAUUAUUAUUAAGAAUAUAAAUUAAAUUAAAUUAAAUAUUGAAAAAACUAAAUGAAUUGCUUAAUAAAUAAAUAAAUAAAUUCUUUCUUUAGAAAGCAUGGAAAUGCCAUGACAUUGGCUUUUUAGAGAAUACUACGAUAUUAAUAGCCAAAAAAGUUAUCGAUAGCUGUGUAAAUCAUUGAAAUUGCCACAAAAGCAACCCAAAUUAUUUAUGAAUUGGAUUCGAUGGAAGGAAGAUGGGAAGGGGGAAAUUAAAGAGACAUGAAGAUCUGUGCAUGGCUACCUGUUUUGAGAAUUAUAGAUUUUUAUCCCUAACUCAAAACGGCACCAAUUAUAAGUUCAUUCAAAAAAAUCUGGAACACAAAAGAUGGAAAAAACUCGAAACAACUCGUCUAGAAUUUAGGCAAGAAGAAUGAGCCAAGAUUUUAAGUGAAAUGAAAUUUGUUUUACUUUGUUCUGUUUUUUAAAAUGAUAUAAGACAUACUACCUAUUUAAGGUGAAACAAAUGGAAUCGACAACCUUUAAAGAGAGUAGAGGCCACAUAUGUGUCACUCGUAUUCAAUAGCCUUUCUCCCAUACUGACAUGUGUUUUACACGCACCAACAUUUCUUUCUCUUUUAUUCUAUAAUAUUCAAUAUCGGUGAGUGAGGAUUUGGUAGUUGGCCUUAUUAGUAGUGUUGGUUGUUGACUUGUCAAACACGUUUUGGGCCCAUGCGUGGUCACCAAGAACAAAUUCGUGAGGGCGAUAAGGCCCAGAAAGAUAAUAUCUAGUAGGUUCAGUCAGGCUAUGACAUAUUCGAUAAUAACUCUUCAAUUAAGUCCUAAAUCUCAUUUUAUCUUUUCAAUUUAAUCCCUAAUUUGACACCAACUCUUCAAUUAGACCCCAAAGCUCAUCUCACAUGAGGAAAGCCCUCUUUUUUCAAUUUAGCCCCUUAUUAUCUUCAAUUUAAUAUCAAAUUUUAUUCGAUCCAGGCCCAAAAAAGGCUAAGCGAAGAUAGAAUAAAGGAAGGGAAAGAAGAUGAAUAAUUGCCCAACUGAGUUAACGUGUUCUGGUCUUUUCUCUAUGAUUCGGGUUGAACAUUUGACAUUUAUCCUUUUUUUCCUAUAGUCUUUUCUCCAUAUUCGUUGUGACGCCGCACACGUGCGACAACCAGUAAAUCUAUAGUUAAUUUCAUUUUUUGAUAAAAGAUAAUACCAUCGGUAUAGAAUGGUUACCAACUGUUAGUUUAAUAUGCCUUGUAGCCAAUCGGUUAGUUAUACAAGGUAUUAUUAUAUUCAUGUAAAUACAUAUUUAUUAUUAAUAAAGCCUUAAUUUAACUUUAAUAUUCAUAUAAUAUUAGAUUAAUGAAUCUAGAGUGUAGAUAAAGUUUAUGAGACAAAAAUGCUUUGCAAAGGAAAUUAUAAAGUUGUUAUAAUUAUGAGAUUUUUAAUGCGUCAAAAUAUUGUUAAUAAAAUGUUCUUGGUUGAUGCUCUCUUAAAUACUGGAUAUUUAUUAGAGCCAUAAAGACUGAUACAUAUUAUGUUUUUUCCUUUAUGAAAUGAAGCAACUGUUCUCAUAAGUUGAGCUAUAAGGGAUAUCUAAAACUAAUAUGUAUGUGCUUGUCAUAAGACAUGUGCACUGAAUUGACCCGCAUGAGAAUUCCAUAUGGAGAGAUUACCUAUGUCUAUGGAAAGACUCACGUGACGGUUGUAUAUGUAAUCCUCGGACUUGAGAUCACUAAGUUAUCUUAUAUAGAGAAUGUUAUGCUUUGAUCAUGUUACAUGUUAUCUUAAUUGAGGUAACAAAAUGAUAGACAUUGGGUAUAUCAUGAACUAUAUGAAGGUAUUUGAGUGAUUAAGAGAGGAUUUCAUCAUCCUGUGUGAAUUAGAAAAAAUGUUCAAUCUGUUCUCAAAUAGUAUUGACUGAGAAAUCCUUGACCAAUGUGGAAUGAUAUUUAAAAAGGGUUUGAAAUCUUAUUCAAAUGAUCAAUUAGUAUUAUUUAGAGAAUGAACAUAAUUUAACAUGACAAAUAUGCUUCAUGCUUUAAUGUUAAAUAAGAACAUUAGUGAUAAAAUGGUAUUAAUUACAAUGAGAAACCGGUAAUUUAAACCACUAAUAACUUUUCUAAUAUUUAGGGUAUCAUGACACGUUACUAGACAAUACACAUGAUCUUCAAAUCUUCAAUUGUAAUUUAUUUAAUUAUAAUUAUAAUUUAUAUUUGGGCCAAUAUAUUAAAUUGUGAUGAUUUAAUUAAGUAUAACUUGAUUAAAAUAUAUUUUAGAAAUUAAGGACUACAAUAUAAGUAAUACAAGGAUUAUAUUUCCAGAUCUAGAAAAAUCAGGUAAGGACUAGUGGUUCAUGUGGAUUACCGUUGAAGGACGAACAAUUGGACGACUUCUAGUUUGCAACAACUCAGUCUUUAAAAAAUUAUUCAAAACCGAAAAUGAUCAAAUUUUCAGGUAAUAAAUCCCUAAACAACUCUAGAUCUGUUUAACGAGAUUCUAGAAACUCCUGAAUAAUUUUAUUUUAUUACUUCAGCUGCAUAUUUGUUAUUCGACAAACCCAACACCAACUUCAUUGUUGGUUUAACAUUUCUUUUACAUGUUGGGAAUUUGGUACUAAUGGAUGUAUUUUCUUAAGUUGAAAUAAUGCCACACAAGAAAGGUUAAAAAGGCUCUUAAAAAGAAAAGAAAAGGAAAGACACGGUUGAGAUAAGAGGACAAAGGAAGAAAGUGAAUGGGACAACGGAAGAAAGUAAGGUAUUGUAGAGAAGAGGAGAUGAAAGUUAGUAUGAGAAAGAGGAUGAUAGAUAGAGUGGUUGUCCAAAUCAUAGUGGUUUUUAUAAUUAUAUUUAAUUUAUACAAAUAUUAAAUUAAUAUAUUCUUAGUAUUUUAUAUGAUUUAAUUUUUUUUUUGAUGAUUUAAAAAAUAUGUGUAUAAAAAAUUAUUUUAAUAUAUUUUAAAAUUAAAAGAAAAUGAGGUUUUAUGUUCAUUACCAUUUAAUUGUGGACAACAAUAGUGUAUUUUUUGAAAAUUUUCAAUUUUAUACUUAAAUUUUUUUUCAUAAUUGAUCCUUUUUAAUUAAAAUUAGAGUCGAAUUACAUAUUGUUUUAAGGAUGAGAGUUGAAUUAAAAGACAGGGGACUAAAGUUAAAAACUCAGCUAAAAUAGAUGGCAACUCUAUAAUUUGUUUGCAAAGUUCAUUUUAGUUCCCUGUUUUUUUAAGCUAUUAAAUAAUAAGUCCCUAUAAUUUUCCAGCAUUGCAUUUUGAAUUUUUUUUAUUAAUACUUUUUUAUAUAUAUUUUUGAAAAUAAUUUUAAAAAUGAUGUUUUUAUUAAUACCCUUUUUCUAUGAUUUUUUUUGGCCUUAUGUAGUCUUUCUUCAAUUAUUUUUAAUUUUGUUGCUUGUGUUUAAUUUUUUAAGAGGUUAGUAAUAUUUAUCUGUAAAUAUUUUUUAUAUAUUUCAGAUAGAUUAAGUAUCUAAUUUUUAUAAUAAUUUGAAUAUGUGUAGCCUUGCAUAGUUUUUUUUUUCCUUUUAUGAUAUUAAAAAAAAAUUAUGUGUGUGUUGAUUUCUAUUAUAGAUUGAUUUUAGUAAACAAAUUCAUUAAAUAUAACCAGAUAAAUGAUCCAUGUUGCAAUAUUAAAUAUUUUAUCUAUAUUUGUUUCUUAAUUUUUCCACUUGUAUUUUUAAUUAUCGGUAAUGACUUUAUUUUUUUCAUUUAUUUACAUAAUUGUUUGUGAUUUAUUUAAUUUGAUGCGUGUAUAAAUUUUUUGAUUUACAUUUAAAAAAAAUUUAAUAUAAAAAAACAUGUUGAGAAAUUCUUAUUCUUAUGAUUUUAGUUUGAUCCUUAUUCUUAUGAUUUCUUAUUUUCUUUCUAACCCUUUUAUAAAACAAAAAAUUGUUUGUAAUUUUAUCCUUCAUUUCAACAUAAUGAUGUAUUUUUUUCCUUAUAUAUAUUCUUGUUUGUUAUUAUUGCUUUUUUUCUUUAUAUAAUUCAUAUAAAACCAGCUUAUUUAAUCGGUCAAGACUAAAUAAAUAAAUAAAAAGAUAUACUCUGUCUUCCCAUUUCCUCUCCCUGGUGAAUUUUGGCGACCACCCACACAAUGAUAGCCUAAACAACCACCAGCCAUGCCACUUUUCAAGACCCCAUCUCUCAAUCUCAAAACCAGAAACAACCCUUUCUCAUAAUUCCGGGAAAGUGAAGAACUAAACCAUAGUGGCAAAAAUCUUAAAGGGUCUAAAUUAUCUCUGUUACUUUCCCUCAAUUUUCUAGACAAGCAAAAGGAGCUAAACUUAUUCCCGACCAAAACGCCAAGAAUUUCAGUAGAACAAAAGAAGAGAUUGUUACUUGACCAUAAACAAUUAGUCCGCACCCAAACAAACUGAGUGAAUGAGAGAAAAAGACUAAUAGCUAGAAAACAAUCAACAGAUCCAAGAAUUUUCUGUAUGGUUUCCAAGAAAAUGAAACGAAACGAGCAGCACAACCCUCUUUCUCCUCCAAGAAAAGAAAGAAGAAGAAAAAGAAAAAGAAAAAGAAAGGAAAGAAACAAAGAAGUUCGAGGAAAGAAAAAGUAAGGAAGAUGAAACCAUAAACCUGCAAGUCCUACAAAUCAUAAACAUUGACUUUGAUUUUUCCUUUAUAAAACCAUAAACCUGCAAGUCCUACAAAUCAACAUGAAGACUUAUCAGAUCCUAAUGAAAAGCUGUCAAAAUCCUAUCAGAAAUUAAGGAAGAUGACGUUACGUUAACUUCAAAUCUGAGGAUUAAUUGUAGCAGAUCUUAUAGGGUUCAGCUGAUUGCUUUACUUGUUUAAAUAAUUCUCUUGUAAGCCUAAUGGUUCACGUCUUCCAUCAUUGCAACCUUUUUUUCUGUGAUUGAAAAAUCUAUAAUAGGAACCUGCACUGCAUCCCUUCUAUGCUGUUGUUCUUUCUUCUUGUUUUGCUAUUUUGAUUUUAUCAUAUUUUCUAUGAUGAAAGUUGAAGAAAUUCUACUUCGAAACUCAAGACAAAGUCUCUCGGACUGCAUAUUAGUGGGUUGCUCAUUGGGAUUUCUAUAAACAACUGAUUCUAUUGCAAAGCAACAUUACGAAAAACUGAAUAUUUCACACAUUGUCAAUUCCUUAACAUUUUCCAAACAAAUCCAUGCUCCUCAUUUUAUACUGUCUUGAGGGUUUCUAUUCUCUUAUUACCAAUUUCAGUAAGUUUCAUAAUAAGCUGCUUAGAAAGAAGCUAUCUAACAGGAGGGUGGGGCUACUCUUAGCCAAUGAAAACAGCUUCACAUGCUAUACAGCAACGUGAAAAAAAGAUUCUCAGCCUGUUCUCUCUUUAAUUGAACCAGUUAUUUUUCUCAAAAAUAAAAAAAGUAAACCGUUUUCUAAAAAUCUAAUUUAUAAUAAAACAAAUAAUAAGACUUGAUAAUAAUUCACUAAAUAACCAUUAAUUAUUCAUCAAACCAAUAUGAAAAAUCUAAUAUUAAAGCUAGGGACCAAUCUGGAAUUUUAUUAUAUUUUUAGGGGUCAAAUUAUAAUUUUAUUAAAUUGGAGGACCAAACUAAAAAUAUCAUAAAUUCAUGACUAUACUGGAAUUCUGCUCAUAAUUCACCCUCAAUUCUGCUCAGAAUCUCAAAUUAUGCUCCAAGGAUCACUCUAGAAUUUUAUCAAAUUUCUAGGGUCAAAUUGUAAUUUCAUCAAAUUGGAGGACCAAAGUGAAAAUAUCAUAAAUUCAUAACUAUACUGGAAUUCUGCCCAUAAUUUAACUUUAAUUCUGUCCAGAAUCUCGGAUUAUGCUCCAGGGACCAAUCUCUAAUUUUUCCAAAGUUCAGGGACUAAACUGUAAUUUUCAUAAAUUGAGAGACCAAGCUGAAAUUUUAUAAUCUUCAACCUCAAACCCAGAAUUUACACAGAUAACCUACUGAUAUAUCAAGAUUUCUAACUUAAAUUCACCAUAACUUAAAAUAAUUAUUUUUACCUAAAAUCUUUCAAAAUCAACUAAAUAACUCAUUACCCAUAACAAUCUACUCAUAAUUUUUCUGUAAUGUAAUUGUAAUUCCUAGCAUAAUGCAUAUUCAAGGGCAAGCACAAAAACUCAAGAGCAAAGAAACUCGAUGAAAUAGUAAAAGAAAAAGACUUGAAGGAUUGAAAUAAAAUAAAACCAAAAAAGAGGGAUGAAAAAAGUAACCGCACUCUGGUUGCCAUAAAAAACAUAGUUCUUUUAGUAUUUUUUUUUUAAUAUUGUAAUAGGUCAAUCAUAUUACCCGAGUGUGUGAUACAGAGAUGAUCAUCAUAGAAAAUUACUUUUAAUUGCUUGAGUUUUAUCCUUAGAUGACAAACUUACCUCGUCCUCCUAAUGCUUUUGCUUUUGCUUUCAUUGUUUCGAAAGUAAAAGAGACAUAAACAUAAUCAUUUCCUUCCUUUUACUUUCCACUUCUUUGUAAUGGAUUGCGAACGGGAUGGUGCUUAGUGAGGCCAGUUUUUCUUUUCCUUUCUUUUUAAAAUCUUAUGCCUUGGGUGAGGAAAUUAGUGGGGCAUUAGACUUUUUAAAAGACAACAAAAAGAAGCAAUGUCUGAUCAUCUUUUGAUAUGGUGGUCUUCCAUGAUCAGUUUUCGAAAGAUUCGAGUCUCCGUUCUAGCUCAGGUUGGGAGCUAGGCCGAAAGCUAAGCUUCUUUUAAUUAUGAAUUGUUUAUGCAAAGGAAACCCAGAAGCUUGAACAAACAGAAAUGCCUUGUUGAUUUCUCUGCUACUACUCAUUAUUUCCAAUAUUAUUCCAUUAUCUUACCCGAAAGCAAUUAUACAAGAAAUUUCAUUAUCCUGCCCCAGAAGGCAAUUUAUUACAAGGACUUCCUUUAACCUCCUUGAAGGCAAUUUAUUUGAUGAAAAUUCCUUUAAUCCACCUCAAAGACAAUUUAUCUUAGGGAAUUCCAACGACCCAGGAAAUUUAUUUCCUGGAAAUUCCUUUAACCCGCCCUAAUUAAGUCAUUUUAUCCAAGGGAAUUCCAAAAUCAAUUUAUUUCUUGGACUCAGUAUUCUUUGAUACUAGUUAUUUAUAUAUAAUUUAACAUCACUUAAUCAUCUUGCAUUUAAGAAGAAAUUCAAAAGUAAGGAUAUAACCCUUACCUAGAGCUCCUGUGGUUCUUGUUCCCGAGAGAAUUGGCUCCAUUCCUGACAAAUCUAUUACCAAAAACCCAAGUUUCAACCAAUCAAUAACAUCAACACCCAUUUUAAUUCAAUGCAAUAAGUUUUUCUUAACCAAUUUACUUGAUGCAAGUUCUUAUAAUCAAAGUGACAGUACUAUUCAGGAUGAAGACAAGCAGAAGGGCGUGUAUUAAUUUUAUUUUUUAAUGUUCAGCUUUUUUUAUUGAAUUUUAUUUGUCAAUAUUGAAUUAAUUAUAAAUUAAUUUUUAUAUUUUUUUUUAUCAUAUAUAAAAAAACAAAGUAAUCUCAUCUUUUGAUACGGUGGUCCAAGAUGCACCAUGACAUGGUUGUACGUAGUUUUUUUUUGCCUGUUUCUUUUAAAAAUGUUAUGUCAUUUAAUUUAUAAUUAUAAAUUAAUUUUUUUUAUUGGUCAUUUUAAUUUUUUUUACUUUUUUUAUAUAUAAUUUUUUAAUUUUAUAUUUUAAUGUUGAGUUUUUUUAUUAAAUUUUAUUUGGCUAUAAACCAGAACUUUUUAUUUUUUAUUUUUUGGACAAGUAGAGAGAAAUUAAAUAAACAAAGUAGUCUCAUCUUUUGAUAUAGUUGUAGUUUUUUAUUAUUUGAUUUUUGCCUUUUUCUUUUAAAAAUGUUAUCUCCUUGGUAAGGAAUCCUUGGUUCCCAACGGCAACUGUAGCAACGUAAAAACAAAUCUCUAAACUCCACCGAAAGUAGUAGAGCAUUAGUUUUUUAAAUUGACAAAACGGGGACAAAGUGGGAGCGAAGAAAAAGACAAUAGUGCAUGUUUAAAACAUGCGAUACACCGUAUAUAUGACAAUAAUAAAACCACCGUUUAAAACAACUCUGAAAACAAAUUUUUUUUUAUAAUUCAUAAUUUAUUAAACAUGCGAUAAAAUAAGUCAUAGUGCAUGUUUUCAUUUGGCAUUUAAUUCCAUGAACAUGAUUUUUUUAGAUUAAUAUGAAUAUCCGGAUUAGCUUGUGUACCUCAACUAAUCCCAUGAAUCCUAAAAUUAACGAUAAUAUAAGUAUCUAGUGGCCCUGAAGUUUGUGAAAUUUGAACUUAUAAUUUUUAGAGAGCAAAUUCAGGAUCUGAUCAAUUGAGCUACUUUCCUCAUAUUUUCAUUAAAUCUUACUUUUCGAUCAAAUUAAUGUGACCAUAAUAUACUUGUAAUCAGACCAUUAAUUGACUGUUCUUGACUAGCUAUUGUUUCUCAUUGGCAAGAGUCAUUGCCAAUUAUCAUAACAUGUUAGUGAUCUAUUACAACUAGUUCUAGCAUCUACAGAGUUCUUAUUUAACCAUUAAAUCAAUUUAUAAAACAUUAUUGACUAGCUAUCUAACACUAACAACUAAUCACUGAUAAUAUUUAUGCAAAACUUGUAGCUUCAUACAAAUCACAGUUGCUCCUCGUUUGAUACUUUCUUGAAGGUUUCUUUUCUCUUAUUACCAAUUUCUGUGAGUUUGUGAUUUUUUAUCUGUACCGUAUCAUCCGAACAAUUACUAGAACCACACAACUAAUAUGUAAAUUCACAAAUUCCCUACAGUUCAUAUUGCCAACAAACUCCUCUUGCCAUUCCCUAAUUGCAUUGAGCCAACUAAUCUGGAUGAAAGAAAGGACUUCGACCUUGCUAAUCUGGAUGAAAGAAAGAAAGGAACCUUAAAGCAGACCCAACUUUGUAGCUCAUUACCAGUUACGUAAAAGUUAUCAAUAGCUGUGUGAAUCAUUGAAACUGCCACAAAAGCAACCCAAAUUAGUUAUGAAUUGGAUUCGAUAAAGGAAAGAGGGGAAGGGGGAAAAGACAGAUGAAGAUCUGCGCAGGGUUACCUGUUUUGAGAAUUAUGGAUUUUUAUCCCUGUCUAACGUGACAAAACCUUCUCUUAGACUUAGACCUGUUUCAUUGGUCCAUAAAUGCAUUUGCUAGACUAUCAACAUAAUUUAUCUUGGGCAAAUCUUCAUCUAGUUAUGGUAGACUCACACCUGACUGCUUAUAAUCACUAAUUAUUAUAGAAUUGACUACAUCAAAAUUGGUCGGUUUUUUUGUUUUCAAAGAGAUUUAAACUUGAUGCAGACGAAAGCUAUAAACACAAUAAUUAAAGAACACCAAAAAAUAUAUGAGCAAAAGAGACUGUAGAUGUGAACCCUCAAAUUCCCAAGUUUAUUUUCUCUAAAAUAAUAAUAAUAAAAUUUUUCUUCUCAGGAGGUUUACAAAGCCUUAAAUAUGUUAGGAACCUUACCUCAACUAGGAAACAAAAACAGAAACCAAAAUUACAAAGGAAAGAAAUAUAAAAUCCAAAACAAGCAAGAAAUGAAAAAAUAACAAGGAAAAUCACAAAACUGUCAAAACUAGAGGCCUAAACAAGAUUUUUUAUAUUUAAAGAUUCGAUGGUUCACGUGAAAAUUUGAGCAUGAUCAAAUAAUCAAAUAAAAAAUUAUAACUUUUUGAGUUUUUAUUCUGGUCUGACGCGACCAAACUUCUUCUUGAUCCUAAACUUGUUUUAUUGGUCCAUAAAUACAUCUCCAUGACCUCUUUUUUUUUGUUUCACUAUAGAUGAAGUUUGACCAUCAUCAUAUAUGGUUUGACUUAGCCGUAUCGGUUUUCAAUUAGAUCAACUUCAUAUAUUAUGGGUUUACAUUUACUAUUUUUUAAAAAAAUGCUCACAAGUCCAUUUUUCACACCUCAAACUCGUAACUGCAGCGAUUCGUAGGCAACGAAACUAGUUAGAGACUAGAGAGUAAACAUGCUACUAAAGUUUGCAGGUGAGGGUUUAGAUUAGAUUAUUUGUUGUCUUGUUUCAAAUAUUAUAUCAGUCUCAACUCAUUAAAUAAACAAGUGGUGCAUUGAUCCUUGGACUCAAAUCAUAUAUACACGGUGAGCUCAUUUGUGUUUUUAUUUUUUGUCCCUCCCUGUACUUGUAGCAGAAGAGAAGCUGCUCUCAUCUUUGAAGGAAUGCAAACAAUUGUUAAUAUGAAACAUAUUAUGUACAAAUUAUAAUAUUUGUAAGAAGCCGUUUUGCUGCCCACCGGCGGCCAUCUGAUCAGAGAACAAUAUUAUAUUUUUUAAACCCUUCACUCUCAUAAAAACAAUUUAUAUGAUUUUAAAUAGGAAAACAUAGAAAAAAAUAUGAUUAAAUAUUUUUAGAGAUUACAUAUUAUUGUUUUAGUUUUUUUUCUUGAUUAGAGAUAGGUUGAAUAAAAGUAGUAAUAAUUUAUUUUUGUGAAAAAGGGUUACUACAACUCCUGAUAAUUAGUUUCAUGUAAAAAAUAAAAAUAAAAAUAGUAACUAAAAUUUAUUUUAGUUAUGUUAAUAAAAUUUUAAUUAUAUUUUAAUUGAAUUAAGUAUUUCAACACAAAAUUUUUGUUCUUAUACAGUUAUAUAUUAAUUCUAACAAAAAAUAUGGUUUCUAUGUUUAAAUUUUGGUAUUAAUAACGCAUAUAACAAUGAGGCAGUUAAGUUUCUUCGACAAAAUAAAAUCAUUUAAAAAAUAAAAAUAAGCUAGUAUGUUUGUUACAUAACUAAAAAAAAAUCGAUUUUUUUUUAAAUUAAUUUUUUUAAAAUCAUUUUAGUAGACUGAUAUUAAAAAUAAAUUUUAAAAAAUAAAAAAUAUAUUAUUUUGAUAUAUUUUAAAAAAAACAUUAUGAAAAGAAAUUGUUAAUAUUUGUUAAAACAUUAUUGUUAAUAUUUCUGGUCGUUUACUAAAUAUAUAAUGACAUGUGAUUGGAAUAACGUAUGUGAACUUGUACAAAACUUAAUAAAUGAGAAAACUAAGGUAGCCGGUCACGUGGGCUUAAUGGACCUCAAUACAAGUUUUUGAUAUUUACUUUCACGUGUGUUUUAUGAGAAAACUAAGGUAGCCGGUUUCUGAUAAUAUGAGCUGAAUCAAUCAAGCUUAAGAAGCCAAUUUGUAUCCCAUUGCCAAUGAAACAGUUGGAAUUAAUUACUUCCCACCAAUCUAAAACAUAUUCGCAGCACCAACCUUGAAAUCAUGUAACAGCUAACCAACCUUGCCUGAUGCAAACAUGAAGAACAAAGACAAUCCAUGAUUUAAUUCAACCAUUAAAAUUUGAAGGUAAAGGAGAGGAUAAAUAAUCUUCAGCUAUAUCACCUGGUUUGGGCAAGAAAGAAUUAUUAGACUACCAAUCAUCAUCAUUCUUCCCACCCGUUAUCUCGGGUCCACUCUCUAUUAAUGCUUGAAUCUUCAGCUACUUCAGAUACCUGUAAACCAAUUCAAGCAUGGCAUGCUCAUUUUAACUUGUAAAUCUUAUUAUUGAGCCAAACAAGAAACAAACACACUAAAAGAGAGGCAAGAAAUCAAGUCAAAUCAGCAGCACCUCUGAUUGAGCACUCAUUGAACCAUCUGGUGCAGUAGCAAAUUUUGUGGUCAGCUUUGAACAUUGAUGGACCUUCAACUUCUCCAAACGAGGGAAUAAGAAAUAAUCACACCAUCCGAAACUAAAACAGACAAUACUUGAUAAUUGUUCUAGUGACAACUCCUUCAGAUUAGGAAGCACUAUCUCCUUCUCAACGUUGAUAGCUUGAUCAUCCUGCCCUGGAGACUCUGGAAUUAUUUUCCUUUCACCAUCCUCUUCUCUGAUAAUAUGCUUCAACUCACCACAAUUACUUAUCUCAAGUCUUUCUAGCUUUAGCAGACUUUGAGCGAGUGACUGAGUAAAGAUAAAUGUCAGUUUGUCGAGAGAAUUCAAAUACAGACGAGCAAGACUUUGGAAGCUGACAUUCCUGGUGGGCCCCUUCCAUAUAUAUUUGAGCUCAGGUAACCUUCUUAGAUGUAACUCUGUUAUAGAUGACAGCAGCUCCUUCUCCUCACUGCUUCCUUCAUCAGGCAGCUCACUCAAUCCAAAUACCUCUUCCAAUGAAUUGGAGCCGCAAAUUUCCACCCUCCUUAGAUUUUUCAGAGCUCGCAGCAAUUUUGCUGGAAACAGAGCGCGGACAUCCCCACAAUCGUACACUAGUACAGAUUCUAAUCUUUGUAAGAAGCCGUUUUGCUGCCCAAGGACGGCCAUCUUAUCAGAGAACAAUAUUAUAUUUUUUCACUCAUAAAAACAAUUUAUAUGAUGUAUAAAUAGGAUAAAAAAAAAUAGAAAAAACAGGAUUAAAUACUUCUUAGAGAUUACAUAUUACUGUUUCAGUAUUUUUUUUCUUAAUUAGAGAUAAGUUGAAUAACAAUUAGAUUUUUGCGAAAAAAGGUUAAUACAACUCCUAAUAAUUAGUUUCAUGUAAAAAAUAAAAAUAAAAAUAGUAACUAAUAUUUUUAUUUUAGUUAUAAAGUUAAUAAAUUUUUAAAGAUAUUUUAAUUGAAUUUAAUAUUUGAACACAAAAUAAGCUAAUAUGAUUUCUAUGAUUAAUUGUUGGUAUUAAGUUUCUUAUAUUUAAUACAACUCAAUAUAAGAUGGAGGUUUAUCUUCCUUUUCAAAUACUUCCAUUAAUUGGGGGAAGAGCCUCAAUUUCACUCAAACUUGGAAAGCAUAAAGAUUGAAAAAUCUAGGUAGGAUUUCAUUACAGUAAUUAAUUGUUCCAGUGACAGCUACCACAGAUUAGGAAGCCCAUCUCCUUCUCAACGUUGAUAGGUGAGGAAUGAUCAUCCUGCACAAAUACUCCAAAUAAUUGAGAAGCUUCACUUACUUUUAGUAUUUGGAGCUUUGGGAGACCUGAAGUCAUGGCUACUGGGAAGAGACUCUUCAACUUGUUGCAUUUUCUGACAUCAAUUUCACACAAAUUGGGAAAGCAUAAAGAUCGGAGAUGAUCUCCUAACAAUAUAUGGUCGUUUUCAUCAUCAUCCUUAAUUAGCAAUGAUUUGCUCUGAUUCCUCACAGAACAAUAUCCGUAGAAUUUUCAGUUGAACUAGACUGACAAUCAUGCUGCAUGUGAAUACAUGUGUCAAUCUCUUACACUUGACCACAUCCAAAGUAGUCAAUUUGCUCAGCACGAGACCCUUCCAUAUACACCUCAUGUCAAGCAGGGAUUCCAAGCAUAAUGUUUCCAAAUUUGUCAACCCUUGCAUCAAAAGAAAACAAGGAUACCAAUUUGUUGGAUAUAAUUCCUACGAAAUUUUGUGCACGGUGGAACUAUAUAAUUUUGGUAAAUAGAUGGAUGAAUUGUCCCCAAUACUUCAGCCAAAAACUUAUCAACAAAAGAAUAUAAGUAAACAUGGCAAUAGGGCUUCGGAAUAUGAAAUCAGAAGUUGUAGGACUGAAAGAGACAACUCAAUAUUAACAGAUGGAGGUUUAUCUUCCUCUUCAAAUACCUCUUAAGCCCUGCAUCAAGAGACAGGGAAAGAUACAGUUAGCCAACUCCUUUUUAAAUUUAGUGGAUGGCUAAUGGAUUUAUCUCCACUUAUCAAUUACUUUUGUUUUAGAAAUCUAGAGGAAGGAAUCACAGUGUAUUGAAGUUGACAAUUUAAAUUAAAAAGGAAAAAAUUAUUGGAGAAAUAUAAAGGAUGUACUUGUAGCUGUGCAGACAAAUUACCCAAUUCUUCGUGGCCAGAGAUGCAUAGAUUUUGCAAAGAAGGUAAUUGGGCAGCAAAAUUCUUCGAACCAAAAAAGCUGUAAUUUGAUCUGGAAAAAAGAUACAAUUUUCUUAGUCGAGGGAACUUGAUGAUGCCAUCUCUGGUGAGUGCAUCUCCUUCUCCAAUGUAAAAUAUUUGCUUUAAAUUGUCAGCAAAAUCAAUCUCCAUCUCUUCCAGGUUCAGAAGGCUUGGAGAAACAGAGACAGGGAAGACAUAUUCCAGUUUACCACACCGUUCUAUGAAGAUAAAUUUUAAUUCUGGGAAGCCCGGAGACUCUGGAAUUAUCUCCCUAUGUAGACACAAUUUUAUACACCUGAAAUUAAACAACUACAAGUGUAUAAAUAUAUAAUUUUAUUAAAUAUAUGAUCAGAUAUAAUUUUUAUCUAAUAUAUUUUUUCAAAAGAAUAUGAAAAUUCUUUGAUUCUUCUUUUGGAUUUGAUAUAUGAUGACUUGAUUUAUUUGAGAAAUCAAACCAAGAUUUGUGCUUUGCAAGAACACGAAUUUAGGCGUAUAUUGCAAAGCGAGAUAUGAUAAUUUGAUGCUUUGAAGAGUACCUUUAAAUCGUCUUCAAAGUAUUGUUGAAGAACUCAAAUAGGCAUUUAGACUUGAUUCAAUAUAGCUUUGUUCUUUGUAAACUUCAAGCGUAGAUGAAGGAGGCUUGAGAACUUUUGAGAAGGCUUCCUUACUUGAAGAGAGAGAGAGAGAGAGAGAGAGAGAGAGAUUCUUUGCUUGAACAGUUUGUCUUGAAAGAAAUUUGUAUUUCCCAGAAUCCUCCCCUUCUCUAGGUUGAGACCCUCUAUUUAUAGAGAUCUGUAAAGGUUCUCAGGUCCUUUUCCAAUGCCUUAUGAUAUAAUUUUAUUAGUUGAUAUUUAUUGGUGUGAUCUUGCAUUUAUGACAAGAUAUCUUGAAUAUCUUAUCUCAAGUGUCAACCUUUUAUUGGCCAAGAAAUAUAUGAAGACUCAUUUAUUUUUCAUGUUAUAUAUUUCAAUUUUAUUUAUUCUUUCUUUUAAAAUAAAAUAACACGUGGUGAAAUUUGAUUGGUAAAAAAUUUGUGUUUCUACAUAUGUCCUCUCGAGAAAAGUUCACUUACUUUCGAAAUAAGUGGGCAUGUCUCGAAAAAUAUGGUCGAGAGGGUUUUAUAUUUUUGACUAAAAUUUGAUUUGAUCAUAUUAGAUUUUCAUAAUAAAUAGAUAAAUUUGAUUGUGAAAUAAAAUAUGAUAGUCAAAAUUAAAAAUUUAUGGACCAAUCUUGAUUGAAAUUUAUCAAAUCAAAUGAUAGAAUAUCUAAAUUCAAUAUCUCAUUUGAAACAGUUGCAUAUUUAAGGAUCAAACAAAAUUUAUCUUUAUACCUGAAUAGCAACCAACACUUUGACCGGCUUGCAGGAUUUUUUUUUCAUCGGAAGUGGUCACUGUAACAUCUUGUUUUGAAGAUCUCAUUGUUCUGAAUCCAACGACGAAAUUCGUUCGUGAUUCCAGCUAGUGGUUAAUGAGCUAUAAAAUAUUAAAGAUUUUGAUUAAUUUUCUCUUCCUUCUCUUGAUAUGCGUGCGCACUCAUAUUGGUUGAUGAAUUAUUUUCUUCCUUCCCGUUCAAAUGUUCUUUCCUUUAACAGUACAGGAAAUUUGUGUUUCCUUUUCUUUUGGCUUUACCAUGUGCAUCCUUUGUUUCCUGAAUGAAUUGUCCAACGUGAAUGAAUUAUUAAAAGAGCAAAAGAAUUCCAGUACUGGUAGCCGACUUCGCUUAAUUGAACUAGGAAAACUUUCUUCAACUAGGAAAAGUUCGCUGGCUUUUGAUUAUGUUAAUUAAGCAAGAGUCCUCUCAUCAGAGUAAGCGGCUAUAAAAACCAUACUUGUCCCUUCUAUUUUUUUUACAGACAGUUCGGCUUCCAAUAAAGCCAGGCAAUCAAUCUUAGGAGGCGUUCGUCAUUCUCUUCUUCUUUAGCACCAGCAGGUUGCUACUUCUCAAAGGAAUCAGCUAUUUUAUUUCUAUCAAUAAGUUGCGGUCGUUCUGUGUUGUUUUAAUAAUCCUGGUUCCUUCAACACAGCCUCCACCAGCAGUCCAGGUAUGCAUGUCUCCAUUUAUUUUUUUGUUUUAUUACAACUGCAAUUUUUUAAAACGAGAAGGAAGGUGCCCACCCUAUUCUUGCUGCUAUCUCUAUAUAUCUCUGAUUAUGCGUGUGGCUGUUCACUGCUAGGUGGUAUCGAACCUCCCAAAGCUCAUUGAAGGUCUGAAGUGAUUGGCCAAGUCUACUCCCAUGGUGGACUGUUCCAUCAAGGGAUCUUCUUUAUUGGAAACCAAACCAUCACUGCAGCUAUUUCAAUGUCCUUUUCAUCACCAACCAAGUCUUUAUCAAUGUCAAUAGCAUCUGAAUUAUGACCAUCAAUGUCGACUGGAGCAAAGCUGUGACCCUUAAUUCCAAUUGCAUCAGAUCCAUUGCCAUCAAACUUCUCCUUGGUCCCAUCCGACACAAACCUCCAAGGAUCAAACGAUGCUAAUAAUCUUUUUUUUUAUUUGUGUCUUUGCAGAUUUUGCUUCAGCAAGACCUGCUCCCUGAUGAUCAUCGUAAUAUUUUGUAUGGGCUCACUUUCAUCUUCUCAUUGAAUUACCACGGAGUUGUUGUAACAGUAGCAGCAGAGUCAACAAAUCCUUCAGCUUUACAUCUUUCACAGUCUUAGGGGUAGGUAAUUUUUGAAUGACUUCAACCUUUGACUUAUCUACCUCUAUCCCUUUUGAAGAGACAAUGUGACCUAAGACAAUGCCAUGUGUCACCAUAAAAUGACACUUCUCCCAAUUGAGUACAAGAUUGUUCUCUUCACACCUUUCAAGAACUUUUUCUAAAUGCAUUAGACACAACUCAUAAGAAUCCCCAUAAACUGAAAAAUCAUCCAUGAAAACUUCCAAAAAAUUUUCCACCAUGUCACUAAAGAUACUCAUCAUACACCUUUGAAAAGUGGUUGGUGCAUUACACAAGCCAAAAGGCAUUCUUCUAUAAGCAUAGGUACCAAAAGGACAAGUGAAAGUGGUUUUUUCUUGGUCUUCUAAAGAAACCUCAAUUUGGUUGUAACCUGAGUAUCCAUCAAGAAAACAAUAGAAAGCUCUUCCGGCUACUCUUUCAAGCACUUGGUCUAAAAAUGGAAGCGGAAAAUGGUCCUUCCUAGUUACCAUGUUCAACUUACGAUAAUCAAUGCACAUACGCCAUCCAGUUUGGAUUCUAGUUGGUACUAGCUCAUUAUUUACAUUUUUCACUACCGUGACUCCAGAUUUUUUUGGGACAACUUGGGUUGGACUAACCCAUUUUGAGUUUGCAAUGGGGUAAAUGAUACCCGCAUCAAGUAGCUUAAGCACUUCACAUCUUACUACUUCCUUCAUGUUUGGGUUCAAUCGUCUUUGCAUUUGCCUCACAGUUUUAGCCUCUUCUUCAAGAUAGAUUCUAUGUGUACAUGAAAGAGGGCUAAUUCCUUUCAAGUCAGUAAUAGUCCACCCAAUUGCUUUUUUGUGUUUUCUCACCACUCUCAAAAGUUCUUGUUCCUGCUCUAUGCUAAGUUUUGAUGAAAUCACAAUAGGAUAUGAUUCAUCUUCCCCUAGAAAUGCAUACUUAAGAUCACUCGGUAAAGGCUUCCUUUCUGGUUUAUAAGGUUGGACAAGAGAUGCCUCAGCUUUUACUUGGGGUGAAAUCAAAGGCUCAAACGAUGGGGUCCAUUGACUUAUUGACAUAAUAGGCAUUGGAUCUAAAUAAGUCUCGAGUUCUCUUACUUCCUCAUCAACACAUUCCAAAGAACAAAAUCUUUCAUCAUGAAUUAAAGUUCUCUCCAAUGGAUCCUUGAUCCACUCUCUCUCAAAGUGUUCUUGACAAACUGUUUGGAUCAAAUCUACCUCUCUAAUGUCCUCAUGUUCACCAAUUUGUUUAGAGACAUUGAAUAUGUUAAUCUCCACAGUCAUGUUCCCAAAAGACAAUUUCAUCACGCCAUUCCUACAGUUGAUUAAAGCAUUGGAUGUAGCUAGGAAAGGUCUACCUAAGAUGACUGGGAUGGGAGCAUUAGAACCUUGAAUAGGUGCGGUGUCUAGCACUACAAAAUCAACAGGAAAGUAGAAUUUAUCUACUUGGACCAACACAUCCUCAACAAUACCCCUGAGAAUCUUGAUUGACCUAUCAGCUAAUUGAAGGGUGAUUCGAGUAGGCUUGAUUUCUCCUAAACCUAACUGUUCGUAAACAGUGUAGGGUAUCAAAUUCACACUUUCUCCUAAAUCCAACAAAGCUUGGUCUAUCCUAUGACUUCCAAUAAUGCAUGAAACGGUAGGACAACCAGGAUCUUUGUAUUUGGGAGGGGUCUUAAACUGGAUGAUGGCACUAGCAUGUUCAGUUAGAAAGGCUCUUUCUUUCACAUUCAAUCUCCUUUUGACUGUGCAUAAGUCCUUGAGGAACUUUGCAUAAGAUGGGACUUGUUUAAUUGCAUCAAGGAGUGGAAUGUUGACUUUCACUUGUUUGAACAAUUCAUAGAUUUCCGAGUUCAUAAGAUCAUGUUUAGGUUUCCCUAACCUUUGUGGAAAUGGUGCUCUAGGAACAAAUUCUAAAUCACUCACUUUGACUCCAAUUUUUCUUGAAUCAUCUCCUUUCUCACUCAUCUCUUUCUCAUUUAUCUCACCUUCUUUGUCACUCAAGCUCUCAUUUGUCACUUGUGUUUUGAUUUCCUCUUCACUUUCCUUAGAUUUCUCCUCCACAAUACCUCUAGGAAUCUCAAAACCUAUAGCUUUGGCAACAAUCUUUCCACUUGUUCAUGGUUUGAAGGUUCACUAGAUGAGGAUUCACUCAUGUGUACCUGACCUCUAGGAUUUGGCAUUGGUUGAGCUGGAAUCUUUCCCUUCUCUUGAAUGCUUAGUGAUUGAGUCAACUUGGUUAGUUGACUUCGAAUGUCAUCUAAGGUCCUAUUGGUCUGGUCUUGAAAUUUGUAAGCUUGGUUGUUGAUUCCUCCUUGUGUUUGCAUGAAUUGUUGAAGAGUAUCCUUUAGGGAUCUCUUAUGAGGUGGUUGGUAUGUAUUAUGUGUGGGAGCAUGAAAUGGUUGGGGUGGAGGUUGAAAUGUUUGAGGUACUGAAGGCCCCUCAUUUCUCCAUCCAAAAUUUGGGUGGUUCCUCCAUCCAGGAUUGUAGGUCUCAGAGUAGGGAUUGCCUACUUGGUUUGAAAAUGGCUUUCUAACAUUACUUGAAUUAGAAGUUUGGCCAUAUAGCACUUCCUUGAAGGCUGGAAUGGUAGGACACUCAGUUGUCCUAUGCCCUUUGCUCUCACAAACAACACAACUUUCCUCUUGUUGUUCACUCAUGACAUGCACUUUUUUAAUCUCAAGAGACUCUACUUUCCUAGCCAAUGAGGCUAAUCUAGCAUUGAGGUCAUCAGUCUCUUUCAAUUGGAACUUCCCACUUGAAUGAGAAAUGGUGUUUCUAGACUCAACAUGAAGUGGGAGAGAAGUCUCUCAUUGCUUUGUGUUUUCAGCCAAUUGAUCAAAGAAAUCAAAGGCUUCACUUGGUUCUUUGUCAUAAAACUCACCAUUACACAUGGUUGACACUAGCUUUUUAAAAUCUGCGGUAAGAGAGUCAUAGAAGAAACUCACUAACCUCCACAUCUCAAAACCAUGGUGGGGGCAUGCAUUUAACAAGUCUUUGAACCUUUCCCAAGCUUGGUGAAAUGACUCAUUUGGACUACAAGAAAAAUUCAUCAUUUGACGUUGUAAGGCUGCCGUCCUAUGAGUGGGGAAGUAUGUUUUCAAAAAUUCAGCUUGCAUUUCUCUCCAUGUACCUAUAGACCUAGGACACAAGGAGUUUAGCCAAAGCUUGGCUUUAUCCUUUAGAGAGAAUGGGAACAAUUUAAGACGAAUAGUUUCCUCGGUGCAUGUUCUAUCAAUAAAAGUAUUACAUACCUCUUCAAAGUCCUUAAUGUGUAUGUAUGGAUUUUCAGAAUCCAUACCGUGAAAUGUGGGAAGAAGUUGAAUCAUGCCCGGUUUCAAAUUGAAAGCUUGUUGGUUAAGAGGUAAGAUAAUACACGAAGGUGUACUUUGUCUAGCCGGGUGAAGAUACUCUCUAAGAGUUCGAAAAUUAGGUUGAUCAUUGAAUUGUGGAGGUCCAUUACCUUGAACACUCCCUUCACCCUCUACAUCUUCAACAUUAGCCAUGAUAAAAUAAUAAUAAUAUAACAAUUAUAUGAAUACGAAAGGAAAGGAAAAACAAAGAAAAAGAAAAAGAAGAUUGCAAAUAAAAGUAAAUGAAAUGUAAAAGAUAAAGUAAUAGCUCAAAAAUAAAAAUACAACAAAUUAAGAAAUUCUCCAACUAAUAAGCAAUAUUAACAACAAUAAACAUUAAAAGAUAAUUAUAACAAGCAUGAAUAAAAAGGCGGUAAUACCGGCCAAGCACUUCAGACAAUAAAUAUAAGAAAAAUAACAACAAUAAACAUUAAAAGAUAAUUAUAACAAGCAUGAAUAAAAAGGCGGUAAUACCGGCCAAACACUUCAAACAAUAAAUAUAAGAAAAAUAAUCACAACAAAACAACAAAAUAAAAUAAAAUGAACAAGAGGCGGUAAUACCGGCCAAGCACUUCAGACAAUAAAUAUAAGAAAAAUAAUAACAGCAAAAUAAAAUAAAAUAAACAAGAGGCGGUAAAACCAGCCUUAUAAUAUAAACAAUAAAUAUUAGAAACUAAUUAAAAUAGACAAUACAAGAAAAAUGGUUGAACCAACCAAAAUCCAACAAUUAAUAGUCUAGUCCACAGUCCAAUAUCCAAAAAGUUGAGGUCAAUAUUUUUUUUUUAGGCGGUAAAACCAGCCAUUUGAUUUUUUAUUUUUAUGUAUUUUUUUUUGUUUUCCAAUAAUCAAAUAGAAAUUUGUUACCUUUGCUUGCUAGCUCCCCGGCAAUGGCGCCAAAAUUACUUGACCGCUUUUUAUGUUCGGCUUGUUUUAACUCGCAAGUGCACGAGUGUGCGAUGUAGCAAUUAACUCGGUAAGAUCGAGGUCAUAUCCACAGAGAGCUAGAUCUGGAAAUUAAGCUAGGUAACAAAAAAACUCAAGAGAAAUUAAAUUAACAAUAACUUGGUUGAAAAUGAUUGAUGGAUUUGUUUUCAAAGAUGAAAAGGUGUAAAUAGAUUUUAAAUGACAAGAAAAAGUAAGUCUUGGUCCAAAUCAAUUUUAAUGGUGAUGUAUUGGUGAUUCCUUCAACAUAUAUAAGAUAACUCAACCUAAUAUCAACAAUGGUGAUAUUAGAUCGGAAGAUAUUACAAUGAAGAUUAAAAAGAUGAAGAUUGAUUAUUGCUUAAGAAUGAACAAGUACUUUCAUAUUAAGUAAGACAUUGAAUCAAGCAAUCUCUAUACCAAAACUAAGGUUUGUCCAUAAAAAUUCAAGAUUAUAACAUUACCUAAAUGAUUUCUAAAAUUUCUUUGCAAUAAUAAACAUUCAUGAAGAAAAUGAAAAGAUAGACAUUAAGAUUCAUUCAUAUCUUAAAGAACUCACCUCAACCACCAUCAUCCUUGAUUUGGAUCCAAGAAGGAGAUUAGCCAACCAUGAUUAUAUGUAAUAACAUUUUAAUAAAUAUGAAAUAACUUAAAUCAAACUGAAAUAAUAAGUUUUACAAUCUAAAGAACCGAAAUCUAUAAAGAAGAACACAACACAAUUGCAGUAAAAAUUCGGACACAAAUCUGACUCUAACUUUGGACAGCAAUUCGACCCUCUUAGAAGCCUCCUUUGGAGAUGGCUAUUAGCAAUAUAUUUAUAGGCCAUUCGGUUAGCUUUCCAGAUCAUUAAAUAACAGCUCAUUUGGACAUCGGAGUCAAAAGUUAUGGGUAAAACACCGAAAGGUAUUCUGGAAAAUCAAAUCAGGCCAGCUUGGAGAACACUUUGGUGCACGUUUUUCUUCCUCCUUUGUGAGCUGUCUCUUUCUUCUUUUUUACCCAAAAUAAUGUGACAAUGUCCCCUCCAGCUUUCCAUCCAUGUGCUUGCCCUCUUGGAUCAAUGAAUUACCCAAAAUAAAUCAAAUGUUAUUUGUUGUGUGAACAUGUAAGAUCAUUGAUUGUGCUUGGGCUGAUUUGGGGCUGAUUUUGGGGCUGAAUUUAAGCAUCAAAUAAGGGUACAAAUGUACCUAUUAUUUGGGCUAAGAUUGACAUUGAAACCUUGAGUGUUUGAUGGUUGAAGUUUGCACACAACAUAAGGCAAGUUUGGGCUUGAAAUAGAUCAUAUGAUAUUCUUUUCUAGAAUUGGAAUAGAAUUGAUUUUUGGGGCAAAUUUGGAGCACUUAUUUGAACCAAGAUUUGCUUCAAUCUUCAACUAAAUUUCUCUUCAAUUCUUUGUUCCGAAUUCCGACGUUGAAUUUUCUGAAAUAAUUCAUUUAAGCUCCAAAAACCUAUCGAAACAUUAAAAGAAACUUCAUUACUAAAAAGCACAUCAAUUACUAUAAAAAACCCAAAUAAAAACAAUAAAUACAUAUGUAAAAUAAGAGACUUAAUGAUACUUUUGAUGCACAACCAGUGGACUUACUUAAAGGACAAAAUGUCAAACUGGAUCAAACCAUAGCCAACCAAGGUGCUCAGAUUAGAGACAUGCAGGGUAUUAUGGGCACCAUGGCACAACAACUAGAAUUGGCUUUGCAUAAGCUUUCUCCCCACACUGGCAGCCCAAGUCAAGGCAGAGACAAGCAAGUAUCAGGCAUGGAAGGUUAUGAGUCAAGGCAUAGGAGCUCGCAGGAGGAGAGAAUUCCUGCAUACAAAAUACAUAAACCAAAACAUUUCUUCCCAAUUUUCAAUGGUGAAGAUGUUCAUCGCUGGCUUUACAAAUGUGCUCAGUAUUUUGAGAUUGAAGAAAUUGCCAACACUGACAAGUUGAGAAUAGCAUCUUAUUAUCUUGAAGGUGUUGCAUUGUAUUGGCACCAGAACUUUUUAAGGAGUAUAGCCAACCAAGGAGUCACCUGGGAAGAGUAUGUGGAGGCUAUUGGCUGCAGAUUUGGAUGGCAACAAGAUCCCUUGGAGACACUAAUGGAGCUAAAACAACUAGGAAAUCUGGAAGAAUACAUCUAGGAUUUCGAUAUUUUGUGGAACAAGGCAGGAAUCAAUGAGAAGCAAGCACUGGUCAUUUUUCUUGGAGGUCUGGAGUUGGAGAUCAAAAACACGGUAAAAACGUUUGAACCCAAGACUCUUAAGCAUGCGUAUAAUUUAUCCAGGCUACAAGCUAACACAUUAUCCUACAAGAAACUGUCUCCUCUUCCUAAACAUUACACCCCACCUUUCAAUACCACACAGCCACAGAUCCAUCUUCCUACAAACACACAGAACCCCACGACCAUGCAAAAUACCAUAAAACCAAGUCCAGCUCCCUGGCACAAUAAUCCUUCAAAUACCAUUCACAGGAACAAUGUUAAACCAACCAAAUCUAUAAAGAACCAAGACUUUGAAGAGAGGAGGUUAAAGGGGUUAUGCUUCUGGUGUGAUGAUAAGUUCGUUCCUGGCCAUAGAUGCAGAAAUAAAAGGUUGUAUCCAUUAAGUGUUAUGGAGGAAGAAGAUGAAGUCAUUACAGAAGAAAAGCUGACAGACAAUGACGCCCUAACAUGGGAGCUUUCACCCCACAUAUCCUUGGAUGCAUUAGAAGGUACGGUGGGGCUCAACACGAUGAAGGUCUCUGGUAGAUUGGAUAGAACUACGGUUAGUAUUCUAAUUGACUUAGGAAGUACUCACAACUUCCUCAAUGCUGAAAUGGCUCUGAAACUCCAGCUCAAAUUAAUUGCCAUUAAACCAAUGAUGGUGCAAGCAGCUAAUGGUGACAAGAUGAUUUGUAAAUCCUUGUGCAAAAACUUGAAUUGGAAGAUGCAGGGAAUAAGCUUUGUGGCUGAUGUGUUCAUCAUAGACCUAAGUAAUUGUGAGAUGGUGUUAGGUAUCCAAUGGCUAUCCUUAUUGGGUGAUAUACUAUGCAACUACAAGCAUUUAUGGAUGUCCUUCGAUUGGCAAGGCAAAAGGGUGUUACUUAAAGGGGAAAACCCACCAAAGCUGCAAUAUAUAGAACUGGAGCAUCUAAAUUCAUUAGCAGGCAACCAUGACCAGCUAGAGGGGUAUCAUUUAUGUAACUUGCAAAUGGUAGAUGAGGUAGAGGCAGGAACUACUCCAGAGUCCACUACUAUCACUAUUCCUUCAACAGAUAAUCAAGACAUCCACCUGCAAAACCUGUUAGCAGCAUAUAUUGACUUGUUUCAGGAACCCACAGGCCUGCCUCCUCUUAGAUCCCACGAUCACAGGAUUCCUCUAAAGGAAGGAGGAGACUCAGUUAAUCUAAGACCUUACAGGUACUCUGGCCUUCAAAAAGAUACAUUGGAGGACAUGAUAAAAGAAAUGCCGAGGAUAAAAAUCAUAAGGACCAGCAACAGCCCGUUUGCCUCGCCAGUAAUCCUUGUUAAGAAAAAAGACUCCACAUGGCGUCUCUGUGUUGAUUACAGAGCCUUGAAUAAACUCACCAUCAAGGAUAAGUAUCUUAUUCCCAUGAUUGACGAACUUUUGAAAGAAUUAGUGGGAGCUUCUGUGUUUUCCAAUAUAGACUUGAGUUCAGGCUACCAUCAGAUCCGCAUGGCGAGAGGAGAAGAGUUCAAAACAGCUUUCAGAACUCACAGCGGCCACUACGAAUUCUUGGUAAUGCCAUUCGGCUUAACCAAUGCUCUGGCCACCUUCCAGAGUUUAAUGAAUGAGAUUUUCAGGGAGCAUCUGAGGAAAUUCAUUCUAGUAUUCUUUGACGACAUUCUCGUCUACAACCAUACACUCACAGAACAUUAUGAGCAUCUAGCUACGGUUCUCAACUUAUUAAGAGAACAUCAUCUGGUGGCUAAAGCCAGCAACUGCUUCUUCGGCAGGGACCAGGUGGAGUAUUUAGGACACAUCAUUUCUAAGCAAGGUGUGGCGACAGAUCCCUACAAAAUACAAGCCAUUCGGGAAUGGCCACUGCCUAUAGGAUUAAAACAACUAUGAGGGUUUUUGGGAUUGACUGGUUACUAUAGAAGAUUUGUAAGGGGUUAUGGCAGCAUUUGUAAACCACUCACUCAAUUACUCAAAAAAGAGGCCAAGGGAUGGAAUGAUGCGGCCACCACAACUUUCAAUCAGUUGAAAAUGAUUAUGACUAGUGCUCCAGUAUUAGCUCUGCCAGAUUUCAACAAAACAUUUAUCGUUGAGACAGAUGCAUCCAUGAUUGGUAUGGGAGCAGUCCUCAUGCAAGAGGGACACCCCAUUGCGUUCAUUAGCAAAUCAUUGGGUCCUAAACAACAGGUAAUGUCAGUAUACGAGAGGGAAAUGCUGGCUAUUCUCCAUGCAGUCACCAAAUGGAAGCAUUAUCUCUGGGGGCGCCAUUUUAUCAUCCGAACAGACCACAUAAGUCUGAAAUAUCUUCUACAGCAGAAGUUGACUACCCCUGCACAACAUUUCUGGUUGGUGAAAUUGCUGGGGUAUGACUACGAUAUAGAGUACAAACAAGGUCGCGAAAAUGUUCCCGCAGAUGCCCUUUCCAGAAUUCCAAACAAAGAGGUUUAUGCUCUAACCACUUCUACCAUCUCUACUGACCUCCUGGCAGAAAUCAAGAAUUCUUAUGAAGGUGAUGUUACAGUUCAAGGAAUUAUUAAACGGUUACAAGAGUCUACAAACACCCACCCACACUACACUUGGGUGAAUGAUCACCUUAACAGAAAAGGAAAGGUGGUGGUAGGGAAGAAUCUUGUACUACGGGACAAGCUCAUCUCCAUGUUUCAUAAUUCAGCUGUUGGAGGACACUCAGACAUGACAGUAACAACAAAAACCAUUGGGGGUUUAUUUUAUUGGAAGGGUCAGCAGAAACACAUCAGGCAAUUCGUUAGGGAAUGCAAUGUGUGCCAGAGGAAUAAACAUGAAAACACAGCCAGUCCUAGACUCCUUCAACCAUUACCCAUUCCUUCUGCUCCCUUCAUCGACAUCAACAUGGAUUUCAUGGAAGGACCGCCCAAAUAUGAAGGGAAGGAGGUGAUAUUGUUGGUGGUGGAUCGUUUCAGCAAAUACGCACAUUGCAUGGCCCUCAGUCAUCCUUACUCUGCCUCAGGGGUGGCCAAGACCUUUAUGCACAAUGUCUAUAAACUACAUGGGUUACCAGCCUCGAUAACAAGUGACAGAGAUCUGGUCUUUUUUAGCAGGUUUUGGAAAGAAUUAUUCACCAGUCAAGGGGUCAACCUCAACUAUUCCUCAGCUUACCACCCGCAAACAGACGACCAAACCGAAAUUGUUAACAAAUGCAUCGAACAGUACUUACGCUGCAUGAUUGGUGAUUGCCCGAACCAGUGGGUCAAAUGGCUACCUUUAGCUGAAUGGUGGUACAAUACUAACUACCACUCAGCCACCAAGAUGACACCUUACCAAGUUUUAUAUGGAGUUGCCCCACCCCUACACAUUCCCUAUUUUCCUAAAAAUUCAGCUGUGGAAUCAGUCGACGAGUACUUAUCAGCUAAAGAAGAAGUCAUCAAGAGGGUCAGGGAACAUCUCCAAGCAGCACAGAACAGGAUGACUAUAGUGGCUAACAGAAAAAGGAGUGAUCAUAGUUUUGAGAUCAAUGACUAUGUCUUCCUCAAACUCCAACCAUACAGGCAACAUUCAUUGGCACGCAGGUCCUCACAGAAGUUAGCUGCAAAAUAUUAUGGGCCUUAUCAGGUCUUGGCCAAGAUAGGGAAGGUGGCUUACAAGCUGGAAUUGCCAGCUUCAACACUUAUUCAUCCAGUGUUCCACGUUUCUCAGCUUAAAAAACAUAUUGGAAAUCACACCGCACAAGGCACUCCUCCGAUGAGACCAAAAACAACUACACUACAGCCUCGAACAGUGUUAGACCGACGAAUGGUUAAACGUCACCACCAAGCACACACUCAAGUAUUGAUACUCUGGGAAGGACUAGCUCCUACUGAGGCUACUUGGGAAGACAUGGAGGAAUUUAAGUUGCACUUUCCAUUAUUCAACCUUGAGGACAAGAUUGGUUUCAAGGGAAGGCAAUUGUUACCUGCAGAAGAAGAAAUGGAAUAAUAGGAACUAAUGCAGGCCACGCAUUCAAAAGUUAGUUAUAGAAUCCAUACGCACCGUUUCAUUUAAGUAACCAUACGCACCGUUUCAAUUCCAUAAAAUGUUGCAUGACAGUUAACACACAGCCUCCGUGCUGAAGGUUUUCGUAACCAAUUAGAAUUGCAAUAUUCUAUAUAAAGGCAUAUGCAUGAUAACAGAAGGGAACAAGAAUUAUAAUGAAAGAAUGAAUUCCUUAUUAUCAGGAAACGACUAUCAGGGUGUUGUUGGUGUGGUAUCAACGGCCUCUCAUAAAUCCUCCCCACUAAAGCCCCUACUACAGCAUUAACCAUCACUGGAGACCAUCCAAUUCGGGUCCAUCAUUUCUUCACUUGUAACAACUGGUAUCAGAGCUUGCAAUCCACGGACUACCACCAUGCCACCAAGCCCCACAGCAGCAAGCGAUCUCCUUCACUGCCAACCAGCCAGCUCGUCGAGACCCGACACUCUCUUUCAACCAGCCUCUAGCGGCAAAAAUAACACAGUAGCGCCGCACCCACAGACCAGCUGCCUCUUGGCCUUUCCACCAGCCACCUGAAACAGGUCCAACAGCGACGCCCCCUUCUCGGUUGUUCCUCCUCACCACCAGCCACCUAAAGUGGAGGAGAAGAAGAAGCCCUCCCAUCGGCAGAAGGAAAACCAACAGAGAGGGAGAAGGCGGAGGAACUGGAUAGAUCUAAAAAAAAAAAGGACUGCUUGUGCGUUUUCUUUUGUUGCAGGUCAUGGUGAAAGCCACCACGGGCAGGGAAGAGAAGAGAAGAGAGGAGGAAACCAUUUAAGAGCCCCCUGUUUGUUGGACUUUUGUGCGGUGGCGAGUGAACCCACGCGCCGCCAGUGGCGGGGCGCGUGGAGGAGACGCGCCGCCACUGUUCCACAAUCAUAGAAGAUGGCCAGAAUUCUCCAGCACUGUUCCCGAAGUUUUUUUUUUUUUGUAAUUUUCAAAUGUUGCUGUUAUAUUUAGAUUAAUGGUAUUUGAUUUAUUUUGAACUUUUGAUAUUUUGUAAUAUGUAAAAGUGAUGUGUGAGUUAAGCAUAGUAAAAAAGUGAUAUUAGUGUGUCUGUUUGUUUUUUUAUUUAUGUUAUUGAAUUAUAAAAUAAAAAAAAUUAAGUGUUUAAUUUGAAUAUGGUUAAAUAUCUUAAGGAUUAAUAAAAUCAUGAUAUAUUCUCCAUGAAAAUGUAAGAACAUGUUUCUAUAUAUAUUCUGGGAUUUAAUAACUAAUUUAUUAAAACUUUAGAAUUUGAUUAAUAUUUCAAAUUUUCAAAUCACAUUAAAUCAUGAAGCAGCUUACCUCAGGUAGGGUGCGCUAGGGAUGCUAAUACCUUCCCUAACCACAACCAGUCCCUUACUCUCGAAUCUCUGACAACGACCAGUAAAUCCGGGUUUUCUAGUAACCCAAUUAAAUACUAGGUGAUAACUCCCAAAGAACCAAUCAAGCAAGAAAAAUAAAAAAUCGCCGAAUCGCCACGCGGGGGACGUGCGACAAGAAUCUUGCUGCCCCAUUACCAUUUUUGCAAAAUCUUGUUCAUCUGAAGUUGUUUCUUGUCGCAAAACUGUCAUUUAUCUUCACACCGUCCCUCGCUCAAAGUCUACCACAACUAGAAACACUAGAGGUAAGUUGUUGCGAUGAAUUGAAGUAUAUUGUCAGAAAACAAGAUGAUGAAAGGGCAAUAAUUCCAGAGUUUCUAAGCUUCCAAAAAUUAAGAACUCUAUUUAUAUAUGACUCUGAUAAACUGGAAUAUGUCUUCCCUGGCUCUCUGUCUCCAAGUCUUGUGAACCUGAAACAGAUGACAAUUAGAUACUGUGGUAAAUUUGAAUAUGUCUUCCCUGUCUCUGUGGCUCCAAGUCUUCUGAACCUGGAAUAAAUGACUAUAUUUGCUGACAAUUUAAAGCAAAUAUUUUAUAGCGGGGAAGAAGAUGCACCACCCAGAGAUGACAUCGUCAAGUUGCCUCGACUAAGAGAAAUGGAUCUUUCAUCUAAAUCAAAUUACAGCUUUUUUGGUCCAAAGAAUCUUGCUGCCUAAUUACCUUUUCUGCAAAAUCUAAGCAUCCAUGGCCACGAAGAAUUGGGUAAUUUGUUUGCACGGCUUCAAGUACGUCCUUUAUAUUUCUCCGCUAAUUAUUUUCCUUUUUAAGUUAAAUUCUAAACUUCAUUUAAUAUAAAUAAAGUGUUGAUUUAGUCUUGUAGUCAUUAUCUCAAAGCUUUUCUUAGUUUAUUAUAAAUUAUCACAUGGAUAAAUUACAAUUAAUGUAUGCGAGACAAUAACAAAUAACACAAGAAUUAGUAGAAACACACUCACCUUAUAGUAGAGACAAGAGAAUGAUUAUGAAUGGAAGGUUCAUGCACGAUCACUUGGUCGACACACACACACUUGAUAACACCUUUGAUCUAUCGAUCGAUUCCGACCACAAAUAUAAUUUAUCUAAGGAGUUAUGUAUGUGAUGUUACUUUAGUUAUGGUCUCUCAAGGGGAAAUUAACGAAAAGAAUUGAAAAGGAGAAAAUAAUUAGUUGAAUGAAGGAAGCUCUCUGCCACUUCCCUAUAUCACACUUGUAAACCCAGGAAAAAAUAAAUAAAUAACAAAAAUUCAAAAAAUUUUGAAUAUAAAUUUUCGGGUGAAAUAGUUUGAAACAUUAUAAUAAACUCAGUACUGUUGAGGGUUGGAUUUAAUUGAAGAAAAUAAUACACUUAAAGGAAAAGGGGGGCCUAAAUGCAAAUAAGAGAAAAUAUAGAGUAUAAAUACUCUCUCCUCACCAAAAAUAUGUAGGAACCCUAAGGAGAGAAGAUAGGGAGUUUUAUACCCAUUCUUGAGAAAUCAAGAGAGAAACAUUAAAAUUUCAAGAACCCAUCCAAGAUUAAGAGCUUAUAGAUGGGAUAAAAACUUGAGAGCAAAGGAUUACCAAGAAAUUGAACAAGAAGAAAAGAAAGGAGGGAGUUGAAAAUCUUCAACUAGUUGAAGAUCAAAAUCUUAAUUUGUACCGGGUAAGGUAUUCUAAACAUGAUCUUAAAAAAAUUCAUUUUUAAAUUCGAUAAAGAAUUGAUGCCUUGAUAUUGAAUCAUAGGUUAGGGUUCUUAGACAUAAAUUGGGGAAAAGUACUUAUUGUUGAGAUUAAGUUAAUUCAUGUGUGUGGUAUGUAGUUUAUGAAAGUAUUGAGUGAAGGGGAGGGGAGACAAAUCUGGACAGACUUGUCUCCUGACUUUCUGUGAGAUUUCAGGUAGGAGGAUGAGGGAAUUAGGAUCGGGUUCCUCAUAGGAAUUGUAGAUUUGAAUGUUAGCUAACCAAGGAAACUGGUCUUGCUCAAUUUGGAGAUGUAGAACUCCAAUUAUGGGUUACCAGCUGAGACUGAGUCGUGACUGAUUAUGUAGGGCAGUAGGACUAAUUAGUUAAUGAGCAAUUUUGACUAUUUUGGAGGCAAAACUGGGUUCUUCUCCCUCAGAGAACUUGUAGCCUUGUGUCUUAGCUUUCUAACGAGAUCAAUCUCACUUAAAAUGGAGUUUUAGAACUUUAGAUAUAGUUAAAAAUCUGAUGAGUGUUCAGACAAUAACAGUUGAAAAUUGGACAAUAACAGUUCAAAGUUGGACAGUAACAGUUGAAAAUUGGACAGUAACAGUUGAAAAUUGCACAGUAACGGUUCAAAGUUGGACAGUAACAGUUGAAAUUUGGACAGUAACAAUUGAAAAUUAGACAGUAACAGUUCAAUGUCUAGACAGUAACGGUAGGCUUUCACGUGAAUACUAUAUAUACAAGAAUAUAAAAGAAUUGAGUCAUACGAACACUUGCACAUUGAGAUACUAACUCUGAAAAUAUACAUGAUAUAUGUAUGUAUGUUAUUAUGAGAAAAUGAACAUGUAUAUAAAGUAACAUAUGAGUAAUGGAUGAAUAUGGAUUCUCUAUAAUGUCGGCUUGAAGGAAUCAUAACCAAAAACUUCCUUAUGAUUCAGGAGGAGCAACCAAGAUUGGAUCUUCUGUUAGGGGAGGUCGCGAGACAGGCGAAGUAGGUGCGUGAUUCUCCUCCUAUUUGCACUUAUACAAUUUAGAAUUCUUAUGGUGAAUGCAAUUACAAUAAAUGUCGUGUUCAAUGUAAAUAAAAAUCUAGCGUAAAUACAAGAUUAGCUUCGGCAAAUGGCAUCCGUGAUAGGAUUGCUGGGAUAUGAAUUACAAGAUUAGCUGCGGCUAAUGGCAUCCAUGAUAGGAUUGCCGGGAGAUGAAUUACAAGAUUAGCUUCGGCUAAUGGCAUCCGUGAUAGGAUUUCCAGGAUAUGAAUUACAAGAUUAGCUUCGGCUAAUGACAUCCGUGAUAGGAUUGCCGGGAGAUGAUUUACAAGAUUAGCUUCGGCUAAUGACAUCCGUGAUAGGAUUGUUGGGAUAUGAAUUACAAGAUUAGAUUUGGCAAGGUCACCCAGUUCAUGCAAGUAAAUAAGAAUAUUCAAAUCAUGGAUAUACAAAUGAGUGUGAAUUAGGUUUAAAAGACUUACAAGCAAAUUAUAAGUUCUUUGUUAGAAUUCUUAUGGGUCCGAUAGAAAGUUAAUACUUCAUUCGUAUUCAUUACAUGAGCAUAUAUAUUCUUUAUCAACAUAAUGAUAUGUUUAAUUAUGUAACAGGUCCAUCAAAUAUCCAGGAAGAUCAUUAGUUUAGGACUCUACUUUGCGAAGCUUAUGUAAAUAUUUAACUUAAACAAAAGGGAAUUAACGUGUUUAUGUAGUAUAUUUUUGUGUAAACCUUGAUGUAUUUAUAAAAGUUCAAUUUUGCAUGUGGUAUUUUAGUUAUCUUGUAAUUAACCCUUUUAAAAUAUUUAAGAACACUUAUUAUGUUGUAAAUACUUUCUUUGCAUGUUAGUAUUCUUUUCCUUUCAAAUUUUACGAUAUGAUGUUUGGACUAUGUUCAUAUUGAACUUACUCAUAGGAUAUAUAUAUAUAUAUAUAUAUUGUGUGGAUUGUAUGAGGUUUGAUAUAAGGUCCGGAAUUAUGGGACCUUAUGAUGAUGGGUUGAUUGAGUAAAUUGAUAGUAGUCGAUAACUUGGGAUAUCCUAAAUACAAACAAAACUCUGCUGAAUUUUUGGAAAAAAAAAUUUACCCUCAGAUAAAGAGGAUAUGUUAGGAUCUUUUAACAUUGAUCGAGUCUUACAGUUCAGACCGUUACAGUUGGUAUCAGAGCCCUGGUAUAGGUUAUGGGAAGAAAUCAAAAGAGGUUGUUGAUGUUCAUUAAUUUAUUGCAGGAUGGUACAUACCUGUCAAGAGAUUAGAACAGAUCUAUCCUCUGCAGGGAGGGGGAAUAGAGAUAUAGACUCUUCCAAAGGGCAAGAAGAGAGCCCUUUGGAAGAUACUGCUUCACAUGCACUGGUAGUAUCGACUCAAGUAGGGCAUGAAGAAUCGACGGGGCCUUAAAUUAGACAGGCACCAAGGCAAACUGGGGAUGUUCAGUUGACCAUGUUAGCUCCACGGGGACGAGUAGAGGAGCCCCCUCAGACUACACCUGCAGGGCCAUCUGUUUCUUAUGUUGAUCCGAUGCUCCUGGCCCAGCUAGUCAAAGCAGUAAUGGAAGGUAUGGCUAAUGCUGCCACUCCUAUGCCAGCACCCCCAUUUGCACCCAUCAUACCAACCGUUUCAGAAGCAACUACAACUACUAAUGACGUGGUACAACUAGUUCGUUUAGUGAAAAGUAUGAGAGAAAUGGGUUGUGAACCCUACUCUAGUGAACAGAAUGCUGAAGUGGUGGGAAGGUGGAUUAGAAAGGUGGAGAAAACCAUGAUUCAAAUUAAGAUACCAUAUGAUCUGCGGGUAGACUAUGCUACUUAAUUACUAUCAGACGGUGCUAUGACUUGGUGGGAGACAGUUCAGUUGAGGAGGGCUACAGAAACCCUAUCCUAGGAUGAUUUCAAGAUAGAGUUUGAGAAUCAAUAUUACUCCAAAUAUCAUCGGAGGAUGAAGGAACAGGAAUUCCUAGCCUUGAGACAGGAGGGAAUGUCAGCACUUGAGUAUGAGAGACAAUUUCAUGACCUCUCACUAUUCGCACUACAUUAUAUCCCGUCAGAACAACACAUGAUAGAAAAGUUAAGGGAUGGCUUCAGACAAGAAUUGAAGCAGGGGUUGAUUGCUUUGCGAUUCAGGACAGUAAGGGAACUGAUUGAAGCAGCACAGGCCUUGGAGGCGUGUAUGGUGACACGAUCAAAGAGUUGAUGUCUUAUCCCAAGUGCAGGAGUAUCAAAGUAAUAAAUAACCCGGCAAGACCGGAGUCGAACCACAGGGAGGUCAACUAUAUAAAUUACAAAUAAAGAGAAAGAUUUGAAGAGAAUAAUAACAGAAAAGAAGUUGAAGAGAGUUUUGGGAUAUGAUAUUGAUAUAAGGAUUAAACAAUAAUAAAACAGUUGUCAAGGUUAGAGGAUCCACUAAUGGUAUUUCAAAUAAAUAUAAUAUAAACUCUUUUUAUUACUCAAUUGGAAACCACACACAAAGGAGGUUCCAAUCGGAUGAUUUAUCGUUAUUAACUCAUUAUAAAUUAUUAACAUGAUCAUAUUAAUCAUCUUAUCUAAGUAACACCAUACUUAUAAAUAUCAUCAGGCAUUUAUGUUGCUAGCUUAUGUUAACAACAAAUCAAGUUCCUAUCAUAACAACGAUGUCAGCCGAAAACUAUGAAGGAUCAAACAUUUGAUGUACCAAGUGUUAUACAACAGAAAUCUAGAUUAACCAUUUAAAAAGCAAGGUAUUAAGAAUUAGUAAGAUAAAAAGAUAAAACAUGUUAAUAACAAUCUUUCUUGAAUAUAAACAUUAAAGUCCAUGUUGAGUUUAUAUUAUACCUAUUCUAACACCACUAGUGAAACAUUUUUACCUUGACAUAAUUAACUUAGCUAAACAUAAUGAAGAAGAAAAACAUAAAUAAACAAUAUAAGAACAUAAAUAUGAUAUAAGUUAACUAAGUAUAGGAAAGGAAAUGAAAAAGCAUAAACAAGAGAUUAAUAUAGCAUGAAAGAAAACUUGAACAUUACAAAAAGAGAAAGCAAGAAGAUGAUUUUGAUCUGAAAAAUAAUAUGACUAAAUACAUGGCAAAUGCCUCCUUUUAUAAGCUAAGAUUCAGAACUAUUGAUUGGUUGACUAAGAAAAUAGUUGGUGGCCAACCAUUGAUUUGGUGGCUGGUUUUUGACAUUGUUGGCUGAUUUUUGAUAUUGUUGGCUGGCCAAAACGUCAUUUCUAACAUCAUAAUUUGAGCCCUUUGUUUCAUGAAAGCUGUGGGCAAUUAUCUUAGCUUUCCAACAAAAAAAACCAGAGCUCAUUUGGACUUCUAGAACUCAAGAUAUGAGCUGAAAACCGAACAGUGUCUGAGCUGCAGGACAGGUUCCGACUUCUCCGUUGUUGCUAAACUUUGAACUUGAAAACGGCAGAAUUGAGUCUUGGACUCUGCAUGAAAGUUUUAGGUCUAUGUCUUAGAUUUCCAUCCAUAUAAAGUAGACCUAAAUCCGAGUUCUACAACUCCAGUUAUGAUCCAAUAACCGAAUGGUGUUUCAGUUUGGAAUUGAACUAUCAUCUCUUCUCUUAGCCUAGUCCUCUUUUUGUCUCUUCACUUUCAAUAGUUAAUCACAUCAAUCAAUCCUUUGAAUUGUGAGAUAUACCUGCAUUCAAAAUAAGCAUUUAUCAUAAAUUAAAGAUAUACUAUAUUAUCAGACUUGUUAUUAUAAAACAUGCUUUAGUUAAGGAAUUUAAUGAUACUUUAGUGCAAUAUGAUGAUAUAAAGCAUUAAUAAAAAUGCACUUUGAAUUACUAAUCAUAUGGAAGAAUGCCAACAGAGUCAUGGGGGUGCAGGAAAACGAAAGGAUAUGGAAUUUUUAGGCAGGCCACCGCUUCCAAAGAAAGGUAGAGGCGAACAGUUCCUUCAAUUCAAAAAGAAAAGAGGGACGUCAACUAGCUUCCGACAGGAUAUCGGUGGGAAGUCGGGAAGUGGUCAGACCCGCUCCAGGGCUAUAGCUGCAAGGGGGCAUAACAAUCAGAAGGAAAUUGUCUACCCUCGAUGUGCUUAGUGUGAACAAAGACACCCCGGGAGUUGUAUGGUUUCUCCUGGACAAUGCUAUAUAUGUCGAGGAGAAGGUCAUAAGUGGAAACCCUGUUAAUACUUGGGAAGAGGAUGUCAUCAUUGUGGUGAGAAAGGUUACUUUAAAAGGGAAUGCCCCAAGUUAAACACUAAACAGCCUUAGAGACAUGGGGAGCAAAGUCAGAGUCAUCAGCAAUCCAUCAUAGUAAACAGACCGGGAAGGUCGACUCAGUCAGGAGCUAACUCAAAUAGGGGACGACCCAGAGUACAAAAUGAAAAGGGAUCAAGGAAGGGUUUUCCAUAUGACCCAGGAGGAUGUCAGAGCAGCAUCAGAUAUGGUGGCAGGUAUGCUGCAAAUGAAUGACUAUCAAAUACAUGUUUUGUUUGAUUCUGGUGCCACUCACUCUUUCAUAGCAAAUAAAAAUGUAACCAAAUUGAGUAAGGAAACGAAAAGGGUAGAGAAAGGAUUUAUUAUUGGGACACCUUUGGGUGAAAUUGUGAAAACAAAUAUUGUAUUUGAAGGGGUGGGAAUUAACAUUAAUGGGUGUGAACUAAAAGCAGAUUUAAUACCCCUAGAAUUAAGUGAUUUUGAUAUAAUUCUAGGUAUGAAUUGGUUGGGCAAAAAUAAGGCUCGUCUAGAUUGCUUUACAAAAACAGUAACCUUUCAAGGGGCUAAGGGUGAAACAAUAGUCUUUAAGGGGGAGAGAAUUUACAACUUUACAAAUAUGAUCUCGGGUAUGGUUGCGAGAAAACUACUAAAGAAAGGUUGUACAACAUACCUUGCCUAUGUGAUAAAUUCGGAAAAGGGUAAAAUAAGAUUGUCUGACAUUCCAAUUGUGAGGGAAUUUCCGGACGUAUUUCCGGAAGAAUUGCUAGGACUACCCCCAGAAAGAGAAGUUGAAGUCACCAUAGAUAUAUUUCCUGGAGUGUCUCCUAUAGCCCAACCACCGUAUAGAAUGGCCCCAAAAGAAUUGGAUGAGUUGAAAAUUCAAUUGCAGGAGCUUUUAGACAAAGGGUUCAUACAACCAAGCAACUCGCCUUGGGGGCACCUGUAUUAUUUGUGAAGAAGAAAGAAGGAACGUUGCGGCUUUGCAUAGAUUACCGUCAGCUGAAUAAAGUGACGGUAAAGAAUAGAUAUCCACUUCCACGGAUAGAUGAUUUGUUCGAUAAGUUAAAGGGUGCCAAAGUAUUCUCAAAUAUUGAUUUAAGAUCAGGAUACUACCAAAUGUGAAUCAAAGGGCAAGAUGUGCCGAAAACUGCCUUCAGAACUCGCUACGAACACUUUGAGUUCUUGGUGCUACCCUUUGGAUUAACUAAUGCUCCAACACUUUUUAUGUAUUUAAUGAACCAAGUAUUCCAACCAUACCUUGAUAAGUUUGUUGUCGUAUUCAUCGAUGACAUCUUGGUUUACUCCAAAUCCUAUGAGGAGCAUGAACAGCACCUGAGACAGAUACUAUAGACUCUGAGGAGCCAUCAGUUGUAUGCCAAGUUGGAUAAAUGUGACUUCUGGUUAAAAGAAGUUACCUUUUUGGGGCAUGUAGUGUCUUCAAAAGGCAUUUUUGUGGACCCUCAGAAGGUGGAAGCAUUUUUGAGAUAGGAAAGGCCUACUACGGUAACUGAAAUUUGUAGUUUUCUCAGAUUGGCAGGGUAUUAUAGAAGAUGUAUCGAAAGGUUUUCAACGAUAGCAACUCCAUUGACACGACUCACCAGGAAGAAAAUAAGAUGGGAAUGGUCAAAGGAGUGCGAUGAGAGCUUUCAAGAAUUGAAGAGAAGGCUUACUACUGCCCCCGUACUAAUCCUUCCAUCCGGAACAGAAGGCUUUGUAGUCUACAGUGAUUCCUUAAGAAAAGGACUGGGUUGUGUUCUAAUGCAUCAUGGAAAAGUAGUUGCCUAUGCAUCGAGACAACUGAAGACUCAUGAAGUCAACUACCCAGUUCAUGACUUAGAAUUGGCAGCAGUAGUUUUUGCUUUACGAGUAUGGAGGCACUACUUAUACAGAUCCCGGGUCCAAAUUUUCACCGAUCAUAAGAGCCUUAAAUAUCUGAUGUCAUAGAAGGACUUGAAUAUGCGACAACGGAGAUGGGUAGAAUUAAUUAAAGACUACGAUUGUGUUAUAGAUUAUCAUCUAGGAAAAGCGAAUGUAGUCGCGGAUGCUCUCAACCAUAAAGACAAGGUGAUUAGGGGUAGACCAGCGACUUGGAAUGAGGAAACCAUGAUUGACCUAAAGAGAUUGGGGGCAGUACUAGGUGUGAGCCCAGAAGGAUCCUUAAUGGCUCAACUAAGGGUGAAGUCAGGAUAUCGAGAGCAAAUAUUAGAGGCUCAACAACAUGAUGAUGAGGUGUCAAAAGUGAGAAUCAAACUGGAAUCGGCGGGUGAAACUCUUUUUUGAAUGGGUGAUGAUGGAAUAGUGAUGUUGGGGUGACGUAUGUAUGUACCUGACAGCAAAGCCCUUAAACAAAAGUUACUACGAGAAGCUCACGAGUCUAAGUUCACUGUACAUCCAGGUAGUACUAAGAUGUACCAGGAUAUGAAGCAGUACUACUGGUGGCCAAAUAUGAGAAAAGAAGUGGUUGGUUACAUGGCAAAGUGUAGUAUUUGCCAACAAGUAAAAAUAGAACACCGAAAACCGGCAGGGCUGUUACAACCAUUACCAAUCCCUGAGUGGAAGUGGGAGAUGAUCACAAUGGACUUUGUGUCGAGACUACCCAGAGGAAAGAGGGGAAAUGAUGCAAUCUGGGUCAUUGUGGAUCGACUAACAAAGUCUGCUCUUUUCCUACUAGUAAAGAUGACAGAUCCAGUUGACAAGUUGGCUAAGAUUUAUGUGAACGAAGUUGUAAGGCUUCAUGGAGUCCCAAUAUCAAUUGUUUCAGACCAAGACCUAAGAUUUACUUCAUGUCUCUGGCCGAGCAUACAACGUGUCUUGGGAACAAAUUUGAGUAUCAGUACUGCCUUUCAUCCGCAAACUGAUGGCCAAUCUGAGAGAAUUAUUCAGAUCUUAGAGGAUUUACUAAGGGCAUGUGCUUUGGAAUUUGGUGGAAACUGGGAGGAGCACCUAUCACCAAUAGAAUUCACGUAUAACAACAGUUAUCAGGCAACAAUUGGAAUGGCCCCAUUUGAAGCUCUUUAUGGUAGAAAGUGUAGGACACCCUUGUGUUGGGAAGAAGUUGGGGACAGAAAGCUGUAUGGGGCAGAAUUAGUACAAAUCACUACUGAAAAAGUGAGAAUUAUUAAGGAUUGAAUGAAGGUGGUUCAGGAUAGACAGAAGAAGUAUGCAGAUAUUCGAAGAAGACCACUUGAAUUUUUUCCUAGAGAUAAAGUAUUUCUGAAGGUAGCUCUAUGGAAGCACAUGCUGAGAUUCGGCAUGAAGGGGAAGUUAGCUCCGAGGUUCAUUGGACCAUUUGAAAUCUGAAAACAUAUCAAACCUGUAGCAUAUGAAAUAAACUUGCCCUCAUAGUUGGCCAAGGUUCACAAUGUAUUCCAUGUUUCUUUGCUGCAAAAAGCCGAUAUAGACCCUUUGAGAGUGUUACCCCAAGUGCCAGUGGAGAUAAAAGAAGACUUAACACUUGAGGUAAGACCGAUAAAGAUACUUGAAUGGGGCGAGAAAGAACUUCGUAAUAAGAAAGUUCCCAUCCUCAGAGUCUUAUGGCGAAGCUCACAAAACGAGGAAGAAACAUGGGAGAAAGAAUCAGAAGUGAGACGAAAAUUCCGCGACUUGUUAAUAAACUCAGGUACCUCACUCAAAUUUCAAGGAUGAAAUUUCUAUUAUGGGAGGAGAAUGUAAACCCCGGAAAAAAAUAAAUAAAUAAAUAACAGAAAUUCAAAAAAUUUUGAAUAUAAAUUUCCGGGUGAAAUAGUUGGAAACAUUAUAAUAAACCCGGUACUGUUGAGGGUUAGAUUUAAUUGAAGAGAAUAAUACACUUAAAGGAAAAGGGGGGCCUAAAUGCAAAUAAGGAAAAAUAUAGAGUAUAAAUACUCUCUCCUCACCAAAAAUCCGUAGGAACCCUAAGGAGAGAAGAUAGGGAGUUUUAUACCCAUUCUUGAGAAAUCAAGAGAGAAACACUAAAAUUUCAAGAACCCAUCCAAGAUUAAGAGCUUAUAGAUGGGAUAAAUACUUGAGAGCAAAGGAUUACCAAGAAAUUGAACAAGAAGAAAAGAAAGGAGGGAGUUGAAAAUCUUCAACUGGUUGAAAAUCAAUAUCUUAAUUUGUACCGGGUACGGUAUUCUAAACAUGAUCUUAAAGAAAUUCAUUUUUAAAUUCGAUAAAUAAUUGAUGCCUUGAUAUUGAAUCAUAGGUUAGGGUUCUUAGACAUAAAUUGGGGAAAUGUACUUAUUGUUGAGAUUAAGUUAAUUCGUGUGUGUGGUAUGUAGUUUAUGAAAGUAUUGUGUGAAGGGGAGGGGAGACAAAUCUGGACAGACUUGUCUCCUGACUUUCUGUGAGAUUUCAGGUAGGAGGAUGAGGGAAUUAGGAUCGGGUUCCUCAUAGGAAUUGUAGAUUUGAAUGUUAGCUAACCAAGGAAACUGGUCUUGCUCAAUUUGGAGAUGUAGAACUCCAAUUAUGGGUUACCAGCUGAGACUGAGUCGUGACUGAUUAUGUAGGGCAGUAGGACUAAUUAGUUAAUGAGCAAUUUUGACUAUUUUGGAGGCAAAACUGGGUUCUCCUCCCUCAGAGAACUUGUAGCCUUGUGUCUUAGCUUUCUAACGAGAUCAAUCUCACUUAAAAUGGAGUUUUAGAACUUUAGAUAUAGUUAAAAAUAUGAUGAGUGUUCAGACAAUAACAGUUCAAAGUUGGACAAUAACAGUUCAAAAUUGGACAGUAACAGUUGAAAAUUGCACAGUAACAAUUCAAAGUUGGAUAGUAACAGUUGAAAAUUAGAUUGUAACGGUUGGACAGUAAAAGUUCAAAGUUGGACAGUAACAGUUCAAAGUUGGACAGUAACUAUGAAACCCUAGAAAAUUUAUAAUUUAAAUAUGCGGAUGUAUAACCUCCCACGUAAACGUAAGACUGAAAGUGAUAUAUAAUGGAGGGGAUGACCUCCAUAAAAUGAAUUUUAUUUUAGAAUUCAUAAAAUAGAGAAACUGGUAACAUGUUUGAAUGGAUAAAAUAAUGAGAGAAAUAACAAAAUGUUUCUAAGAAAUAAGUGAGUAAUAAAGAAUACAUUAUAAUAAAGGAUAAUUCAAUGAAAAUGGCAGGACUGAAGGUGCAAGCAUCAAUUAAAAAUCAGUGACGUUACUUUGGAACGAUAAUAAUACCUGAUAAAUAAAUAAAGGUAGAAAUUUUAAAAUGAAUAUAUUCCAAAAUAAUAAAAUGACCUUAAAGGUUUAGAAGGAUGAUUGAUAUUAUUUUAUGUGAAGAUUGAACAAGAAAAUUUGGAUCAUUGACGAAAAGUUAUGAACUGACCAAUUUUACAUUAAAAAGCAGAGCUCUCAAUCCAAUCGUCGGAUCGGGAUGAAAUUUUGCAUGAAGUCUAUUAAUAUGUUUUCCUACCUUUGUGAAAGAUCUCAUCCCAAUGGAAGUUUGGUAAAGACUAGCGAUUUAAGCAGAAACAAACCGGAUGGGGUGAGAGACAAUAGAGAAUUCGGUUACAGAGAGGUGCAAGAUUUGGAGGAACCAAUAAUGCUUCGAUGGCCAUAUCUCUAGAAGCCACCGUUGGAUCAUGUUGAUUUUUGGAUAUAUUGUUCUUCUCACAAUCCUACACUAACUGACCGGAAGUUUCCUGGAAAACAUCAGGGAUUUGGAGGCACAUAAUCCGUUGAACAGAAAUCAUCAUCGAAAGUUUCCUGGAAAACAAAAGGAAAUAUACCUGCAGGGAAGUUUUGGUCACCGGCUGAUUUCUCUCUUUUCCACCGUUGGAUCAUGCCUAUUUUUGGAUAUGUGGUGCACCUCUAUGUUGCCUUCAUUCUGGACGGGGGAGAUCGCAAACUUACUCUCCGGCAGGUUUAGUUCAUGUUGAACAGUAGCUCGUCCAUUUUCAGGUUAGUUUGGUUUUAUUCAGAUCUAUGGAGAUCCAACCGUUGGAUCAUUCUAAUUUUGAGAUAUAAUGUACACAACACGAUGAUAUAUAUUAUGACCGUUGGGUUCAAGGAAAUAAUUAGAGGUGGAUGAGUUGUUGCUAUUUGAAUCUAUUGCUAGUCUUAGUAAAACAUUUAGGAAGCUUGAUUUAAUUACAUGUUUUGAUGAAAUUAGAAUUGUGUGGGUGUAGGGUUUAUGUAAGAUGUAAUGGUAAAAUAUGUUCUUGUUAUUAGUGUUGUUAUAGAUAAAUUGUGUUGUAAAAUGUGUUAGGGAAGUUUUGAAAUUUGGAUGAAGGGACAUUGAGUUUGUUGAUUUAAUGGAUAUAUGUUUUUAGGCAUUAAAAAAGGAUUGGGUCUAGUGGUAAUUGAAAGAAAACUUGAAGAAAAAUUUAUCCUCCAUUUAAUGCAAAGAUUCGGCCUAGACAUAUAAAUGAGAGGAUGUGCUUAAUUGUUUUAAUUGCUAUGGAAUUUGAGUUGAAUGAGGUUAGACUAGAUAUGAAAUAAAUGGGUAAAGGUUUAUCCGGAAUAAUUAAAAAGGGCCUCACCAUGAAGGAAGGCAUUCGGCCAAAUGAAGAAGAAAUAAAGGAGAUAAGACUUUGUUUCAUUUUCUAUGUAAAUUAGGUAUGGAUGCAUAUAUCUGGUAAAGAAGAUUAGUUAGGAAGUCAGAAGAAAGAAUAUUAAAAAGAACCAAAUUCUCAUCAUAAUAUGGAAUUCCGCCAAAAAUAGAAAUAUUGAUCUGAGCAAUUGACCAAUGACANNNNNNNNNNNNNNNNNNNNNNNNNNNNNNNNNNNNNNNNNNNNNNNNNNNNNNNNNNNNNNNNNNNNNNNNNNNNNNNNNNNNNNNNNNNNNNNNNNNNNNNNNNNNNNNNNNNNNNNNNNNNNNNNNNNNNNNNNNNNNNNNNNNNNNNNNNNNNNNNNNNNNNNNNNNNNNNNNNNNNNNNNNNNNNNNNNNNNNNNNNNNNNNNNNNNNNNNNNNNNNNNNNNNNNNNNNNNNNNNNNNNNNNNNNNNNNNNNNNNNNNNNNNNNNNNNNNNNNNNNNNNNNNNNNNNNNNNNNNNNNNNNNNNNNNNNNNNNNNNNNNNNNNNNNNNNNNNNNNNNNNNNNNNNNNNNNNNNNNNNNNNNNNNNNNNNNNNNNNNNNNNNNNNNNNNNNNNNNNNNNNNNNNNNNNNNNNNNNNNNNNNNNNNNNNNNNNNNNNNNNNNNNNNNNNNNNNNNNNNNNNNNNNNNNNNNNNNNNNNNNNNNNNNNNNNNNNNNNNNNNNNNNNNNNNNNNNNNNNNNNNNNNNNNNNNNNNNNNNNNNNNNNNNNNNNNNNNNNNNNNNNNNNNNNNNNNNNNNNNNNNNNNNNNNNNNNNNNNNNNNNNNNNNNNNNNNNNNNNNNNNNNNNNNNNNNNNNNNNNNNNNNNNNNNNNNNNNNNNNNNNNNNNNNNNNNNNNNNNNNNNNNNNNNNNNNNNNNNNNNNNNNNNNNNNNNNNNNNNNNNNNNNNNNNNNNNNNNNNNNNNNNNNNNNNNNNNNNNNNNNNNNNNNNNNNNNNNNNNNNNNNNNNNNNNNNNNNNNNNNNNNNNNNNNNNNNNNNNNNNNNNNNNNNNNNNNNNNNNNNNNNNNNNNNNNNNNNNNNNNNNNNNNNNNNNNNNNNNNNNNNNNNNNNNNNNNNNNNNNNNNNNNNNNNNNNNNNNNNNNNNNNNNNNNNNNNNNNNNNNNNNNNNNNNNNNNNNNNNNNNNNNNNNNNNNNNNNNNNNNNNNNNNNNNNNNNNNNNNNNNNNNNNNNNNNNNNNNNNNNNNNNNNNNNNNNNNNNNNNNNNNNNNNNNNNNNNNNNNNNNNNNNNNNNNNNNNNNNNNNNNNNNNNNNNNNNNNNNNNNNNNNNNNNNNNNNNNNNNNNNNNNNNNNNNNNNNNNNNNNNNNNNNNNNNNNNNNNNNNNNNNNNNNNNNNNNNNNNNNNNNNNNNNNNNNNNNNNNNNNNNNNNNNNNNNNNNNNUGGUACGUCAAACAAGUAUAGUAUAAACUCUUAUUAUUCAAUUGCCAAACCACACACAAAGAAGGUUCCAAUCAGAUUAUAAAUUGUUCACAUGAUUACAUUAGUUAUCUUAUUCGAAUAAUGCUAAUACUUGUAAAUGUUGUCAAGCAUUCAUGAUUAUAACUUAUGUUAACAACAAAUCAAGUUCCUUUCAUAGCUCAGGUGUCGGUUAUACCAUACAGUAUGGGCUAUGAAAGUCCCAAGUAUUUGUUGUACCAAGUGUUAUACAACAUAAAUCUAGAUUAGUCAUUCAACAAGCAAAGUAUUAAAAAUGAACAAGAUAACAAAUAUAAAACAUGUUAGUAUUCAACAUUAAAGUCCAUGUUAAGUUUAUAUUAUACUUAUCCUUACACCAUUAGUGUUACCCUUUCACCUUGACAUAAUAAACUUAGCUAAACAUAAUGAAAGAGAGAAACAUAAAUAAACAAGGAAAGGAAAUGAAAAGCAUAAGCAAGAGAUUAAUAUAAGCAAAACUUAAGCAUUACAAAGAGAGAAAGCAAGAUCAUGAUCUUGAUCUGAACACCAAGAUGCCUCAAUACAUGGUAAAUGCCUCCUUUUAUAGGCCAAAAUUUGGAACUAUUGAUUUGUUGACUAAUUGAUGAGUGGGUUGCCACAUCUUGACUUGAUGACAAUUCUUAUCUUUUUGUCUGCCAAAAACAUCAUUGAUAACGUCAUAAUUUGAACAGACUUAAAUCAUUAAAGUUCUAGUAAAUUGUCUCAGCUUUCCAGGAAAACAAAGAUGAGGUCAUUUGGACUUCUAGAACUCGAGAUAUGGGCUAAACACUGAGCAGUGUCUGGGCUGCAGAACAGAUUCAGACUUCUCCGUUGUUGCUACAAUUUGGACUUGAAAACAGCCUUUUUAAAUCUUGGACUCCCAUGAAAGUUUUAGGCCUAUAUCUUAGCUUUCCAUCCAUAUAGAGCAGACCUAAAUCCAAGAUCUACAGCUCCAGAUAUGCCCCAAUGACCGAACAGUGUUCCAGUUUGGAUUGAACCAGCAUCUCUCUUCUAAGUUUGACCCUUUCUUUGUUCUUUCAAUUUCAGUACUUAAACUCAUCAAUUAAUCCUUUUAUUUAUGUGAUAGGCCUGCAUUUUAGAUGAACGUUUACCAUAAAUUAAAGGUAUCUUAUAGUAUCAGACUUGUUAUUAUAAAACAUCUUAUAGUUAAGGAGUUAUUGAUACUUCAAGUGCAAAAUGAUGAUAUAUAACCUUGAUAAAAAUGCAUUUUUAAGUACUAAUCACACCCCCCAACCAGCUUAUUACUAGUCCCUAGUAAUCAAAGCGUUAAAAUAGAAAAACAAUUUGUAAAUUCCACAAAGCAAGGCAUUCAUCAUUCAACUUCCCUUAAUCUAUCGAGAUAAACAAACUCUCAUUAAGUUUAUAUAUCUGCUCAAUACCUCUUAAACAAGAUAUUAAUAAACCUUCCUUUUUAUGUGCUCAUUGUACGAAAACAUAGAUGAUGGGGCUUUUGUUGGAGGAAAACAAUAUUAUGUUCUAAUGUUUAAGGUUAACUUCCUUGGGUUGGGAUUAUUAUUAUUAUUAUUAUUUUUCUCUCUUUUUUUUAAUAUAUAUACAUAUAACUUAAAACACAAUGUAUCUUUAACCCAUGUAACGAGCUUUCGGCUAAUGGCUCCCAGACCAGUUGGUCUUAGGGCAUUAGGUGUUGAGACACCCCUACGAGCUUAGUAACUCGGGUUUCAGAUACUGAUACGUAGAUAGUGCAAUGUUUGAUUCCCUUAAGCUUUUCUCCUUAACCCAUGUAACAAGCUUUGGGCCAAUAGCUCCCAAGUCAGUUGACUUUAGGGUAUUAGGUGUUAAGACACCCCUUUGGGCUUAAUUGCUUAGGUUAGGGAGGCUAAGAAACCAAACUUAUCUACGUUUUUAUUAUCAUCAUUUUUUUUUGUUUUUUUUUAAAAUUAUAUACCAUCCCUUUCCCUUAGUUGUUACCUUUAACAAAAGAACAUAAAUAAUGUAAUAAUCCAAUGUGCAACCCACAAUCAUAUGUUAAAGUGUGUGUGUGUGAAAAUGAAGGUUUAAGAAUACUUGUUAAAUGAGUAUAUGAGCAGAAUUAAGUGAUAACAAUGCGAGAGUUUGUAAACCUGAAUAUUUCAAGAAGUUUUUUGAUAGACCUUGGUAAUGAUACUUACUAAGAUGCGUCUCUAGAGUCAAUAAAAUUUCCUCCUUACUCUGCCAUCCUAAUAAGAAUACUUUACUAAGAUGCGUCUCAAGAGUUAAUAAGACUGACUCCUUACUCAGCCAUCCUAAUAACAAUUGUGUCAAAUGGUUUUAAUAAUAGCAAAAACAGUUAGUAAGUUAGUUUUUUUUUAAGGAUUGUAGUUGGUCAAUCAAUUGUUCAGCAGUAGCAGCAGAGAUUAUGAUUUGUCAUGCUGAAGAUGUUAGAAAAUUCUGUUCCACAACAUGAUCAAGAAAAGACAACAAAUUAUCAUAAAAACCAUUGACAUUUAGCAAAUCUAUAGGUUUAUGGUGAAUGUGCAGUUGGGCCCAAGAGGAAAUAUGAAAGAUCUCUUCCAAUGUGCCUCGACCACCUGAUAAUCGAACCUUCGCUUCAAUCAGCCAGCGAAUAUCUUCAGGAAUUCCAUGAUUCAUUAACAAUCUCAAUCUUGCACACCUUGCACGGUAAAUUUUUGUAAUCACAUUCCGAGGCAGAGUGGGAAAAUACUUUUUCAAUUUUUCAAGAGUGGUGUCCAUUUUCAAAUGAGAAUUGGAGAAGAGAUUCAAAGAACUGAGAAAGAGCAAAGAAUUGCACAAAUAUGUACACCGAUAUCAGUUAUUAUGGGAAACUGAAAGAACCGACUUAAGUCACGGAGUAACGUUAUCCGCCAUUUGACCGGGGUGAGAGAAACUAGCAAAACAAAACACAAAACAAUGUGAGAAAAAAACAAAAUAAUCAACCUUUAUCUACAGGAUCACUCAAACCAAUGGAUUCAUUUUCACUAGGAAAAUUAUCAAAGUAAGCUUUCAAAUGAUGUUCAUUUACCUUAAAAACAUUGUUAUUCUUUGGAUUCUCGAUAUCACAGGCCCCAUAUGGAUACACAUGUUUCACAAUAAGAGGACCACUCCAUCUUGAUCUUAGUUUUUCAGGAGAUAAAUUGAGUCGAGAAUUAUAAAGCAAAACUUUUUGACCAAUAUCAACUUUUUGACAACUUUCACAAGUUUUGCAGAAUGCAUAUGUGUCCUUGAACAUGGUGGGCCAAUAAAAUCCAUUUUGAAAGAUUUUCGCAAUGAUCUUUUUUGAUGAGAAAUGACUCCCACAUGCUUCAGAAUGACAAAAUUUAAUGACACUACUUACCUCAUUGUCCACAAUGCAUCUUUGAAAUAUUUGAUCAGGACAAUAUUUGAAUAAGUUAGGGUCAUCCCAAUAAAAGUUUCUCACUUCGUUCAAAAACUUUCCUUUAUCUUCGGUACUCCAAUGAGUUGGCAAAUCUCCUGAGGCAAGGAAAUUGAUAUUUUUAGCAAACCAAGGCAUUGAACCAAGAGAAAGUAAGGAUUUGUCAGGAAAGUAAUCAUCGAUUGGUGUGAUGUCAGAUGUCGAAUCUGUUGUCACUCUUGACAAAAGAUCCGCAUCAACAUUUUUUAUGCCUUUUUCAUCCGUGAUUUCUUCCUGAGAAUAAGUCAUUUGCAAAUCUUCAAAUUCAUCAAACUCAGUAUUACUCAAAGUAGAUUCAAAUUGAUCAUAAACCAAUUCUUCAAUAAAAUCUACUUCUUAUAAAUCAUUAUCAUCUCCAGGUUGCUUGCAAAUGUUGAAAAUAUUCAUCUCCAAUGUCAUGUUUCCAAAAGAUAGCUUCAUCAGUCAAUUCCUACAAUUAAUCAAUGCAUUAGAAGUUGCAAGAAAUGGACGCCCUAAAAUAACAGGAAAUGAAUUACAUGUUUCAACAGGUUGUGUGUCCAAGACAAUAAAAUCCACAAGAUAAAUGAAUUUAUCAACUUGUACUAACACAUCUUCAACUAUUCCUCUAGGCACUUUUACAAAUCUAUCGGCAAGUAAAAGAGUUACAGAAGUUGGUUUUAACUCACCUAGAUUGAGACUUUGAAAAACUGAAUAUGGAAGUAAAUUCACACUAGCUCCAAGAUCAAGUAAGGCUUUUUCAAUUUUAUGUUCUCUAAUAAAGCAAGAAAUUGUAGGGCAACCAGGGUCUUUAUAUUUCAAAGCAUUAUUAUUCUGAAGAAUGUCACUUGUUCGGCCAAAAAGGCUUUCUUUUUCACAUUCAGUUUUCUCUUCACAGUGCACAGAUCUUUCAAAAAUUUUGCAUAAGAAGGAACUUGUUUAAUAGCAUCCAGCAAAGGUAUAUUGAUCCUUACCUGUUUGAAAGUUUCAAAGAUUUUAGAGUUGUGAUUGACUUUCCUUUGUUUGGCCAUGGCAUGAGGAAAUGGAAGUGCUGGCGGGGAAUCAGUCUUUUCUUUGUAAUGAUCAGAUUCAACCCCUUCCUUACCCUUAGAGAUUGACUCAUCAUCAUUCUCAUAAGGUUCAAGAAUGGGUUUUUCAAUAACCUUACCACUACGAAGAGUGAUGACUGAUUUGACUUGAUUCAUGUGUUGACUUCCAGAACUACUUGCAUUUGCAUGAUACUGCCCCUUGGGAUUUUGUUGUGGUUGACAUGGAAACUUACCUUUCUCUUGGAAACUAAGAGCAGAUGUGAAUUUUGCAAGAGUAUCUUUAAAAUCUAUCAUGCUUUGAGCAAGUUGAUUGUUAAUUGCCUCUUGCUUUUCCAUAAAUGCAUGCAAUGUUUCCUCAAGAUUUCUUCUAGGAGGGGGAGCAUAAGGAGGUGCAUAUCCAUGAGAAUUUUGGAAAUUAUGGUGUGCUUGAAACGGUGGUUGUGAAGUUUGUGCAUUAUUGUUCUCACUCUUCCAACUGAAAUUUGGGUGAUUUCUCCAACCAGGGUUAUAUGUUUGCGAAUAUGGGUUAUGAUUGGGCAUUUGAAAACUAUUUAAAGCAUGGGCUUGUUCAUGGAGACAUUCCUUAAUAGAAGGCAAAGUUGGACAGUCAUUGGUUGGGUGUUCAUUGGUUUCACAGAUUUGACACGCAAUGUCUUGAACAAAUUUUAAUUGACCACUCUUUUUCAAUUGUAGUGCUUCGACUUUUUUAGCUAAAGAUGCAAACUUGGCUUGGAGGUCAUGAUCUUCCCUAAGGUUGUACAUACCCCCACUAGAUGUAUGAGGUUGGGUUUUACUUGGUGCCUCAUAAGUACCUGUGGUGUCCCAAUUUUGUGCAUUUUCAGCUAGCAAGUCUAAGUACUCCAUUGCUUCAUUAGGGUCUUUAUCUUCAAAAGUUCCAUUACACAUCAAUUCAACCAUUUGCCUAUCUCUAGGUGUUAAUCCUUCAUAAAAAUGUGAAACUAAUCUCCAUGUUUCAAAACCAUGAUGGGGGCAAGUAUUAAGCAAGUCUCGAUACCUAUCCCAACAUUGGUAAAAUGUUUCUCCUGGUUUUUGAGAGAAAGUAAUGAUUUGUCUUUUGAAAGAGUUUGUUCUGUGAGAUGGAAAAAACUUCUUUAAAAAUUGUUGUUGCAUUUCAUCCCAAGCACGAAUGGAUCUAGGUCUCAAAUUUUGUAGCCAUGUUUUAGCUUUAUCUUUUAAUGAAAAAGGAAAAAGCUUUAAUCUAAUGGUGUUCAUGCUACAAUUUGAGUCAUUAUACGUAUUGCAGACCUCCUCAAAUUCCCUUAAAUGCAAGUAUGGAUUUUCUAAAUCUAAGCCAUGAAAAGAUGGUAAAAGUUGAAUAAUGCUUGUCUUAAAAUUAAAAUGAGAUGCAUCAAGAGGAAAAACUAUGCAUGAGGGUGCACUUGUUCUUAUGGGAUUCAUGUGGUCUCUAAGUGUUCUAACACGGUUAUUCUCAUUAUUUUCAUUAUGAAGCGAUUUGUUAUCUUCUUCGGCCAUAUUUUCUGAAAAUGAUGAGGAUACCCUACAAAGUCUACCACUUAAUGUACGUGACCACACUCACAUGCACGUGCAGGAAGAGAAUAAAAGAAAGAAAAGAAAAACAAUAGAAAAAGAAACAAAACAAAAGAAAUGAAGUUAGAUAUAAGAAAAGUGAAAAGAGAAAACAAAAUAAAUAACUCGACCAAAAACUUGACACGACCAAAAGAUUGAUGUCUUCUCCCAAGUGCAGGAGUGUCGAAGUAAUAAAUAACUCGGCAAGACAGGGAGGUUAAUUGUAUAAAUUAUAGAUAACAAUAAUACAACAAUAACAAUAACAACAACAAUAACAACAACAAUAAUAAUAGAGAUAAUAAUAAUAGUGAAGAAGAAGAGGAAGAAGUUGAUGAAAACUUUGAGAUGGAAGAUUAACGUAAAGAUUAAACAAUGAUAACAACAAAUGUCAAGGUUAGAGGAUCCACUAAUGGUACGUCAAACAAGUAUAGUAUAAACUCUUAUUAUUCAAUUGGAAACCACACACAAAGAAGGUUCCAAUCAGAUUAUAAAUUGUUAACAUGAUUACAUUAGUUAUCUUAUUCGAAUAAUGCUAAUACUUGUAAAUGUUGUCAAGCAUUCAUGAUUAUAACUUAUGUUAACAACAAAUCAAGUUCCUUUCAUAGCUCAGGUGUCGGUUAUACCAUACAGUAUGGGCUAUGAAAGUCCCAAGUAUUUGUUGUACCAAGUGUUAUACAACAUAAAUCUAGAUUAGCCAUUCAACAAGCAAAGUAUUAAAAAUGAACAAGAUAACAAAUAUAAAACAUGUUAGUAUUCAACAUUAAAGUCCAUGUUGAGUUUAUAUUAUACUUAUCCUUACACCAUUAGUGUUACCUUUUCACCUUGACAUAAUAAACUUAGCUAAACAUAAUGAAAGAGAGAAACAUAAAUAAACAAGGAAAGGAAAUGAAAAGCAUAAGCAAGAGAUUAAUAUAAGCAAAACUUAAGCAUUACAAAGAGAGAAAGCAAGAUCAUGAUCUUGAUCUGAACACCAAGAUGCCUCAAUACAUGGUAAAUGCCUCCUUUUAUAGGCCAAAAUUUGGAACUAUUGAUUUGUUGACUAAUUGAUGAGUGGGUUGCCACAUCUUGACUUGAUGACAAUUCUUAUCUUCUUGUCUGCCAAAAACAUCAUUGAUAACGUCAUAAUUUGAACCGACUUAAAUCAUUAAAGUUCUAGUAAAUUGUCUCAGCUUUCCAGGAAAACAAAGAUGAGGUCAUUUGGACUUCUAGAACUCGAGAUAUGGGCUAAACACUGAGCAGUGUCUGGGCUGCAGAACAGAUUCAGACUUCUCCGUUGUUGCUACAAUUUGGACUUGAAAACAGCCUUUUUAAAUCUUGGACUCCCAUGAAAGUUUUAGGCCUAUAUCUUAGCUUUCCAUCCAUAUAGAGCAGACCUAAAUCCAAGAUCUACAGCUCCUGAUAUGCCCCAAUGACCGAACAGUGUUCCAGUUUGGAUUGAACCAGCAUCUCUCUUCUAAGUUUGACCCUUUCUUUGUUCUUUCAAUUUCAGUACUUAAACUCAUCAAUUAAUCCUUUUAUUUAUGUGAUAGGCCUGCAUUUCAGAUGAACGUUUACCAUAAAUUAAAGGUAUCUUAUAGUAUCAGACUUGUUAUUAUUAAACAUGUUUUAGUUAAGGAGUUAUUGAUACUUCAAGUGCAAAAUGAUGAUAUAUAACCUUGAUAAAAAAUGCACUUUUAAGUACUAAUCAUGAAGUUACUAAGUUUGUACAUGAUGGGUUGAGUAGACAAAAAUAAAAUAAAAUAAGAUUGUUAGGUCAUGUUUAAAGAUAUUUAGUCUGGAAAGACAAGUCAUGAAAGGAAAGGAAAUAAAUAAAUAAAUAUGUGAAUGCAUGUGUCAUGCGAUUUUAAAUUUAAAUGAAUUUUAGAAUGGAAUUUUCAAUUAUGGUGGAGCCACAUUUGAUAUGUAUCUUUAAUGAUACUGGAGAGAUUGCAGAAUCUGUUCAGUAGCAUGGGACUUUUACGCGAGUUCAAGCAUUAGGUAGGUGUCUUAUACCUCAAACUUUUGUUUUUACAAUACUUGUUAGAGUUAAAUAAAUGGUAUUUUCUAUAAAUAUACUUGUGCUUGUGUAAUUGUGAAUGUUUAUGUCGAGGAAAAUAUAGUGGACUAGCUAGUUUGAAUAGAGUUAGUGGUGCUACUGUACUGACUGUUGAGUUAGAUGUAUAAUAACAAAAAUGAAAUGUACCGACUUUAGGGUGAUAAAUUAAUGGUACAUUAUGAUUAAAUUAUUGAUGCUCGAUUUAUAUAUGUAUACUGAUGAUGUGUAUGUGUUUAAAUAAUUUAUAUGAAGGAAGCAGGUGUAUCCCACCUUGUCUCUUUUAAGUUGUGUAAACUUAUUGGUAAAUUUCAGAAUUUAUUGUUUUAUUGCUUCGAUGAUAUUGACAUGAGUAAGAGUACCUUAUGUGCAACGGUAUACCUCUAUUAGUUAGGAUAAUGUUUGAACGAAUAGGAGUGACUUGCGUGUGUUGUUAUGUAUUGAAUUAAUUAUGUUAUUAUGGUCGUAGUGUCGAUAACUAAGUUUGUGUGGGAAUGAUGCUUAGCAACAGUUGUUAUAAUGCAUAUGAUGUAAGAAAAAAAAAGAAGAAGAAGAAGAAAAGAAAGAAAGGGGAUCGAUACGAAUGGAAAUUUCAAGUGACAUUGAUUAGCUAUCCGGGUUUGGAUAGCUAAUGGUAUCAAUGAGGUUUCAUUGGUAUCGGCAUUUAGGGUGACAUUGAUUAGUUAUCCGGGUUUGGAUUGCUAAUGGUAUCAAUGAGGUUUCAUUGGUGCCGGCAUUUCUUAAAUUGAUUAGUUAUCCCGAGCAAUUGGGUGACUAAUGAUGUUAGUAAUGAUUACUAAAAUCGGCAUGGUUACUCUUGGUUCAGUGAAAAAGAUAAGUUUAUUAACUAUUUUGGGUCGAGAAUAGUUAAUGAUAUCAAUUGGUCAUAUUGGUAUCGGCAACCAUUUCUGGUGUGAUUAGCUACUCCAGGUAAGGAGGCUGAUAAUGUAAAGGGUUCUUGACAUCGGCAACUUUGAUGAUAAAUCAUAUAUGAAUAGGAUUUGAUACUCCAGAUAAGAAUAGUUAAUGAUACUAAUCGGUUGUGUUAAUAUCGGUACGUGAAUGUAAGUUAUUAGUCUAUCCCAAUAUUAAAAGACUAAUGAUACUAAUGAGAUUUAUUAGUGUCGGCGAUUACUUUCUAGAAAAUAAAAGGGAAAAUAUUGAUUAGUUAUUCCAAAGGAAUGAGAUAAGCUAAUGAUACCAAGAGAGAAAUGUCUUGGUAUAAAGAGAGAAUUGAUUUAUAAGGAGAUGGUGUUCGAAAAUCAUUGAGUUGUGUUGAGAUUUCCAAGAUGAAAUUAUUCUCAACAAAUGGGAAAGGAUAUUAGAUGGAUAUUGGUAAUAGAUUGAAAAUGCAUGUUGUAAAAGAGGUUUAUACCUAAUUUUAUGUCUCAAAAGAAAUUCUAUGAAGAUUAUUACCUAUCAUUGUUAUUGUUUGUUACUACCUUUUUAUAUUUAUGUGUACACGUUAAUUUCUAUUUUCAGGUCCAUCAGGGUCGCGUCCGGAAUGAUAUUGGUUUAGUUACCUUUUGCUUUUGACCAUGUAAUUAUUUGUAAAUUAAGAGUCUUAUAUCCUAAAACUUGAAAUAUAAUAUUAAUCCGUAAAUUUGAAUGUAUGACUUUAAUCUAAUGUUUGUAACUUUAAGUACCUAUUUAACCAUGCAUGUUUAGAGUUGAAAACAAAUCUUUCACUUGAAUUACAUUAUAUGACGUUAUUGAAUAACAUGUGUUAUGUUGAUGAUGAUGAGUUGGGUUGAGAUCUAGGAUGAUUGGAUUAGGAUGUGAACUAAAAUUGGAAGUAUAAUAUGAUUUUGUCGAUAACUUGGGACCUCCUAGUAUAGGGGAGACUCUGCCAAAAUUUUGGUAGACAUUUGGUGGAACCGGUAUAUUAAAAAAAAAAUUACUUGAAAAUUUCCAAUGUAUCGUGAAAAAAGGAUGUUGGAAAUCAAGGUUGUUAUAGUAACAGUUGAAAAUUGGACAGUAACAGUUCAAUGUCUAGACAGUAACGGUAGGCUUUCACGUGAAUACUAUAUAUGCAAGAAUAUAAAAGAAUUGAGUCAUACGAACACUUGCACAUUGAGAUACUAACUCUGAAAAUAUACAUGAUAUAUGUAUGUAUGUUAUUAUGAGGAAAUGAACAUAUAUAGAAAGUAACAUAUGAGUAAUGGAUGAAUAUGGAUUCUCUAUAAUGUCGACUUGAAGGAAUCAUAACCAAAAACUUCCUUAUGAUUCAGGAGGAGCAACCAGGAUUGGAUUUUCUAAUAGGGGAGGUCGCGAGACAAGUGAAGCAGGUGCAUGAUUCUCCUCCUAUUUGGACUUAUACAAUUUAGAAUUCUUAUGGUGAAUGCAAUUACAAUAAAUGUCGUGUUUAAUGUAAAUAAAAAUCUAGCGUAAAUAUAAGAUUAGGAGAUGAUUUACAAGAUUAGCUUUGGCUAAUGGCAUCCGUGAUAGGAUUGCCGGGAGAUGAAUUACAAGAUUAGCUUCGGCUAAUGGCAUCCGUGAUAGGAUUGCAGGGAUAUGAAUUACAAGAUUAGACUUGGCAAGGUCACCCAGUUCAUGCAAGUAAAUAAGAGUAUUCAAAUCAUGGAUAUACAAAUGAGUGUUAAUUAGGUUUAAAAGACUUACAAGCAAAAUAUAAGUUCUUUGUUAGAAUUCUUAUGGGUCCGAUAGAAAGUUAAUACUUCAUUCGUAUUCAUUACAUGAGCAUCUAUAUUCUUUAUCAACAUAAUGAUAUGUUUAAUUAUGUAACAGGUCCAUCAAAUAUCCAGGAAGAUCAUUAGUUUAGGACUCUACUUUGCGAAGCUUAUGUAAAUAUUUAACUUAAACAAAAGGGAAUUAACGUGUUUAUGUAGUAUAUUUUUGUGUAAACCUUGAUGUAUUUAUAAAAGUUCAAUUUUGCAUGUGUUAUUUUAGUUAUCUUGUAAUUAACCCUUUUGAAAUAUUUAAGAACACUUAUUAUGUUGUAAAUACUUUCUUUGCAUGUUAGUAUUCCUUUCCUUUUAAAUUUUACGAUAUGAUGUUUGGACUAUGUUCAUAUUGAACUUACUCAUAGGAUAUAUAUAUAUAUAUAUAUAUAUAUAUAUAUAUAUAUAUAUAUAUAUAUAUAUAUGGUGUGGAAUUAUGAGGUAUGAUAUAAGAUCCGAAAUUAUGGGACCUAAUGAUGAUGGGUUGAUUGAGUAAAUUGAUAGUAGUUGAUAACUUGGGAUGUCACUCUGCCGAAUUUUUGGAAAAAAAAAAAUUUACCCUCAGAUAAAGAGGAUAUGUUAGGAUCUUUUAACAUUGAUCAAGUCGUACAGUUCGGACCGUUACAACACUCAAUGAACAUGAUUUACCCAUAAAGGAAAAAGAGACAUUCCUUACUUCAAGUUUGCUUUACUUAUGAUGUAGGCUAAGGACAACAACAACUGCAAGUUAAAGAGGGAUAAUCAUUAGAUUGUGUGUUGGGACAAAAUAAAUAAUUUUUUUAAUAUCCGUGAUCAGUACCGGUGAAUAUGAUAGAAUGGAAGACUCCCCUUCAUUAUCUAAAAAUAAAUAAAUAAAAUCUAGAUUAUCCUUCUAUUGUGUAUCAAAUUUAUGCUUUUUAUUGGUCAGUGAUUUUAAAUCCGGUUUGGUGGUCGACCCGACCCAAGGGGUUCUAGUCACGAGUUUUGAUCGGGUCACCUGAGUCAACUCCAAUUUUUUUAUAAAUCAAAACGAUAUCGUUUUUUAUUAAAAAAAAUCAACAGGUUGCAACCGGGUUUUUUAAUCCAUUUCAAGGGCAAUAGCAUUUAGAUCCAUUUCAAUAGCAUUGAUUCCAUCAGGGGCUCCGGUGUAUAGUGAGGACCUUGCUGUUAGAAACUAUGGAGCCCACUAUUUAUUAAUCCAUUUCUAUUUACUACUUAUUACUAUUUAUUUUUAUUUACUAUAUUUUUGUUUGUGAUACCCGGUACCAAUACAAUUUGAGAUUCCUUCAAUUUUUAAGGUGCAUGCAAGUCUAAUGGCUUCAUGUACAAAAUCAAUUCAAGGGUGUGUAUCCUUAACUAUCAGGCUAACCUUUACAAGCUUGGCAAUCGAUAAUUAAUUUUUAAUGAAUUCAAUUUUUUUUUAAAUAAGGAAAAGGACAUUGGUGAAUAAAUUGUUUCCUUCCUAUUAUAAUUGUUAGACCUUACCAAAGGGCUAAUUUAGAAAAAGAUUGUAACUUAUAGGUCACUAGGGCCGAGGUCAACUUGUGACUAAGUAGAUCAAUUUAAAUUAAUUAUUUUUAUUAAAAUAAUAAUGUUUUGUUUUUUUUCUUGAUAUUAAUUUGGCUAAUUUUUAUCAAAUCAAAUCACUAAGAACUUAACCAAAUCAAAUUUCAUCAAAUCAAUAAUAUUUUAUGUAGUUGAAUUAAAAAUUCAAUUCAAUUCUAGCUCUGAACCCUGAUUUUUUUUUUGUUCAAUCUAGCAUACAGGUUUAUCAAAUAUGCUUCGCGCUUGCAGCUGUGGUUUGCUGCGGGCAUUUGAUAAUUGGAUUACUGUAAAGAUUAUUGUUGUCAUUUCCAACUUCAUGCAUGUUGCUAGCACUAGAAGUUGACCCAACCACCCUUUCUACCAUGCUCUCAUUAGGACCAAAUAGUUCUCCGUGUGCAUACCAACACAGGUAAUCUUCCAUGAACCAUUUGGUUAGAAGAUGCAUCGUUACAACAUUUUGAUGCAGAAACGUUUUAUUUUUACACUUCCUGCAUGGACACCUAAUACCGCCAUCAGUAAAAUUCGUCGGAAUAGAUGUUGCGAAAUUAAUAAAACCCAGAACCCCGUUAUAAUAAUCCAUCCUCCGCAAUCCUUGGGGUGAGUCCCGAUACAUCCAUGAACGAUCAUCCAUGACUUCUAUCGAACCUCUAUAAAAUUAUGACGACAACAUGUAUUAAUUAACUAUGUUACGUAAAUAAAUUUGCAAAAAUAUUGGUUUGCCCCAACAUUAUCCAACAAACUAAAAAAACACUUAUGUUAAAUAUUCAUUAUCAAUUAUCAAUUAUCAAGGUCCAUACAAAUUUAUAUAUAUAUAAAUUUAUGAAAUCACAACUUCGCAAUAGAAUUGAUAAAAAUUAAAACAGACCCGUUAAACAAGCUAUUAUUUAUUUCAUCACAACAUAUCUAAUUCGGUGUAAUUCAAACAAAGUUUCAAUAAUUUACAAAUAAAUACAAUUUGACAAAAUCUAAAACAAACUAUAACAACUAUAAAAUUCUACAUUCAUACUACAAGUUUCUUUGACAAAUAACAAUCAAACAAGUACAUACGUUAACAAAAAUAUACAUAUACUAAAAAAAAAUGACAUUUAAAUGUUAAAACUAAAAGGAUAAAUUUACUUACAAAAAAUGAUAAAAUCCACAAUAAACUGCUCGGAGAACGGAUGUUGUGACCACGUACAAAAGUAUAAGAAACUUGAGUGCUUGUGUUGAGAAGAUGGGGGAGUUGGGAUGGGUGGUUGGCUGCAGUUUGGGAGGGCAGAGUUGGGAUGGGGAAAAAGAAGGGGAAGAAGAAGGAGAAAUAGGGCAGAGAGUGUCGGCAGAGUGGAUAAUAUAUUGGCUUUUACCGAUGGAAUCACCGACUGAACGUUUCCGUUGGUGAGUCGGCCAGUGAAUGUGCCACAUCACUGUAUGGCGAUCCCGGUUUGAAUCCCUCGGUAAUUCCAUCGGUAAAAUCAUCUGAAAAAAAUCCACGUCAUCACACCGUUGCAACUUUUCAAAAAACUAUAUAAUCCGUCAGUGAUACCGUCGGUAUAUAGCGACGGUAUCGCCAACGGAAAUUGUCUGUCGGUAUAUACCGACAGAAGUAGAGACGGAAUUAUUUUCGUCGGUAAUUUUUACCAAUGAAAAAAGUCUGUCGGUAAUUCCGUUGGUUUUCGCCGAUUUUUUGGUAGUGAAAUCUUAUUUAAAUUAAAAAGCCAAAAAUGAACUCAUCUACUCUUUGCAAGAAUGGACUAAAAUCCGCAUAAUUAAAUAGUACUGUUACUGUAAACUACUAGGAAAUUCAUGGGUAGAGCCAAAAUGUUAACAAUAGCAUUGAUUCGACCAAGUAAGGGGCUCACUAUUUAUUAAUCCAUUUCUAUUAAGGAAAUAACCAUAGAAAUUAUGGAGCCCACUAUUUAUUAAUCCAUUUCUAUUUACUACUUAUUACUAUUUAUUUUUAUUUAUUAUAUUUGUGUUUGUGAUACCCAGUACCAAUAAAAUUUGAGAUUCCUUCAAUUUUUUAGGUGCAUGGUCUAGUCUAAUGGCUUCAUGUACAAAAUCAAUUCAAGGGUGUGUAUCCUUGACUAUCAGGCUAACCUUUACAGGCUUAGCUAGCAAUCGAUAAUUAUUUUUUAAUGAAUUCAUUUUUUUAUUUAAAAUAAGGAAAAGGACAUUGUUACACCUUAACUAUUAUAAUUGUUACACCUUACCAAAGGGUUAAUUUAGAAAAAGAUUAUAACUUAUAGGUCACCAGGGCCGAGGUCAACUUGUGACUAAGUAGAUCAAUUUAAAUUAAUUAUUUUUAUUAAAAUGAUAAUGUUUUGUUUUUUUUCUUGAUAUUAAUUUGGCUAAUUUUUAUUAAAUCAAAUCACUAAAAACUUAACCAAAUCAAAUUUCAUAUUUCAUCAAAUCAAUAAUAUUUUAUGUAGUUGAAUUAAAAAUUCAAUUCAAUUCUAGCUCUAAACCCUGAGUUUUUUUUUUUUUUUGUUCAAUUUAGCAUACAGGCUUAACAAAUAUGCUUCGCACUUGCAGCUGUGGUUUGCUGCGGGCAUUUGAUAAUUGGGAGAGGCUUUAGUUUCGUACCUGUUGUUCUGCUUCAUGUACACUCGGACCUCUUAUUUUAUUUUAUAUUGGUUGGAUCCAAACUUAAUCCAACACAAAAUUAACAUAUUUAUUAUUUAUUUAAGAUAAAUGAUAUAGGUUUAACAUAUUAGCGAACACUUAAUAUGAUUAAAUUUAAUUUUAAUUAAUUAACAUCUCACCGUAAUAAAUUUUACCAUUUGCAACCAAAAAACAGUUGACACCUUAUUAAUAUAAUCAAUAUAGUAGAAAAAUUAUAGUGAUUUAAAACAAUUCAUUAAAAUGUUCGUAAAUGUUUUUAUUUUGUGACAAGGAUUUUCAUGUUAUCUGUUAUGUAUUGUUACUGUUAUAAUCCAUUUCUAGAUUAUUUCUCAAAUUCCAUAAUUAGAUUUUUAAUAGGUCAAUUUGAUUUAAUCAUUGGCCAAAUUAAAUUUUAAUUAUGUUUAAAAUUUUAUUUGGGUCCUAUUGAAGGAUUUAAUUAGAUGCAAUGACUUAACUUUACUUUAAAUGGGUCAAAUUAAAUUUAUAAGGGUAAAAUUGCAAGAAAAUCAAAGUUUUUGGGGUCAAUUAAGGGCUAAAUUAAAAAAAUUCACAGCCAAGAACUAUUUUGCAAAAGACGCUAAACUAUAGAAACUCAAUUGAUUGAAAUUAGAGAUGGAAAUGAAAGAAUUGAAAGUUUAAGAAUCAAUUGAGGGUUAAAUUGCAUAAAUCCAAGACCAAGGAUCAAAAUGAAAUAGGUGUUGAAAUUUGAGGCUGACAUUCAAGUUCGGCAGAGGCAAAAUUGCUUAAAAUUGAAAGUUUAAGGUCAAUUAGGGAUGCAAUUGAAAGAAAUUAAAAGUCGGAGGACCAAACUGAACUUUGGCCAAAUCCCUAAAAUAAAACCUUAAGAGCCAAAACAACGUUGUUUCAUUUAAAUGCAUUUAAAUGAAACAACGUAAAUGAAACAACGUUGUUUUGACAAAACAGUACCAAAAAAAAAAGGCAAACCAGACAACGCAUCAUCUAGACUGUUCAUCUUCUUCAUCAUUAGCCUCCUAGAAAGCUUCUCAAAUGGCCACUUUCUCAAGGCAUUUAAUGUCUUUUCUCUCCAUCAAAUUUGAUAAAAUUUGCACGCAAACGGUGGCCUAACAUCUGGUGUUGUCCUUUAUGGCUGAUUGACGCCACAGCGGUUAUGGCACCGCCUUAAAGUGGCCAACCCGACUAGCCCUUCUGUAGUAACUUGUCAAACCAUGAUUGCAACUUUAAGUCAAUGGUUGAGAUCUUUCAGAGUUGAAUUAGGGGCUAAGAUUUAGCAACUUUAAAUCAAUUAUUGCAAAGUCAAUGCUUUUAUUUUGUGACGACGAUUUUUGUGUUAUCUAUUAUGUGUUGUCAUUGUCAUAAUCUGUUUCUAGAUUAUGUUUCAAAUCUAUCUUCUUUCUUUUCAAAAUAAAAAAGAUCAAAAAAUAAUAAUAGCCAGAAAACUAGCAUUUUGGCAAAAGCAAGUUGGGAAAAUUUCAAAUGUAGAAUUGCAAUUUUGGAUGGAAUUGGGAGCCUAAUUAUAUCUUAUUUAUCCAAAACUAGAGAAACAAUACAAAUUCAAUGUCAAGUUAAAUGAUUAUUGAAUGAAUCUUUAUAAAAAUUAAGUCUAAGGACAUAAUUAGAUUUUAAAUAGGCUAAUUUGAUUUAAUCAUGGGCCAAAUUAAAUUUUAUUUAUGUUUAAGAAUUUAUUUAGGUCCAAUUGAAGGAUUUAAUUAGAUGCAAGGACUUAAUUUUACUUUAAAUUGAUCAAAUUAAUUUUAUUAGGUGACUUAAUUAGUGAAAAAUUAAGUUUGGGAGCCCAAUUUGAGCUUAAUUGAGAAGAUUGAUAUUUUAGGAUGUCGUACAUGGACGUGCAACAUCGGGGGGUCAUUUGGAGUCGUCACCUAGUUAUUUAGUUCAAGGUCGCUAAAAAACCUAGGUAUAUUGGUCUUGUUAGAGAUUCGAGAGUAAAUGACUAGUUGUGGCUAAAAAAGGUAUUAACACCCCUAACGCAACCUACCCAGGUAAGUUACUUUGUGAUUAGAUGUGGUUUAGAGAUUUUAAUGGUUUUUUAAUAUAUCUAUAGUUUAGGAUUGCGUUUUGCAUGUAUGAAUAAAUUUGAUGUUUAAUAAUUUAUUAUGGACUCUUGUACCCAGAUCAAUUCUUAGAAAAAAAAGUUCUUCGUAAUUUAUGUAUUGUGGUAAAAAUUACUCUCAAUAAAAAUUAAUGAUUAUUUAGAAUAACUUUGAGGAUUUUCUGGUCAACUCCAAUAUUUCAAAUAUCAGCCUCACUUAUAGGUAUAGCGUUUUAUAUCAAGAUUUUUAACCAUUAAUUCUCAUGAAUUAAAAAAUAGUGGUCUAUUAAAAUAUUGAUCAAAUUCACAUGAAUUUAAUAAACUAGUUAUUAAAUUCUAAAAUGCAUAUUCAUAUAUAAUAUUUUAAUUUGUUUUUAAAUAAAAAAUAUUUUUAAAAAGUAUGUGCCACAAUACCAAAUUAUAGUAUAAAUUAAAAGAGAAAGUAGUUUUCUCUUCAUCACUAUUCACUUAUAUUCAUUUCACUAUGGAUAUUAAUAGUGAAUUUUUUGAAAAUUUCCAAUGUGGUAUUCAAUUAUUUUCUUCACAAUUGAGCUCUUUUAAAUUCAAAUUAGAGUCUAAUUGCAUAUUUUUUCAAGGAUGAGGAUUGAAUUGAAAGACAUAGGACUAAAGUGAAAAACUCGACUAAAAUAAGUGGUGGCUUUGCAAUUUGUUUGCAAAGUUCAUUUUAGUCCCUAUAUUUUUUCAUCAUUUUAUUUUGAUACCAAACUUUAUUUUCCUCUGUUUUUAGUUUUUUUUUGUGUAGGAGAGAGAGAGAGAGGAUCACUGAAUUUCAUUUUAGAGAGAGAAAGUUGUUGUUGGGGAUUUUGGCCACCAAAACGGUUGAUUUUUGUGUCAAAUUAUUAUGUCUUAAUUUAACAAGAUUCCUUGGAUAUUUUCUAGGUGUUUUGGAUCAAAAUGAGUUGAAAACAAGUUUUUUGAUAAAAAAAAAAUCAAGCCUCCUUUUUCUAGCCAUACUAGUAAUCGAAAUCCGGGGACGCAUUGACGACACAUCGUUUGUUGAGGAAAACGCCGUGUCAUUUUUUUUCAAAGCAUUGGGGUGACGACGUGUCAUCCGCCCUAUUAACUUAAAAAAAGUUAAAGGCUUGUGCGUGUGUGCCGACUUUGCAAGUCAGUGCGCGAGCCUUUGAUGGGUGGGCCAAACACUCUAAGCUUGACUCUCCAAGCUCAGCAAUGUCUGACUUCAUUCAUUUCCUUUUAUUAUUAUUAUUAUUAUUAUUAUUAUUACCUAUAUAUAUAUAUAUAUAAGAAAAUAAUUAAGAAAAUAAUUUUAAAAUGAUGUUUUCAUUAAUACUCGUUCUCUAUGUUAAUAUGAUUUAUUUGUAAUGUUUUAUAUAUAUUUCAGAUAUAUUAAGUAUUAUUUUUUUAUGUGUGUGUCGAUUUCUCUUAUAUAUUGAUUUUAGUAAACAAAUUCAUUAAAUAUAACCAGAGAAAUGACUCAUGUUGCAAUAUUAAAUAUCUUGAUCUAUAUUUGUCCCUCAAUUUUUCCACUUGCUUUUUUAAUUAUCGAUAAUGACUUUGUUUUUUUUAUUUAUUCACACAAUAAAAAAACACUUUGAGAAAUUAUUAGGCUUUUCUAUUAUUUAUUUGAAGGGAAUAACUUUUUUAUACUUAUACAAUAUUGUAAGGUUUUAUAGUUUUAAUAUAUAAAUGGUUGUAAUAGCUUUUUGGCAUGUGAGACUUGGAUAAAUGAAAAUCAAAUAUUUUGGGUGUCUAUCUUAUAGUUAUGAUAUUUUUAGUAUUUGAGGGUUUUGACUUGGAAUAAAUCUUGUUAUUAUUCGUUUUCGUUUAUAUCAAUUUGGUUAGUGUCUUAGGACCAAAAGAAAAGAAUCAAAAUGAAAAAAACACAUUUGAUUUAAAAUAACUUAGAUAGAGAUAUAAAAUAAAUAUAUUUCUAAGAUAUUUUUUGAAUGAGUUUCUAUCAUUACAAAACAAAAUGUGCAUGAAAAUAUGUUUCAUCUAUCUCCACCAUCUCUAUUUUUAAAAAAAGAUAUACUCUAACCAUCUAGGUGGUGGCCUAGUGGUAAGAGCUUGGGACCAAGAGGUUUGCUCCCUCUGUGAUCUCAGGUUCGAGCCCUGUGGUUGCUCAUAUGAUGGCCACUGGAGGCUUAUAUGGUCGUUAACUUCAGGGCCCGUGGGAUUAGUCAAGGUGCGCGCAAGCUGGCCCGGACACCCACGUUAAACUAAAAAAAAAAAGAUAUACUCUCUUCCCAUUUUCUCUCCCUGCUGAAUUUUGGAAACCACCCACACAACAAUAGCCCUCACAACCACCAACAUGAUUUUUUUUAAUCUUAUUUAGCCUUUCUUCAAUUAUUUGUAAUUAUGUUGGGUGUGUUUAGUUUUUUAAAAAAUUAGUAUAAUUCAUCUGUAAUUUUUUAUAUAUAUUUCACAUAAAUUAAGUAUUUAUUUUUUUAUAAUAUUUUGAAUAUGUUUAUCCUUGAAUUUUUUUUCUUUUUAUGUUAUUCAAUAAAUUUGAUGUGUGUGUUGAUUUCUAUUAUAUAAUGAUUUUAGUAAACAAAGUCACUAAAUAUAGCAAGGUAAAUGACCUAUGUUACAAUAUUAAAUAUCUUGAUCUAUAUUUAUCUCUUAAUUUUCCACUUGCCUUUUUAAUUAUGGGUAAUGACUUUGUCUUUAUUUAUUUAUUUACACAAUGGUUCGUGCUUUGUUUAAUUCGAUACGUGCCUAAUUUUUUCGAUUUACAUUUAUGAUUUUUUUAAUGUAAAAAGAACGCGUUAAGAAAUUCUUAUUCUUAUGAUUUUAAUUUAAUCCUUAUUCUUAUGAUUUCUUUCUUUUUUCCUUAACCCUUUUAUAACAAAAAUAUUGUUUGUAAUUUCACCCUUCAAUUCAAUGUGAUGGUGUAUUGUUUUUGUUUUUUUAUUUUAUUUUGAUCCUCAUUGAUCGCUUCUUUAUAUAUAUAUUCUUGUUUGUUAUUAUUGCCUUAUAUAUAUAUGAUUCAAAUAAAAUCAACUUAUUUAAGUCGGUCCGGACUAUAAAGUUAUUUAAUGUUUUUUUUUUUAAAGAAACACGCUUGUAAUAUAGUGCGGAAACCAGCAGGUGAGACUUGAGUAAAUGAAAAUGAAAUAUUUUGAAUGUCUUUCUCAUAGUUAUAUUAUUUUUAAUAUUUGAGGGUUUUAAUUUGGAAUAAAUCUUGUUAUCAUUCGCUUUUGUCUUGUCAAUUUGGUUAGUGUCUUAGAAAAACAUAGGAUUCAAAAAGAGAAAAACAUAUUUGAUUUAAUAUAACAUAGAUAGAGAUAUAAAAUAAAUAUAUUUCUAAAAUAUUUAUGGAAUGAUUUUCUAUCAUAUCAAAAUAAAAUGGGCAUGAAGAUUUCUUCUAUCUCCACUAUCUCUAUUUUUAAAAAAAGAUAUGCUCUAUUUUCCCAUUUCCCAUGAAAAUGGGCUGAAUUUUGGCGACCACCCACACAACGAUAGCCUACACAAUCACCAGCCAUGCCACUUUUCAAGACCCCAUCUCUCAAUCUCAAAACCAGAAACAACCCCCUUCUCCAUUAAACCGAAUCUCAUAACUCCAGGAAAGUGAAGGACCAAACCAUACUGUUAAAAAUCUUAAAGGGUUUUAAAUUAUCUCUUUUACUUUCCCUCAAUUUUCUAGACAAGAAAAAGGAGCUAAACUUAUUCCCCACCAAAAUGUCAAGAAUUUCAGUAGAACGAAAGAAGAGAUUAUUACUUGACCAAAAAACAACUAGUCAGCACCCAAAGAAACCGAGUGAAUGAGAGAAAAAGACUAAUAGCUAGGAAACAAUCAACAAAUCCAAGAACUUUCUAUACGGUUUCCAAGAAAAUGAAAAGAAACGAGCAAGACAACCCUCUUUCUCCUCUUUCAGUGUUCAAAAAAACAAAGAAACGUAAAAGAGGACUUUUCAAAGUCAGCUAAGUAUAUGGCUUAUUAUAUUCAUAGAGAGAGGCGGAAUUAAUUUUAUAAGCCAUGUAAAAUAUAUCUUUUUUCUUGGCAACCAAACACAACCAGAAGCCCAAAUGAAAACAAUUUUGACGAAUUCCCACCAAACAAUUGAACUGCUGUUGUAACUAAGAUUUUCAGUUAUACGUAAUUUUUGUGGUCCAAAGGACAAAUAAUUUUCUUUUCUUUUAUUUUAUCAGCUUAAUUUCACUUGUGGACUUGAUGGGCAACCAGACUUGCAAAUUGAGGUUCAAUCUCGUAUGCACAAUUAAAUCUCGUAUGCGUAAAUUGCAAGCAACAAAUUUUAAAGUGAAUUUGGUUACUGAAACUGGUUUGACAACGACUCAAAACAAUCUGAAAGUGCAAAAGAAAGGAAACAAAUUCAAGAAAAAACAAAAUGCUAAUAAGAAGCAUAGAGUUUGUUUCCAUUGUGGAAAUAAAGAACAUUAGAUAAAAUAGUGCGGAUUCAAGAAUUUCAACAAGAAAGGUGGUUCUUUCAAAGUAAAUAUGGUUGAACAAGAUGAAGGCAGGGAGUUAGUUGUCAUGGUUUCAAACAUUCAAAUUUGAAUGAUUACCGAAUUAAAUAUGGCAACUAAGUUAUAAAGACUUCAGAUUGGUGGCUGGAUUCUGGUGCAACAGUUCUUGUUUGCAACAACAAAGCAUGGUUCAAGACUUAUGAAGAAUUGAAAAAACCUGAAGAGGUCUUGAUGGGCAACCAUAAUUCUGCCAAAGUUUUGGGAAAAGGAACUAUUGAGUUGUACUUUACUUCUGGACAAAAAUUAUCUUUACUCAAUGUGUUUCAUGUUCCUGAAAUUACAAAAAAACCUUGUAUGCAGUUUUGGGAAAAGGAACUAUUGAGUUGUACUUUACUUCUGGACAAAAAAUGUCUUUACUCAAUGUGUUUCAUGUUCCUGAAAUUACAAAAAACCUUGUAUCUGCUAGUCUCUUGAGCAAGAAAGGGUUCAAGAUUGUUUUGGAGUUUGAUAAGGUUAUUGUAACUAAGAGUGGGAUGUUUGUGGGAAAGAGUUAUUCUUGUGAUGGCAUGUUUAAGUUCAGUAUUAAUGAAAUCAAUGUUAUUUCUGCUUAUAUGGUUGAAUCUACUUCUCUUCUUUGGCAUGCUAGAUUAGAACAUCUAAAUUAUAGAUAUUUUAAAUAUAUGUGUAAGCAUGGUUAUAUUUCAUAUCAAUAUAAUAAUAAAAACAAAUAUGAAGUAUGUAUUCAAGAAAAGAUGAAAAAGAAGUCUUUUUCUAAAGUAGAAAGGAAUUCUCAAUUACUUGAGUUGGUCCAUUCUGAUAUAUGUGAAAUAAAUGGUAUGUUAACAAGGGGUGAGAAAAGAUAUUUCAUAACUUUCAUUGAUGGUUAUUCUCGUUUUACCUAUGUUUACUUUUAAGAACUAAAGAUGAAGCCUUUGGAAAAUUCAAGAAAAUGGUAGAAAAUCAAAAGGAAAGGAAAAUUAAAGUUCUUAAAAGUGAUAGAGGUGGAGAAUACUUUUCUAAGGAUUUUUCUACAUUUUGUGAGGAAAACGGAAUAAUCCAUCAAAUGAUAGCACCCUAUACACCACAACAUAAUAUGGACUUGCUGAAAGGAAAAAUAGGAUCUUAGUGGAUAUGGUCAAUGCCAUGCUUUUGAAUGCUACAUUACCAAAUAAUUUAUGGGGUGAAGCCUUACUUACUACAUGUCACAUUCAUAAUAGAGUACUAUCUAAAAGAUUAAAUGUUUCUUCCUAUGAAGCAUGGAACAGUAGAAAACCAAAUCUGAAUUAUUUUAAAGUAAGGGGGUGUGUAGCUUUUUAUAAAAGUUCUAAUCCUUAAAGAACAAAAUUAGGACCCAGAAGUCUUAGGAGUGUUUUUGUUGGUUAUGCACAAAAUUUAAAGGCUUAUAGACUUUUGGAUUUAGAAACUAAUGUGAUUGUUGAAUCUAUACAUGUUGAAUUUAUCGAAUAUAAAUUCAUAAGUGAUUCAAAUGUGCAAGAACCAAAUCUAAAAGUAAUAACUCCUAGCUCAACGUUAAGUGAAAAAUGUAAAAACCUAGAAGUAAUAGGUUCAAGUGAACCUAAAAGAAGUCAAAUAGUUAGAAAGGAAAAACACAUAGAUACAAAUUUUAUUUCUACUGAUUCAAUUGUAUUUUUAGUGGAAGGUGAUAGAAAUACAAUAUUAAAAAAAAAACACCUAUGAUCCUAACUAUAGAAGAUGAUCCAAAGACAUUCGGUCAAGCUAUGACUUUUAAGGAUGUUGCUUUUUGAAAAGAAGCGGUAAAUGAUGAAAUGGAUUCAAUAUUGUCUAACAAUACUUGGGUCCUAAUAGAUUUACCUCCAGGUUAUAAGCUAAUAGGAUGUAAGUAGGUGUUUAGAAGAAAAUACAAUACUGAUGAUUCUAUACAAACCUUCAAGGCAAGAUUGGUUGCCAAAGGUUUUACUCAAAAUGAGGGUGUUGAUUAUUUUGGCACUUAUUCUCCAGUGGCAAGAAUUACAUCAAUUAGAGUUUUAUUUGCAUUAGCAUCAAUUUAUAAAUUGUAUGUUCAUCAAAUGGAUGUAAAGACAACUUUCCUAAAUGGAGAUUUAAAGGAAGAAGUGUAUAUGGAGCAACCUGAGGGUUUUAUACUUCCUGGAAAUGAAGAAAAAGUCUGUAAAUUGGUAAAGUCUUUAUAUGGUUUAAAACAAGCUCCGAAAUAAUGACAUGAAAAGUUUGACAAAACAAUUUUGUUGAAUGGUUUUCAUCACAAUGGUGCUGAUAAGUGUAUGUAUUCCAAAUUUACAAAAGAUUUUGGUGUGAUUAUUUGUCUCUAUGUAGAUGACAUGUUAAUAUUUAGCACCAAUAUGAUUGGAAUAGUUGAAACCAAAAGGUAUCUCACUUCUAUCUUUAAAAUGAAAGAUCUUGGUGAAGUAGAUACAAUUUUAGGUAUCAAAGUUAAGAAACAUAGUAGUGGCUAUGCACUUAAUCAAUCACAUUAUAUUGAGAAAAUGCUCGAUAAGUUUAAGCAUCUCAAUAUAAAGGAGGCUAAUACCUCAUUUGACUCUAGCAUGAAGUUAAAUGAUUAUUGUGAUAAAGCGAUAGCGCAACUAGAAUAUGCUAGUGUCAUUGGAAGUCUUAUGUAUGCUAUACAUUGUACAAGACCAGAUAUAGCUUUUGCUAUAUGCAAGUUAUCAAGAUAUUCAAGCAAGCUGAAUACAGAUCAUUUGAAGGUUAUUGCAAGAGUCUUUGGUUACCUAAAAAUAACGAUCGAUUUAGGCUUGUUUUAUUCUGAUUUUCCAAUUGUGAUGGAAGGAUAUAGUGAUGCAAGUUGGAUGACUAGUUCAAGUGAUAAUAAGUCCACAUCAGGAUGGAUUUUCUCACUUGGAGGAGGUGCAAUAUUUUGGGCAUCUAAGAAACAAACAUGCAUCUCUCAUUCUACCAUGGAAUCAGAAUUUAUUGCUAUAGCUGCUGCAGGUAAAGAAGCAGAAUGGCUAAGAAAUAUGUUGUUUGAUAUUAAGUUGUGGCCACAACCUAUGUCAGCUAUUUCUUUAUGCUGCGAUAGUGAAACAACUAUGUCUCGAGCUUAUAGUAACAUUUACAAUGGUAAGUCAAGACAUACAAGCAUUCAACAUGGAUAUAUUCGAGAGUUGAUUACAAAUGGUGUAAUCACCAUUGUCUAUGUGAAAUCUGUGAAUAAUUUAGUGGAUCCGCUCAUAAAAGGACUAUCUAGAGACAUGGUACGAAAAACAACUAAUGGAAUGGGGUUGAAACCCGUUAUUCAAGAUACCAAUAAUAGGAACCAAACUUCGGAUUAGCAAGAAGCUUAUCUCUUAGUUUAAUGGGUAAUAACAAGUUACUGUUUUGUAUAUGUUGGACACUGAUAAUUAAUUUGAGUCCCUAUUCUAAUAGUAUUCAGUGUGUUCUAUUACGAAAAGUAGGAUGAGCAUGGGCUCUUAAUAAAAUUUAAAGUUCGUGUCUAAUGUAAUAGAGACAUGUAUAAUUCCACCUAUAUGAAUAUAAAAGUGGUGCCGCUUUUGACAAGACUUAGGGUUUUCUCUUAUAGAUAUUUAUGAAAAAAAAAAAUUAUGAUUUUAGCACAUGGCCAUAAUAGUGCUAAACAGUUGUAAACCUCUUUAAGAGUUUGGAUAGUAUUAUGUGUGUAGUAUCUUUUAUUCUACAACAAAAGUUUUGGUUUAAUCUACAAACACCAAUAACUUUAGUAGGAUUUAAGUUCUAACACUAAUUGAAGGUUUAAAUUGCAAAAUACCUUCUUGUAAGUAUAAUUCUAUCGAGUGAAAAGACCUUCAUUACAAACUAGUGGGGGAUUGUUGGUGUAGUUUAUAAAUGAAUAAAGAAAAGAUGUUUAUCACACAUUGGAAAGAAACACUCCCUCCUAAUGUUUCUAAGUGUGGGUUACUAUUGUGUAGUAAAUUAAGCCAUGGUGGACAAACUCUUCUAUUUGGCUUCCUAAUGUUAUUAUAUGGAUAUUUAUAAUAUCAAAAGAUAGCAUUUGGAACUUGGAAUUAAUAUGAACAAUUAUACUGUUUCAUGAAUAGUCAUAUUGUUUGAUGAUCAACCAUUGUGUUUCAUCAAUAGUCAUAUUGUUUUAUUCAUCAACAAUCAUAUUAUUUGAUGAACAAUCAUAUUGUUUCAUCGUUAUAUUUGAAGUCUAUAAAAGCAUAUUACUAUACAGAAAAGAAAUACAAUAAAAAAAACAUACAUUCUUUAAUUGGUCUUGAUCAACACCUCUUCUAAUUUCUUCAAUCUUCCAAUCACAUUCUCAGGAAUCCUACUUAGCCUUUCACAACCUGUCACAUCCAACAACCUUAACUCCUUGAGCUCUCCUAUUUCAUCAGGUAAUUCUUCAUUGGAGAGGCACCGCUUAAGACUAAGAAUCUUAAGUCUCUGCAGCUUUCUCAACCAAAUGAGGUCCUUGCAUUCACACAUGAUCAACACCAACGAUUGAAGUUUCGUUGAGAGUUCAAGUGAUUGCAAUGACAAACAACCUCCCUUCAGAGACAAAACUUCAAUUUCUUUCAUCCCUUCAAAGAACCUCUCUGGAACAUUCAUACCAUAAUCCACUUCUAACAAUAGAACUUUGAGCUGUGGACAUUCCAAUCCUUCAGGAAGUUCGGUUAAUUUAUUGCCCAUUAACGAAAUUGUUGUACAAGCUUCAAAGCUUUUGAUACUCAUUGGCCAUUCCUUCAACCCAAUGCCAGCCUUUAUUAUGAAUCCAUAUUCUUGUGAUGACGCUAUCCGAAUAGCAACAUCACGAACCAAGUCAUGCAUUUUCACAUGUUCAUCUGUUUCAGUGUCCAACAGCAUGCAACAAUCUUUGAGUUUUUUUAUUUCCACAUAAACUCGUUUCCUUGCAUCUCCAAUGGACUCCACAUCUUGAUGUAACUCAUACCCAACUGCGUAUCUCGUCAAGUCCUCAAUUGGAAUGUGGUAAUCUUCUGGAAAUAAACAACAUAGCAAGAAACAUAACUUGGUUUCCUUGCUUUUCAAAUAAUCAUAGCUCAACUUAAGACAUGCAUAUGCAGUUCUUUGUUCAUCAAUGUGUUCCAUGUCCGGAAAAUGAGAGUUUUUUAGCUGUCCAAUUGCUACUUCCCACUCAACUGCAGAUUUAUCUCUUAGAGCCAUUCCCACUGUCACAAGUGCUAUAGGCAAGCCUUGGCAUUCUCUCGCAACCUCCCUUGCCACUGUGUUCAAGGUAGAUUCCCCAACACGUAAACCUGCAUUGAUUCUGAAUAAAUCCCAUGCUUCUUUUUCAGGUAAGGGACUUAACAGCACUUUUUUCCGGCAUUCCGUAUAAGAACAUAUGCCUUGAAGACGUGUUGUUAGAAGAAUUUUACAACCCCUGUGAUCAUCACCAAAUGGGAUCCCUAUCUCUUGGAAGUCAAUAACUUUCCAAACAUCAUCCAGGAUAAUAAGCAUCCUCUCCACUUUCUUCAGUCUCUGCCAUAAUCGAUCUGCUCUCCCAUCUUUACUACUUCCUCUAAUAUCCAGACCUAACUUAUCUGCCAUUUGGUUCUGGAGGUCUGUGACAUUUGGAUUCUGCGACACCGUAGCCAUCAAAACUUCAUCAAAAAGCUGCGACUCUCUGGCUAUCGUGCCUACUUUUCGCACAAGGGUGGUUUUACCCACCCCUCCCAUGCCGCACAGUCCGAUCAUAUUGACUUUGUCAUCUUUGAGAGCUUCCAUAAUAUGUUCGAAAGCUUCUUCUGACGAUUUUGAGGGGGUGAAUUUCUUUGAUUGAAGAAAUUCUAUGGGCUGAGGAUGAGUUCUGUGGGACACUUUUGUAGACUUUUUUUCUAAAAGUUCUCUGAAAGUCUCCGACUUCUUGGCCAGUGCCUUGCUAAACUUGAAUUGUCGCAUGCAGUUUGGACACCAAGUGAAGCAUUUGCCAUUUUUUCCUAUUUCAUUUUCCAAGGGCUUCGCACCUUCAAUUUCGUUUUCUGCAUCUCCCAGCCACUUUUUGACAUCUUCGUAAAUUUCUUCAGCAUUCCUUUCAGCAUCUUUGACAUCGUCUUGCAGACGUUCUUUUUCCGAAACCAGCUUCUCCUUUUGUUGUUUGAAUUCUUUAACAAAAUCGUUGAAACAGAACAUGUAACGGAACUGCCUUCCUACUGGUUCCACCAUGAGUUCUGCUAUCUUAGAUAUAAUGGAUCCACCCACACUUUCGAUAGCCAUUUUCCACCAGUCUGGAAUCAGAGAAAUAAGGAUACCAAACGUGAGAGUGAGUCGUAGUAGAGGCAUAGAGAGAAUGAGAAAAGGAAUUUUAUUAACUUAAUUUGGGAAAAUAUGUGCGAAAAGCUCUGGCAAUCAAUGAAAUAGCGGGAGGAAGAAAAGGAGAAGGCCUCUAGCUCUGUACGGAAUCCAGCUUCAAAAGCAACAAGGCAAGGUUCAAACUGACACUUGUGAGUUGAAGUAGUAAUUCCCAUUAAAAAUGCAUCUUGAUGACAUAAUUAAGAUAAUAUAGAGACAGUGACAGAGAAAUAAAGAAACGAAUGAAAGUUUCAGGAUAAUCACUUAGACGCCUCUCUGGAUGAUACCAGCUCGCUUCCAACAACAAAUAUUAUUAACCUAAGCUAUGAUCGGUCAGUUUUUUUUAGUUUUCUUUUCUUUUCUUUUCUUUUAAAAACAGAUCAACAAGGGAAAAGACUUGCAAAGAAGUAGAAUUACUGGAACGAACUCAACAAAGGAUCAAACUCAAAAAAAUAAAAGUAAUUGUGUAUGAGAAGCAUUUCUGUGUCACACACUCAAGUAAUAUGAUUGACCUAUUACAUUAUACAAAUUAAUAAUAAUAAUAAUAAUAAAAGAACUAGGUUUUUGAUGGCAUCCAGAGUGCUGUUGCUUUGAAAUAAAGAGGCUUGUGCAUGUGGUGUUAUGCUGUUCAUGUAGGCUAAGUUCUCUCUUCUUGUCUUGCUAUUCUGAUUUUAUCUUUUUCUUUGCAUGAUAUAAGAGCAGGUUCUUACCUCUUGAAGUCUGCUGAAUAAACCUAUCAGCAGAAGAUCCUGAACCGAUCCCAAAUCACAGCUUCAAUCCCCACCACAGCCAAUCUCCUCUUUCCCGUAGUCUUGCGUCCUCAAUUGGGAAAUGAUCCAAAAUCAACAACCGGUCCGGAGAUAGUUUGUGUGAAAAGAAACGGCUGAAAGAUGAAAUGUGAAGGUUAUGGUGAGAAAUUAGAUGAGAAAUUGGAUUGCAAACGGGAUGGUGCAAACUGGUGGAGCAUUAGACUUUUUAAAAGACAACAAAAAGAAGCAAUGUCUCAUCUUUUGAUCAGUUUGUUGAUGAAGAUAUCGAAAGAUUGGAGUCUCCGUUUUAGCUUAGGUUGGAAGCAAGUCUGAAAAUUAAGAUUAUUUUAAAAGAAUUUUUAUUGAUGGUUUGUGAGAUUAGUAAUGAAGUAAUUUAUGACAAUUUAAUCUUUAAAAAAUUAUUUAAAAUUAAAAAAGAUUAGAUUUUUAGGUAAUAAUUCUAGUCGGUUAGGCAAUAUAAACAGUUUUUGCAAAGAUUCUACUACUGAUGUGUCCAUAUUACAUAGGAACAGAAUGCUAGAGAAUAACUUUCUUUUUAAAAAAAAAAAGGUCGAGAAUUUUCCUUAAAGCAGACACCCAUGAAGAAGAUCUAGUUACCUUAGCCAAGCUGCUCACUUUACAAAAUUGUAUCGUAAUAGUUUGCGUCCACUAGGAAGUCGAGAAUAGGAAAAGAAAAGGGACGCUUAGCGGACCCACAAAAUCUUGAAUUAUCCCUUACUUUUUCAAUGGUAAGGAUAUCCUCGUGUCACCUUCUACAUUAAGUUUUAUAAAAUCUUGAUUUUUUUUAAAUUAAUUUUUUAAGUUUUAAUUAUGAAUUGUUUAUGCAAAGAAACACAAGAAAAGGAAAAAUUUCUCAGUGUGUUUUCUGUUACUUGUUUAGCAAUAGCUAGCAAGGUUCUGCUUAAAAAUACCAUUGAACAAGGGAUGAACCAUUCAGCAAGGGAUUCUGCGAGGAAAACAUGAAAUUGUUAAGCAUAAUAAUAUGUUAAGCAUGACAAAUUUCAUUUAAAUUAAAAAGCCAAAAAUGAACGCAUCUCCUCUUGCAAGAAUGGACUCAAAAGUUCAGCUAAUCCGCAUAAUUAAAUAGUACUGUUACUGUAAACUACUAGGAAAUUCAAGGAAAGUUAACAAUAGCAUUGAUUCGAUCAAGUAAUAAUCAUAGAAACUAAGUACCAAUAAAAUUUGAGAUUCCUGCAAGUUUUUAGGUGCAUGGUCUAGUCUAAUGGCUUCAUGUACAAAAUCAAUUCAAGGGUGUGUAUCCUUGACUAUCAGGCUAACCUUUACAGGCUGAGCUAGCAAUCGAUAAUUAAUUUUUAAUGAAUUCAAUUUUUAUUUAAAAUAAGGAAAAGGACAUUGGUGAAUAAAUUGUUUCCUUCCUAUUAUAAUUGUUAGACCUUACCAAAGGGCUAAUUUAGAAAAAAGAUUUUAACUUAUAGGUCACCAGGGCCGAGGUCAACUUGUAAUUAAGUAGAUCAAUUUAAAUUAAUUAUUUUUAUUAAAAUGAUAAUGUUUUGUGUUUUUUCUUGAUAUUAAUUUGGCUAAUUUUUAUCAAAUCAAAUCACUAAAAACUUAACCAAAACAAAUUUCGUCAAAUCAAUAAUAUUUUAUGUAGUUGAAUUAAAAAUUCAAUUCAAUUCUAGCUCUGAACCCUGAUUAAGCAUACAGGUUUAGAAAAUAUGCAUCUCACUUGCAGCUGUGGUUUGCUGCGGGCAUUUGGUAAUUGGGAGAGGCUUUAGUUUCGUACUUGUUGAUCUGCUUCAUGUACACUUGGACCUCUUAUUUUAUUUUAUAUUGGUUGGAUCCAAACUUAAUCCAAUACAAAAUUAACAUAUUUAUUAUUUAUUUUAUUAUUUAUUUAAGAUAAAUGAUAUCGCUUUAACAUAUUAGCGUACACUUAAUAUGAUUUAAUUUAAUUUAAUUAAUUAACAUCUCACCGCAAUAAAUUUGACCAUUUGCAACCAUAAACAGUUGACACCUUACUAAUAUAAUCAAUAUAGCUGAAAAAUUAUAGUGAUUUAAAACAAUUCAUUAAAAUGUUUGUAAAUGUUUUUAUUUUGUGACGAUGAUUCUCGUGUUAUCUUUUAUGUAUUGUCGCUAUCGUACGUGAACGCCCGACAUGAGGGUCAUUUGAAGUCGUCAUCUAGUUGUUUAGUUCAAGGUCACUAAAAAACCUAGAAAUACUAGUCCUGUUAGAGAUUUGAGAGUAAAGAACUAGUUGUAGUUAAAGAUUGUAUUAACACUCCUAGCGCACCCUACCCAAGUAAAUUACUUUUGUGUUUAAACGUGGUUUAGAGAUUUUGAUGGUUUUCUAAUAUAUCUAUAGUUUAGGAUUGAGACUUGCUUGUAUGAAUAAAUUUGGUGUUUAAUAAUUUAUCAUGGAUUCUUGUACCCAGAUAAAUUCUUAGAAAAAAAAGUUCUUCAUAAUUUGUGUAUUACGGUAAAAAUUACUCUCAAUAAAAAUUCAUGAAUAUUUAGAAUAACUUUGAGGAUUUUUUGGUCAACUCCAAUAUUUCAAAUAUCAGCCUCACUUAUAGGUAUAGUGUUUUAUAUCAAGAUUUUUAACCAUUAAUUAAAAAAUAGUGGUCUAUUAAAAUAUUGACCAAAUUCACAUGAAUUUAAUUAACUAGUUAUUAAAUUCUAAAAUACAUAUUCAUAUAUAAUAUUUUAAUUUGUUUUUAAAUAAAGAAUAUUUUUAAAAAGUAUGUGUCACGAUACCAAAUUAUAGUAUAAAUUAAAAGAAAAAGGAGUUUUUUCUUUAUCACUAUUCACUUAUAUUCAUUUUACUAUGGAUAUUAAUAGUGAAUUUUUUGAAAAUUUCCAAUUUGGUACUCAAUUAUUUUUUUUCACAAUUGAGCUCUUUUAAAUCCAAAUUAGAGCCCAAUUUUAAACAAAUCAAGAAGAGAAAAGACUUGUAAAAAAAGUAGAAUUACUGAAAGAAACUCAACAAAGAAUCAAACUCAUACAAUUAAAAAUAAUUGUCUAUGAUGACCAUCUCUGUAUCACACAUUCAGGUAAUAUGAUUGACCUAUAACAUAAAUAAAGCCCUGCAAACAAUUAAAUCAUGCUUCAAAAGCAACAAGACAAGGUAUAAAGUACACCAACAAAAAUAGUUUACUAACUGACACUUGUGAGUUAAAGCAGUAAUUCCCAUUCAAAAUAUUGCAUUUUGAUGACAUAAUUAAGAUCAUUUAGAGACAGUGACAAUCAAAUAAAAAAAAAAAAAUGUGUAAAAGUACUCACGCAAAGAAAGAAACGAAUGAAAGGUUCAGGGUAAUCACUUAAGACUCCUCCAUGGAUGAUAGCAGCUCGCUUCCAACAACAAAUAUAAUUAACCUAAGCUGUGAUGGGUCAAAGUUCUUUUUAGUUUUCUUAUUAAAAAAAAAAAAAAAAACAGAUCAACAAGAGAAAAGACUUGUAAAAAAAUAGAAUUACUGAAAGAAACUCAACAAAGAAUCAAACUCAAGCAAUUAAAAAUAAUAGUCUAUGAUGACCAUCUCCUAUCACACAUUCAGGUAAUAUGAUUGACCUACAACAAUAUUAAAAAAACAAAAAAAAAGCUAAUAGAUGGUCGCCAAGUGUUCAACUUUAUCUAGCCUUAGGAAAGGAUAUAAAGUGGGAGAGAUAGACGUCAAAAGGCUUAAAAAAAAGAAAAAAGGAAAGGCAGAAACGGAAGAAGACAUUGAAAGAAAUAAAAAAACGAUAGUGGCAUUAAAAAACGAUAAGUUAUUUAACGUCUUUUUAGGGGGGGAAGAGACAUCUGUUUAUUUAAAGAAAGAAAAUAUAUAUAUAUAUAUAAAUACUCUCUCUUCCAAUUUCCUCUCCCAGCUGAAUUUUGGCGACCGCCCACACAACGAUAGCCUACACAACCACCUUUCAAGACCCCAUCUCUCAAUCUCAAAACCAAAAACAACCCUUUCUCCAUUUAUCCGAACCUCAUAACUCCAGGAAAGUGAAGGACUAAACCAUAGUGGCAAAAAUCUUAAAGGGUUCUAAAUUAUCUCUGUUACUUUCCCUUAAUUUUCUAGACAAGUAAAAGGAGCUAAACUUAUUCCCGACCAAAACGUCAAGAAUUUCAGUAGAACAAAAGAAGAGAUCAUUACUUGACCAAAAACAACUAGUCAGCACCCAAAGAAACCGAGUGAAUGAGAGAAAAUUAAAGACUAAUAGCUAGAAAACAAUCAACAGAUCCAAGAAUUUUCUGUAUGGUUUCCAAGAAAAUGAAACGAAAUGAGCAGCACAACCCUCUUUAUCCUCCAAGAAAAGAAAGAAAAAGAAAGGAAAGAAACAAAGAAAGUCAAACUUGGCUCCUCUUUUAGUGUUAAAAAAAAAAAAACAAAGAAGUUCGAGGAAGUGGGCUGCCUUUUUUCUGCUGUUCAUGUGGUGUUCAGCUGUUCACGCAGACUAAGAACUCCUACCAUCGUAAAAUCAUAUAAUUAAAACACAACAAUAAAAAAGUAAUAAGCAGCUAAUUAUGUGCCAAAAUCAGAGAAAUAAGGAUACAAACGUGAGAGUAAGUCAUUGCAAGUAAAAGAGGCGCAGAGAGGAUGGGAAUAGGAAUUUCAUUACCUCAACUUGAGAAAAUAUGUGCGACAAGCACGGGUACUGAUUCCUCAAUGAAAUCGAGAAGGCCUUUAGCUCUGUAUGGAAUCCAGCUUCAAAAGCAACAAGGCAAGGUAUAAGCAUUUUGAUGACAUAAUUAAGAUACUAUGCGUCGUAAUAUAGAGACGGUGACAAAGAAUUAAAGAAAAAUAAUGUGUACAAGUACUCACCAAGCAAAGAAAGAAACGAAUGAAAGGUUCGGGAUAAUCACUUAGACGCCUCCAUGGAUGAUACCAGCUCGCUUCCAACAACAAAUAUAAUUAACCUAAGCUAUGAUCGGUCAAAGUGUUUUUUAGUUUUCUUCUUUAAAAAAAAAAAAAAAAAACAGAUCAUCAAGGGAAAAGACUUGCAAAGAAGUAGAAUUAAUGGAACGAACACAACAAAGGAUCAAACUCAGGCAAUUAAAAGUAAUUCUCUAUGAGUACCAUCUGUGUCACACACUGACUCAAGUGAGGAGAGAAAAGAAAGAGAAAGAAAGGAAAGGGACAAGGAAGGCAGAAAGUAAGGUCACGUAGGGCCAGUCUUGUAUAAAGUUUGAAAAGUAGCAUGAAAGAAGAGGAUAAUAGAGUAGUUGUCAGAAUCAAAACACGUAUAAACAGAGGACAAAAACAGGGAGGGAGGCUGUUUGUUUUUUUAAUUGUGUCUGAGUGCUUUUUAUAAUUAUAUUUAAUUUAAAAAAUAUUAAAUUAAUGUGGUUAAAAAUAUUUAAUUAUAACUCAAUUGCAUUUUUUUUUUAAGGAAAUAGGUUGAAUUGAGAAACAGAGAAACUCGGCAAAAAUAUGUGGUUAAAAUCAAUCCAUUUUUUUUAAAAAAAAAACUCCUUAGUUGUUAAGGAAAGAUUGGUAGUGGGAACAAAUCACCAAAGUCAGCAGCAAGGAAGUUCCAGGAAGUGGGCAGCCUUUCUUCUGCUGUUCAUGUGGUGUUCUGCUGUUCAUGCAGACUAAGAACUCCUACCAUUUUUAAAAUAAUAUAUUUAAAAUACAAUAAUAAAAAUGUAAUACGCAGCUAAUUAAUGUAUUAAGCAGCUAAUUAAUGCUGUUGUUCUUUCUUCUUGUUAUUCUAUUUUGAUUUUACUGUAUUUUAAAAAAAUUUAUGAUUGUGAAAACUAGCCAAACCAUUAGAUCCAAGCAAUCUGAGAGGGUAUUCAAGAGUGUAGUUGUCGUUGUUUUUCAAAGUAUUUUUCACUUGGAAAUGCAUCAAAAUAAUAUUUUUUUUAUUUUUAAAAUUUUUUUUUUGACAUCCUUGUAUCAAAAUAAUAUAAAAAAACCAAAAAAAUAUUAAUUUGAAGUAAACACAAAAAUAAAAAAAAUUAGAAACUAGUGUAGCUGCGCCCAAUGUUGUCCCGAGAUACUUUUUAUAAUCUAACUUUUUUAAUAUAUUUUUUAUUUAAUUAUGCAAUAUAUUCAUAGAAAACACUAAAAUUAAAAUUAUAGACAAAAAAAUAUAUAUUUCAUCAAAAUUUUCUAGUCUGAUUAAUGUAUUUUUCUUAAAAAAAAAAGUUUUGACAAUAUAAAAAGUAAUAACUAGGAAAAAGUAUCCUAAGAAACUGUAAUGAUUAGAACUAAAAAAAUAUUUUUUUUUUGUUGGAAACACAAUUUUUUAAUUCAUGCAUUUUUUUUAUUUUUUAAAAAUUUACUUUUUAUGAGUAACAUUAUUUUACUAAAAUGUCCCUAAUACAUAAUUAUUCAUAAAUUAAUGAAAAUAUCAUAAUAAAAAUGCCUAAUCUUCUUGAAAACAAUUAAAUAAUUGAACAAUCAUUUAAAUAUUAUUUUAAUAAAUUGAUUGAAAGAUUUAUUUUAUUAAAAAUAAAGAAUAAAAAUGAAUUGAUAUCUAAGAUAAAGGUCAUACAAGCCUUCAAAGAUAAUAUAUGUACGUGUAUAAUACAAAUUAAUAAAUUCUAAGUAGUAAUAUUUAAUGCAAGUUUAAGAAUAAGAGUUUGCUUUGUGUUUUGUUGUGAGAUUAACCAUAUCAAAUUAUAUAUUUAAUAAUAAAUAAUUGUGCUGUGUUAUGAGUAAAAUCAAUAAAUUAUUUGGUAUUCUGCUGUCUUGUUGUUUGAAUUAAAAGUAUUAAUAAGAAUAUAAAUUAAAUUAAAUAUCGAAAAAACUAAAUGAAUUCCUUAAUAAAUAAAUAAAUUCUUUCUUUAGAAAGCAUGGAAAUACCAUGACAUUGGCUUUUUGGAGAAUACUACGAUUUUUACAGCCAAAAAAGUUAUCGAUAGCUGUGUAAAUCAUUGAAAUUGCCACAAAAGCAACCCAAAUUAGUUAUGAAUUGGAUUCGAUGGAAGGAAGAGGGGAAGAGGGGAAAUGGGUAACGGCUAAUUAUAAGUUCAUUAAAAAAAAUCUGGAACGCAACAGAUGGAAAAAACUCGAAACAACUCGUCUAGAAUUUAGGCAAGAAGAAUGAGCCAAGAUUUUAAGUGCAAUGAAAUUUGUCUCACUUUGUUCUUUUUUUUUUUAAUGAUACAAGAUAUACUGACUGUUUUAAGUGAAACAGAAUGGAAUCGACAACUUUAAAGGGAGCAGAGACCACAUAUGUAUAGCUCGAAUUCGAUAGCCUUUCUCCUGUACUGACAUGUGAUUUACAUGCACCAACAUUUCUUUCUUCUUUAUUUUGUAAUAUUCUACAUUGGCGAGUAAGGAUUUGGUAGCUGACCUUAUUAAAAGUGUUGGUUGAUGACUUGUCAGACACGUUUUGAGACCAUGCGUGAUAACAAAAAACAAAACCAUGAGGGUGGUAAGGCCCAAAACGAACAAUAUCUGACAGAUUGGACCGGACUGUGACAUUUGGUAUUAGAGCUGACCUCACUAGCUAUUCAGUUGUGCUGACAGGGUCAUUGAGCUCCUUAACAGGGGUGAAUUGUAAUAUCUCACAUUGGUGGGUGAGGAUUUGGUAACUAGCCUUACUAGUAAUGCUGGUUGCUGACUUGUUAGAUGCGUUUUGGGGUUAUGCGUUGUCGAUACACGACGUCGGGCGACGGCUCCCGCUUUUUUUGUUUAUUUAACAAAAAGGGUUUUUUUUUCUCGAUUGGGGGAAACAAAGAUUUUAUUGGAGUCGCCAUCUAGUAAUUUGAGGGAACUAGAAAUCCCAAAUUAGACACUGGUCCCAGAGAUUCGGGUACGGGGUUAGUUAUGAUUAAGGGAAGGUAGACACCACCCUUAAAACAUCCUUUCAAAAGAAAGGUUACCCUUACUUGUGUGUUUUUAUUUGAUUCAAAUGCGAUUAUAUUUUGGGCUUAUUUGUAAAUUUUUGUAAAUGAUUAACGUCGGUCCCUAAAAAUAGGAGACACGUUAAAAAUGACAUCAGUCCCUAAAAAUUGGAGACUCGUCUGAGUUACCAAAAGAAAUAAUGGAUAUAAUCCAUUAUAUUUUGGGUUUAUUGGUAAUUUGUUUUUUUAAAUGGUUAACGUCGGUCCCUAAAAAUAGGAGACACGUUAAAAUGACAUCAGUCCCUAAAAAUUAGGAGACUUGUCUAAAAUAUGACGUUUCAACCCUAAAAAGGAGAAUUACGUCUGGGUUACCAAAAACAAUAAUGGACAUAAGCCAUAUUUGGUAUUUACAUUUUUUUGACAUCGGUCCUUUUAAAAAAAAGAGACGUGUCGGCUUUGGUUUUUGUAUUGUUUACAACAUGCAAGAAAAUUUACAAGCAUUUAUAUAUAAAAAAUAUCAAAAAUACCAGUAGAAACUCCGAAAAAUUACCUGAGUGCCACUGUAUAGGUAAAAGACUGAAAUACCCUCAGGUUUCUCCAAAAUUUACAAAAAUGCCACUGGCGGCGCGUGUAGCACACGCGCGGCUACUGUUGGCGGCGGGGAGAUUUUCCGGCGCGAUUUCUGGCCAACCGAUGGUCGAUCCUGGUAGAUCUGAUGUCGAGGAUUCUUAUGGUGGUGGUCUUGACGGCCGUUGAUGGCUGAUGAGCGAGAAUCGACGACUUGAAGCUUCGGUGGCAGCCGACGAUCGCGGCCCGUUUCCGGCCAAAUAGAGCGGCGAAAACGCUGAAAUCGGCCGGGGUUUUGCUUUAUAUGAGGAAGGCGACCUUUCUGUGGUGGUUUUCAAGCUUGCAGUGGCCGGAUAUGGGAGAUCGGAGGAGAGAGAGGGAGUCGCCGGCGAGAGGAGAGAGGUGCUCUGGGUUAUGCUAUGGUGAGAACGCAAACACGGUACACCAGUGCUGUUGAUGCUUGUGAUCCGUAGGAUCUCUGAUGGAAAUAUCGUGCGGCUGUGAUUGGCCCGAUCUGCAGGUUGAUCGGACGGUCCGGAUGAGCGGAGCUUUGAUCUGGUGUGGCGCGGUGCACCAAAUCUCGGUACACCGGAUGACGUGGCGCAACGGGAUCAAAUCUUGGAAUAUUUCAAAGGCUGAGAUGUGUUUGGGUUUUAAUCUAGUGUGGUAAGCCCUAUUGUAUCCUAUUAAAUCAACGGUUCAGAUCUAAACACUAUUAGAUCUAACGGUUAGGAUAUAUUUGGUAUUUUUCAUAUUGUUUUUAAUAAAAAUCAAUAUCCUACCCUCGUGAAGAAAUAGUAAAAAAAACCUGAAUAGUAAACUCUUCUUUUUUUUCUUCUCCUUUUUUUUCUCUUUUUUUUUCCUCUGGCGCACUGUUGGCUAUUUAUAGCAGGGGACAGCAAGCAUCGGCUUUAAAUUAAAAAAUGUAUCCAUCCAACUGCUCGUCUACAAUGUAACUGCCCCGCCUAAUAUGACAAUUCUGUAUUAUUAAUUUUGUUUUAUUAUAUAUAAUAAUAUAUAUUUAUAUAGGUAAAAUUAAAACUUAAAUCAGUAUUAGAAAAAGCCUGAUUCAACUGCUAAAAAUCAAUUUUAAUUACCGAAAAUUAUGUUGAAACAUAAAAAAAAACUUUCAACGGAUAUAAACCCGGUGGACCGGGUUUUGACCAAAAAAUAACAGGUUUGACCCAAAACGGCAUGAAACUCAUUUUUUAUCCUGGUCGACAUGGUUUGACCCGUAUUGACCCGGUGAACUCGGUUUUGGUCAAAAAUGACGGUUUUGACCCGAAACGGCCCGAAACUCAUUUUUUACCCUGGUCGACAUGGUUUGACCCGUAUUGACCUGGUGAACUCGGUUUUGGUCAAAAAUAACGGUUUUGACCCGAAACGGCCCGAAACUCAUUUUUUACCCUGGUCGACAUGGUUUGACCCGUAUUGACUUGGUGGACUCGGUUUUGACGGAAAGAUGCGGUUGACUCGAGAAAAAUAUUUUUUUGAAUUUUCCUUUUUCUUAAUUUUUUUGGAUUUUUAUAAAUAAUAAUAGAAAUAAAAUAACAUUUGAGAAAAUCUUGGUGGAUCCAAAAUUGGGUUACAACAGUUGCCCCCUCUUUACAAUGCUUACGGUGCAAAGGCAUUGGAAAAUUCAUUUUCUUUUGACUUUGCAUAGUAAGUUUUGUAAAGAAAAACGAUGAAAGUGUUGAAAAAUGCACAGAUUUUUUCAGUUGGUCUAAUUCUUAUGGGCGACCUGCCCAAAUGAAAAACAUGAAAGUGUUUUCAAUAUUGAUCUGGUGAAAUACAUGAAAGUGAUUUCAGAUUAAUGUUGUGAAAUACAUGAAAGUGAUUUCAACAUUGUUUUUUUUUUUUUUUGUGAAAUACAUGAAAGUGAUUUCAACAUUUGCAUUGUGAAAUACAUGAAAGUGAUUUCAACAAUGGUUUUGUGAAAUACAUGAAAGUGAUUUCAACAUUUGUUUUCUGAAACACAUGAAAGUGAUUUCAGAUUAGCAUUGUGAAAUACAUGAAAGUGAUUUCAACAAUGGUUUUGUGAAAUACAUGAAAGUGAUUUCAACAUUUGUUUUCUGAAACACAUGAAAGUGAUUUCAGAUUAGCAUUGUGAAAUACAUGAAAGUGAUUUCAACAAUGUUUUUGUGAAAUACAUGAAAGUGAUUUCAACAAUGUUUUUGUGAAAUACAUGAAAGUGAUUUCAACAAUGAGCUUCAGGGUUGAUGAAACAUUCUAAAGGAAGUCAUACCUGUAUGGUUGAGAUCUGAUUUGUAAAUCGAUCUCAGAGAUGAUGAAAUCUUCUCAAGAAAGUCUUGUAUGUACGGUUGGGAUUUGAUUUGUAAUUGGAUCCCAAAGAUGAGGAAAGCUUUUCAAGAAAGUCUUGUAUGUACGGUUGGGAUUCGAUUUGUGGAUCCCAAAAAAUGAGGAAAGCUUCUCAAGGAAGUCUUGUAUGUACGGUUGGGAUUUGAUUUGUGGAUCCCAAAAAAAUGAGGAAAACUUCUCAAGGAAGUCUUGUAUGUACGGUUGGGAUUUGAUUUGUGGAUCCCAAAAAAAUGAGGAAAACUUCUCAAGGAAGUCUUGUAUGUACGGCUGAGAUUUCUGCCGUUCAAAGUGAUGGUAGAAGUAAAUUUCUUAUAAAUCACGCAGUAUUUGGCAAAAGACAUCAUCAACUUCUUGCAUUUUCAAUACUCUCAAAGUUCUCAACUUUUGAAGCUUUAACCAUGUCUUCCUCUUCUUCCAAUGCUAACCCAAACCCUGUUCCUGCAGUAGAGCCUGCAGUUUGGCGUACUACCUUUGAAGUGAAUGGUCGUCCAGUUACAAUAGAGGAUACUGUAAUGGACAAUGAAGAUAUUGCUGUAGCUGUGGCUAGAGACAUGAUCCUUCCUCGUGAUGAAAUAAUGUUGGCAGCCAGGACCGAUAUUGAAGCAGUGAAUCAGUCACUUGCUCUCAGUAUCAGAGCUACCUCGUCUUUGGUGAACGUUGCAGAGCGUCUUCAUGCCAGAAGACUUGAGUUGAAUACUCAGGUUCUUGAUCUCCAUCAUCAGAUUGAGAAUUUAAGGAAUAGACUUCGUGAUGAGAGACGUCACAGAAACAACUUGGAGAGGAGAAACCAAGAGUUAAAUACACGUGUUGACUUUUGGAGGGACUAUGUUAACACACGACACCUCGAGUUCGAGGAAGAGAUGGAGCGCAUGCAUAAGCAAUUCGAGGAAUUCUGAGGCAUGAUUAACCAUCAAGAUGAAAAUAUCCCUGAUCGUCCUCGCACUGUUUAACAUUUGUACUUGUAAACCCCUUUUCUAUGAAUAAAAAUCCAUCUUUCUUGUCUUCAUUUAUGAAUUUUGCUUUUGUGGAAUUGCCAUAUUUGAUGUGAUUUACAAGAACUUCAAGUCAUGUGAGUCUCGUUGGAUCCCAGUGGGAACUUUGUUUCGUGAAAUAUCUGCAAAACAAAUAUGCAAUGAAAUAUAGGUUCCCCCCUCUUUGAUGCUUCAUCGUCAUGGGGUGGCUUUGUUUGCAUUCCAAAGCCUUCUUUGUUCUUUCGAUGCAUUGUUUGCAUUCCAAAGCCUUCUUUGUUCUUUCGAUGCAUUGGCUCAUUCAUGUGCUAGCCAUCCACUCAGCUGUAAAUGCAGUGCCCAUCUUGGGCUGUCCGUGAUGAUUACUACUCUCGCUGUUUAUCAAGCUUGACAAUGCCCCCAAGUGUAGUGUUGCUUGAUUUAUCAUGAAGAAGCUUAACAAAUCGUUCAUCUCCUGGAUUCUUUCAAGAAUUGUUCUCUGAUUGAUUGUGCGCAUCGUGCCAACACCCAUCAAGAUUGUCAAUCAGUUAUGAACUCGACUUCAGUUGAAACAUGCCCUUCAAGUAUAUGCGGUCAUCCACUUUCAUGGAACUAUCAUGUCAUUCAGACAUGCAUUUCAUACUUUGCAGUAAAAAACUCAUCUUUGUAUGCUCAGCUUCUUUCUCAAUAAGUUCUUCUCAGCUCAUCUAACCAGAUUGUGAAAAGAAAUGCCUCAACCUCAUCAAUGAUGUCGCUUUUAUCACCCAUACUCAUGUGGUGCAGUGCACAUUGACUUCAAAUCAGAUGGUCUCACGGUCAGUCUAGGUGGGUGCGGUGCAUUCUUCCAACAUUCAUGCAAAAGCGAUCAUGUGAUAACAUCUUUCAAUAGUCAUAGCCAUAUUGGAGAUGAUAAACCAAGAUGAAGAUAUGAAGAUGUCCUUCAGGUACAUCUUUGCUCUCAAUUGUUGUCGGGGUUUACUGGAUCAUAAACUGUUCUUGAACAUCAUUGCCCUUAAUUGAUCUGAAUGUGCUCAUUCACUGAUUAUCUUUCUUUGAACCAUAUUGUCCUCGGUUUAUUGAUUCAUCAUUUGAUCGUCUCUAUCCCCCAGCUGAUUUAAACACUGUUUGUUUUCCUUCUCGGAGGUCCAUUGUAUUGCCCCCAGGAGUGUCGAGGAGAAUUGAUGUCAUUUCUGUCAGGAAUUUGCAAACUUGGUUGAUGUUUUUCUUUUGAAAAUCUUUCUUAUUUUGGAAUCAAAUCUCACAUUUCAAAGGUCAUGUCUAUUCAAGUCUAAUUGUUGAAAUGAAAUCAGAGAGAUGUCAAUUUUUGAAAGUAUUUUUGGAAAUCAAGCUUUAUUGGUCAAAGAUCCAACACACGCUAUUCAAUGUAGUCCUUUGAUUGUCUUGUAUUUUGAGAGAAAAGAAAUUGACUCAUUGUAAGAUUAAAAUGGCUUUUCCAUGGUUCUUUGUAUCCAUUUUAAACUCUAAUUUUGGGUAUAUCUUUUGAUUGUCUGUAAUGAGGUGACCUGUCUGAAUUUCAAGAAAAACAAGGUACCCGAGUCAAAACUUGAGGCUUUAUCAGGAAAGAUUGUUUCUUUUUCUUAGCAACAAUUUUAUCAGCAUGCAUAAUAAUCAGUAGCUUGAUUCAUGAAGUCACGACCUGUAUGAACAACUCUUCAAGUUUUGAGAUCGUCAUUUAUCGGUUCAGAUUGCUUACUUGAUUAAAAAGGACUUUCUAAAGCACGUAAUGUAGGCUAUGGUUCAUGGCUAUGAAAGAAAGGAAUUUCACAAGCUCAAAAGGUGUUUGAGGGUUUCAAGAACCUAGGAUCACCAUCAAUUACUCAUCAAUCUCUUUUCCUCACGUUGUCUUUGUAGAGACAGUGACAUAUAACCUUGUUAAUCUCAAAAAUCAAAAUUUGUUUAACAUAGGUCAUAACGCAAAUCCAACUUUUCUUUGAUGAAUAGCCAAUCUAAUCUUUUGAAGAUCGUAAAGGCUUUAUCAUAGACACACCAAAAGACAUCACACUUGAUUUUUUUUCGGGUUAACUUUUGGCAUUUGUUGUGUCUUUAUCAAUCUUUGGCUUUCUUCUUCUAGCCAUUUCUCAAUCAUUGAACUUUUGUUCUAAGCCUUCCCUUUAUCCAUCGACUCUAACAUUGUCUUCGUCUUUUCUAGGAAAAGAUUCUCAUUGCCCCCAGUGUGGGUGUGAUCCUAGUCAGGGUUUUUUAUGAAAGAAAUAUUCUAUCAGCUCAAAAUGGGACUGCAAGGGAUAUAUAUUUCAAGAAUUGUGAAAGGAUGAAACAAAAAUGGCCUUUUCUCAUUUCAAGCAAGGUCGGUUAGAACCAAUAAAUUUUAACCUCAUCCAAUGUAAUGAUUUAGACUUGUACGAAUCAUAAUUCAUGAGUCCAUAACUACUGAAUCCACUACGUAUCAUUAUGCAUACUGCUAAAACUUAGCUACAUGGUGUAUGGUUCAAUUUCAUGUAUGAGCUCAAAAGUUUCUUGGUCACCUCAUGUCAUUUCAGUAAGCAUUGAGUCAUUGAAGCAACAUAAUUUGAAUCUUCAGGAUUGACUAAUCUUAAACGCAUGUUGGAGCUUGAUCAAAAUAUUUUGUAAAUAACCUUUGAAAGAAACAUCUCAUGCGUUCAGAACAACAAAGGGACAAAGAAAAGACAUGUUUUGUUAAAAGAUGAGAUGUGAUCCCAAAAUAAAAUGCAGAAUGACAAAACUCAUAACAAAAAGGAUCGACAGUUUAACACUCUUCUUGGAUCAGCUUUUCUGGCGAUAUCUGUGUUUUGCCAAGCAUUUCGAUCACUUGUCAAUUUGAGGAUGUUGAGGUGACAAUAUGGCCGAUGACGUCAUUUUGCACAAACUCAACUUGAUUCUUGAAAUUCUUGCAACUGUUCAACUGAAUGGCACAAAAUCCCCCAAUGAUAUUCAUGUAUCUUUUACUAAGGGAUGAGGGCUCAAAGGCGCACUCAAAGGGAGUUGAGGGCUCAAAGGCGAACUCAAAAUGGAGGUGAGGGCUCAAAGGCGCACUCAAAAGGAGAUGAGGGCUCAAAGGCGUACUCAAAAGGAGUUGAGGGCUCAAAGGCGCACUCAAAAUGGAGGUAGGGUUAGAAAACGCACUACCUAAGGGAUGAGGGCUCAAAGGCGUACUCAAAAGGAGUUGAGGGCUCAAAGGCGCACUCAAAAGGAGGUAGGGUUAGAAAACACACUACCAAAAGGAUGAGGGCUCAAAGGCACACUCAAAAUGGAGGUGAGGGCUUAAAGGCGCACUCAAAAGGAGUUGAGGGCUCAAAGGCGCACUCAAAAGGAGUUGAAUUGGCAGAGUCAGGGCAAUAAGUCCGGAGUCUAAUAGAUGAUGGUGGACAAACUCGAGUGGUCGAGGUAUGUCAAUCUUAGCAAAGACAUUUGAGCAAUUGAUGUUACAGUGAGACCUGGUUGGACCACAUAAUUAAGGCUUCCCAUCGUUAGAGGCAUCCUUUGAUUCAUCUCUCAUUAUUGUUCUAGAAUUCUUGGUAGAAUCUUCAAUCAUUCCCCUCUUCAUAGCUUGUUCAAAUCUUUCAACAAUCCUCACAACAUCAUAUCAAUCUUUCCAAUGUUGUUGUGGUUGUUUGUGGAUUGGUAGAAACUUUCCAACAGCCAGGCAAUCUUGGUAGCGCAUAGAAACAUGCAGCACCACCACUGCCGACGUGUGGAAUCAUGCGUUGUCUCAACUGGAAGAGAAACUGAUGAAUCUGAAAACCCUUUUGUCUCCUCUUUGAUUCCUCACUGGCAGUGCAACAAACAAACACCUAUAGUGGGAAUUCUGCUCUGUUAAAGUUUCAAUGUCUGCUCUUGUUUUUCUCAGAGCAGCAUCCGAUACUGCUGGAUCGGAAUGGUGUUCACAAGAGAUGUCUGGAAAGAAAGCCAAUGCACCAGGAACAGAAAGCUAGCAACUGUUAUGUGCCCUUGGAAUAUGUGAAGGCUUUGAAUGACUAUCAGUGCAGUUGAACGAGAACAAGGGUUGUCGUCAUUAAUUGUGACUGAAGGCAUUACUGUCAUUGUUCAUUGUUCAUGAUGAAAAAGGAGAGGUGCAACUUCAAUGGAACUUAUUCAAACAGAUUUAUGAGUCUGUACAGACGUUCCCUUUCCACUCUUGAAGCUCAACACUUAUUCAAACAGAUUUAUGAGUCGAGUAGACCUCAGCAGGUGGGGGAACUUAUGUUUCAACCGUGUGCAUGCUUGAUAAAUGAAUGAAAUGCACAAAUGGAUGCAAAAUGCCAUAUGUUUUAUGCAUGCUUGUUAUUUGUUUCAAGGUUUCCUUAUGACGAGGAAUAGACCAGAUCAGAUUCUCUUAAGAAAGUUCUCACUGAGGACUCCAAACCUACAGGAACUUGAACCGAUUUAGGGGAGAAAUUUGAUGCCAUAAAUCAGAAUAAACAUUUCUCAUAACAAAAAGAUGAUGAAAUUGUCUUUUAUUAAUUCAUAAUAUUAAAAGUGCAACAAGUCAAUCUUUCCAAAGCCUUGGACCGUCGUAUGCUGAGAUCUCAUUAAUUCCAUCUCUGAUCAACCCAAAAAACUGAUGGAAUUCAUUUCUGGUCAUUGGCUCACCAUCUGCUAUUUGUUGGGCUAGGCCUCGUAAUCCUAAAGCAUAAUUCUUGGCAUCAUCUGCUUGUACAUGAUAGCGCAUAGCUUCAGAAGCCCAACAUUCUGCUUCUUUUUCUGCCUUUUCUUUUUCUGAUGAUAAAGUUUGCUCAAUAAAAAGCAAAUGGUCUAAAUGCUCAUCUAAAUUGGCAAUUAUUACAUCUUGCUUUUGAUGUUGCUCCUGAAGUGAUUUAUUUGUCUCUUCCAACUUUAAUACCAUUUCCUCAGCUUUCGAUGCUCUUCUAACCCAUCUCUUCAUGUUGACAUCUUGCUUCGUCUUAUCUUCUGACAAAAGUACAUAUUUUUCUUGUAAUUGCUGGAAAUCAAGUUGUUGAUGUUGUAGCUGAGCUGACAAGUCAUCAUUUUCCUGUUUUAUGAUAACCAAAGCUUUUUCUCGAGUGGCUAGAUUAGAUUCUAACUUUCUUUUUUUAGCCCCUAACUCUUCCACUUCAGCAUUCAAACUUAGGUUAUAAGAUUCUUGUUGGGCGCGAACUUCUUCGUGUAUGUCUUCAGCAGACUGAAUCAAAGACCUGGGUGGUCCUUCAAAAGGAGGAACUUUGUACCCUUUCCCUCUCUUCUUUUGCCAUAUUGGAUAUCCUUCAGUUGUUUUUCCUUCUACUCUCUUAGCAGAAGUAACCCUACCAGGAUGUUUCCAUGCCUUCUUCACUGACUCCAAGAAUUUCUUUGAGGUCUUGAAAUCUUCAUAAAAUGUUGCCAGUUUAGUAGUCCUUGGAAUAAACUGCUCAAAUCCAAACUGUCGUAAAACCAGGUUAGGACAGUAACUAAUACAGCAGCGGGCUCCAAUCAACGGGACCCAUGGGUACUCACCACAAUACGCCAGAUAAGAUUUGAAAUAAGCAUAUCGACUUCUCCAAUGAAAUUGAGAUUUACUUAGACUUAGGAACAUUGAUUCCCAUGUGGUUUUUCCUACUUCAUGCAAGUGUUUUUCAGCAAAAUUCUCCAGCUGAGAAUAAAGAUGCCACGGGGUACCAACCAAACCUGAAAUCUUCCCCUCAAUCAUAUGACUCACAGUCCAGACAAACAAUAACUGCAAGCAACAUCUUAAACGACCCCUUCCAGCUUUUCUGCAAUAAUUCAAGGAUGAGAAAGUUUCUGCCAAUAUUGCUGUAGCAGGGUUAAUUUUAAGGGUCACCACAUUUGUGAAUACAUUAACAGCUUCAAAAUCAAUCAUUCCUUCGGCAGAUGGGAAAAGAACCAAACCAUAUAUGCCUAAGGCCAAAAUUCUCAAUCGAAUUUCAUUGCUUUCAUCAUGUAAUCUCUUCUUGAAUAUGGCUUCUAGCUCAUUCCAAAACCAACCCUGGCUAUUUCCUCGUUUAGUUGCAUGUGAUUUUGCUAGUUGACAGUCUGUCUGGGUAAUCCAAGCAAAGUUAGAAAGUGCAUGCUCUAUAGGUGUGUAAAAGUACACCUUUUCUGACUUGGGACAAUUUAGCAGGGAUUCAUACUCCUCGAUAGUAGGAGUCAUAUCCACAGUAUCAAAUGUGAAGCACCGAUAUUCUGGAUCCCAAAACCCUAUCAUGGCCUGAAAACAAGCAUGUUGGACCCUAAUUUUCAGUAAAUGUGAUAGAUCCCCAUAUUGUUUCUGAAAAGUGAUUUGAUCAUGAGAGGAUAACUUUUCCCAGCAGUCUAGCAGUUGUCCUGUACCAAGUGGUCUGUCAUCUAAUUUAACAUGCUCUGGCAACUGAGACUUAAAUUCUGAUGGCAAACAAUCCCCUUCAUCAUGCUGGCUCAAUUCUGAUCUGGUCAAAAAUUCCUCAAUGGUAAUGGAUUUUUCCAUCUCACACUUCCUGUAAGGAUCGGUGGAGACUUAAUGAGCAUAUGAAAUGUAUAUGAACAUGUAUGUUCAUGCAUUGACAUUUGUUCGUGUCCUAAUGGGUAUAUCCUACUUGAUAGGAUCUAGCUCAUAAGGUUUGGCUCAGUUUAGUCUAUCCUUAAAGAUAUUCUCCGGUUCUUAGAUUGCCCGAAUUACUCGUGAAGUAAUCGGCCUCUUAACCUUAUACAACAUGAGUAGGGGAGAAAGACUCCACAGUACUAGUUGCAUAGGGUGAGUUACAAUCCAAGCAAAAGUCCAAAUGAGCAUCAGUGGACAUAAGUCACACUUGCCACUUGAAUCUCUCUUUUCUAAUCUUAAAAAGGACGAGCUCGGGUCCAGAGCUUUUAUGGGUUCACAGUGAAGUGUGUGAAUACACAAAUAAUAAUAUAUAUGUAUGUGAUGAAAUGAAAAAUUGAAAAGAAUCAUAGUAGAUAUUGCAUAAAAUAAAUAAUGCAAAUAAAAUAAGUGCCCAAAAAUAAAUAGCGAUAAGAAAGAGCAAAUGAAAAGCAAACACAAGCAGUUGGCUCAACCCUAAGUCCCCAGUGGAGUCGCCAUUCUGUCGAUACACGACGUCGGGCGACGGCUCCCGCUUUUUUGUUUAUUUAACAAAAAGGGUUUUUUCUCGAUUGGGGGAAACAAAGAUUUUAUUGGAGUCGCCAUCUAGUAAUUUGGGGGAAACAAAGAUUUUAUUGGAGUCGCCAUCUAGUAAUUUGAGGGAACUAGAAAUCCCAAAUUAGACACUGGUCCCAGAGAUUCGGGUACGGGGUUAGUUAUGAUUAAGGGAAGGUAGACACCACCCUUAAAACAUCCUUUCAAAAGAAAGGUUACCCUUACUUGUGUGUUUUUAUUUGAUUCAAAUGCGAUUAUAUUUUGGGCUUAUUUGUAAAUUUUUGUAAAUGAUUAACGUCGGUCCCUAAAAAUAGGAGACACGUUAAAAAUGACAUCAGUCCCUAAAAAUUGGAGACUCGUCUGAGUUACCAAAAGAAAUAAUGGAUAUAAUCCAUUAUAUUUUGGGUUUAUUGGUAAUUUGUUUUUUUAAAUGGUUAACGUCGGUCCCUAAAAAUAGGAGACACGUUAAAAUGACAUCAGUCCCUAAAAAUUAGGAGACUUGUCUAAAAUAUGACGUUUCAACCCUAAAAAGGAGAAUUACGUCUGGGUUACCAAAAACAAUAAUGGACAUAAGCCAUAUUUGGUAUUUACAUUUUUUUGACAUCGGUCCUUUUAAAAAAAAGAGACGUGUCGGCUUUGGUUUUUGUAUUGUUUACAAUAUGCAAGAAAAUUUACAAGCAUUUAUAUAUAAAAAAUAUCAAAAAUACCAGUAGAAACUCCGAAAAAUUACCUGAGUGCCACUGUAUAGGUAAAAGACUGAAAUACCCUCAGGUUUCUCCAAAAUUUACAAAAAUGCCACUGGCGGCGCGUGUAGCACACGCGCGGCUACUGUUGGCGGCGGGGAGAUUUUCCGGCGCGAUUUCUGGCCAACCGAUGGUCGAUCCUGGUAGAUCUGAUGUCGAGGAUUCUUAUGGUGGUGGUCUUGACGGCCGUUGAUGGCUGAUGAGCGAGAAUCGACGACUUGAAGCUUCGGUGGCAGCCGACGAUCGCGGCCCGUUUCCGGCCAAAUAGAGCGGCGAAAACGCUGAAAUCGGCCGGGGUUUUGCUUUAUAUGAGGAAGGCGACCUUUCUGUGGUGGUUUUCAAGCUUGCAGUGGCCGGAUAUGGGAGAUCGGAGGAGAGAGAGGGAGUCGCCGGCGAGAGGAGAGAGGUGCUCUGGGUUAUGCUAUGGUGAGAACGCAAACACGGUACACCAGUGCUGUUGAUGCUUGUGAUCCGUAGGAUCUCUGAUGGAAAUAUCGUGCGGCUGUGAUUGGCCCGAUCUGCAGGUUGAUCGGACGGUCCGGAUGAGCGGAGCUUUGAUCUGGUGUGGCGCGGUGCACCAAAUCUCGGUACACCGGAUGACGUGGCGCAACGGGAUCAAAUCUUGGAAUAUUUCAAAGGCUGAGAUGUGUUUGGGUUUUAAUCUAGUGUGGUAAGCCCUAUUGUAUCCUAUUAAAUCAACGGUUCAGAUCUAAACACUAUUAGAUCUAACGGUUAGGAUAUAUUUGGUAUUUUUCAUAUUGUUUUUAAUAAAAAUCAAUAUCCUACCCUCGUGAAGAAAUAGUAAAAAAAACCUGAAUAGUAAACUCUUCUUUUUUUUCUUCUCCUUUUUUUUCUCUUUUUUUUUCCUCUGGCGCACUGUUGGCUAUUUAUAGCAGGGGACAGCAAGCAUCGGCUUUAAAUUAAAAAAUGUAUCCAUCCAACUGCUCGCCUACAAUGUAACUGCCCCGCCUAAUAUGACAAUUCUGUAUUAUUAAUUUUGUUUUAUUAUAUAUAAUAAUAUAUAUUUAUAUAGGUAAAAUUAAAACUUAAAUCAGUAUUAGAAAAAGCCUGAUUCAACUGCUAAAAAUCAAUUUUAAUUACCGAAAAUUAUGUUGAAACAUAAAAAAAAAACUUUCAAUGGAUAUAAACCCGGUGGACCGGGUUUUGACCAAAAAAUAACAGGUUUGACCCAAAACGGCAUGAAACUCAUUUUUUAUCCUGGUCGACAUGGUUUGACCCGUAUUGACCCGGUGAACUCGGUUUUGGUCAAAAAUGACGGUUUUGACCCGAAACGGCCCGAAACUCAUUUUUUACCCUGGUCGACAUGGUUUGACCCGUAUUGACCUGGUGAACUCGGUUUUGGUCAAAAAUAACGGUUUUGACCCGAAACGGCCCGAAACUCAUUUUUUACCCUGGUCGACAUGGUUUGACCCGUAUUGACCUGGUGGACUCGGUUUUGACGGAAAGAUGCGGUUGACUCAAGAAAAAUAUUUUUUUGAAUUUUCCUUUUUCUUAAUUUUUUUGGAUUUUUAUAAAUAAUAAUAGAAAUAAAAUAACAUUUGAGAAAAUCUUGGUGGAUCCAAAAUUGGGUUACAACAUGCGUGGUCACCAAGAAUAAAUCUAUGAGGGCGAUAAGGCUCAAAACAGACAAUAUGUUGCAGGUUGGGUCAAGUUAUGACAUAUUCAAUAAUUACUCUUCAAUUAAAUCCUAAAUCUCAUUUCAUCUUUUCAAUUUAAUCCCUAAUUUGACACCAACUCUUCAAUUAGACCCCAAACCUCAUCCCACCUGAGGAAAGCCCUCUUCAUUCAAUUUAGCCCCUUAUUAUCUUCAAUUUAAUAUUGAAUUUUAUUCGAUCCAAGCCCAAAAAAGGCUAAGCGAAGAUAGAAUAAAGGAAGGGAAAGAAAAUGAAUAAUUGCCCAAUCGAGCUAACGUGUUCUGGUCUUUUUUCCAUGAUUCGGGGUGAACAUUUGACAUUUAUCCUUUUUUUCUAUAGUCUUUUCUCCAUGUUUGUUGUGACGCCGCACACGUGCGACAACCAGUAAAUCUAUAGUUAAUUUCAUUUUUUGAUAAAAGAUAAUACCAUCGGUAUAGAAUGGUUACCAACUGUUACUUUAAUAUGCCUUGUAGCCAAUCAGUUAGUUACACGAGGCAUUAUUAUAUUCAUGUAAAUACAUAUUUAUUAUUAAUAAAGGCUUAAUUUAACUUUAAUAUUCAUAUAAUAUUAUAUUAAUGAAUCUAGAGUAUAGAUAAAGUUUAUUAGAUAAAAAUGCUUUGCAAAUAAAAUUAUAAAGUUGUUAUAAUUAUGAGAUUUUUAAUGCAUCAAAGUAUUGCUCAUAAAAUGUUUUUGGUCGAUGUUGUCUUAAAUACUAGAUAUUUAUUAGAGCCAUAAAGACUAAUACAUAUUAUGUUUUUUCCUUUAUGAAAUGAAGCAGUUGUUCUCAUAAGUUGAGUUAUAAGGGAUACCUAAAACUAAUAUGUAUGUGCUUGCCAUAAAACAUAUACACUAAAUUGACCCGCAUGAAAAUUCCAUAUGGAGAGAUCAUAUAUGUCUAUAGAAAGACUCGCAUGACAGUUGUAUAUGUAAUCCUUAGACUUGAGAUCACUAAGUUAUCUUAUAUAGAGAUUGUUAUGCUUUCAUCUUGUUACAUGUUAUCUUAAUUGAGAUAACAAAAUGAUAAGCAUUGAGUAUAUCAUGAACUAUAUGAAGGUUUUCUUGAGUGAUUAAGAGAGGAUUUCAUCACCCUAUGUGAAUUAGAAAAAAUGUUCCAUCUGUUCUCAAAUAGUAUUGACUGAGAAAUCCUUAGCCAAGGUGGAAUGAGAUUUAAAAGGGGUUUCAAAUCUUAUUCAAAUGAUCAAUUACUAUUAUGUAGAGAAUGAACAUGAUUUAACAUGACAAACAUGCUUCAUACUUUAAUGUUAAAUGUUGCUACCCAAUUUUUGACCCAUGUUUUGAUAAAUUUUCAGAAAAAUUCAAAAAUAGCAAAAAACAUUGAAAAUCCAAAAAAAUACAUUUUUAAUACAUUUGCAUCGUUUUUAGCAUUUUUAGCAUCGUCUCAAAAGAAUUUAAAUUUUCAAAGAUGUUUGGAACGUGUUCAACUUUUAACGCAUUAUUUUUAAAAGCAUUGAUUUUCCUCAUUGAGUCGAUGUUGAUAUUGCUCGUUUUCAAAAAAUACAAAAAAAAUAAGAAAAAUCAAAAUUUACAAGAAAAAGAAGUUGAGGGACCAAAUUUUGAGGCCCAAGCUACAUUUUACCUAUAAAUAGUAGCCUUCAACACACACAAAAAAGGGGGGCAAUUUUGAAAAAAAAAAAGAGGAGAAAACCUAACCCUAAACCUAUCUACCCAAAGAGCCGCCCCCCACCCGGCUGGAUUUUUUUUGCUCUCCGAAACCAGCCGUUCAAGUCCUUUCCCUCCUCCACAUCGUCUCCAACUCCUUCUCCCUCAGCCACACACACGACAGAAACCAGAGCUCCCCUUCUCCUCUCCCAGCCGCCACUUGUACUUUCCCCUCUCUCAGCCGAUCCCUCAUCUCCUUUUCCCUACAAACCAGAACGCCGACCCCCCCCAGCCGUUCUCUCACCCUAGACAACCCCCAACAACAGCCGCCACCCUCACAGACCCGGCGACUCCUAGCUUCUCUUCAAUCGGCCACAAACCCAUGAUCGCCCUAUCAGCCACCGUGAACAGCCGCCUCCAGCAUUUCCUUUCCUCAGCACCAGCACCAGCACCGAUCUGUCCAUUCCUCCGCCUCAACACCGCCAGCAAGCUUAUCUCCACCGCGACUUCAGCGACCACGGACGACAGCCACCAGAUCAGAGGAAGGAGAAGACCGAGAACCAGCUGACUACCGCUGCCACCAACAUGAGUGAAGACCGUCAACGCAGCGACCACCACCGAAAGCUCCCCCCACAACCGCCGGCCAUCUAAAACAGAAGAAGAGGAAACAAAAACAACAUGCAGAGAGGAGCAGAUCUGAAAAUGAGAAGGGAGAGAAGCAGAUCUAGACUAAAAUGGAUUGAAAUCGACUGUUUGUUGGGUUUUUUGUUCUUUUGCAGGUGACGGUGGGUGUCACCACCGGCAGAGAAGGGAAAAGGAAAGGAAGCUGAGCCAGACCCCCCCUGUUUUCUGGCCUUUCUCGCGGCGGCGCGUGAACCCACGCUCCGCCAGUGGCGGUGGCGCCUGGGAAGACGCGUCGCCACUGUUCAUGCUGUUCCAGAAGGGCUUCCCAGCACUGUUAUGGAGUUUUGAGGGGUUAUUUUGUAAUUUUCAAAUUUUUAAUGUAAUUUUUUUGUUUAGUUUUGAAUUUUUAUUAUUUGUAGUGUUGAUGUAAAAAAAAAAAAACAAAGAAAAGAAAAGAAAAAAAAUAUAGUGAAAGUGUAUGUGUGUGUUUGUAUUUGCUUUAUGAGUGUUUUAUUUUAUUUUAUUAUGUAUGAUAAAAUUGCAAAGAUUAAAGAAGAAUUUAAUAUUUUGAUUUGCUCACGGUCCAGAAUUAUUAACUUAUACGUAAGUUGUAUUUCUAAUAUCCGAUGAAAAGACAAAAUUUUUAAAACUUCUUUAACACAUCAAAGUCACGAAGCAGCUUACCUCAGGUAGGGUGCGUUAGGGGUGCUAAUACCUUCCCUAACCACAACCAGUCCCUUACCCGCGAAUCUCUGACAAGACCAGUACAUCCGGUUUCCUAGUAGCCUUCAAUAAAUUACUAGGUGGCGACUCCAACGAACCAAUUCAAGCAAACGACAACGAAAAGAUCGCCAGCCGAUGCCGCACGGAUUUUCUGAUGUGCGACAUUAAAUAAGAACAUUAGUGAUAGAAUGAUAUUAAUUACAAUGAGAAACCAGUAAUAGAAGCCAGUAAUUGAAACCACUAAUGACUUUUCUAAUAUUUAGGGGAUCAUGACACGUUACUAAACAAUGCACAUGAUCUUCAAAUUUUCAAUUUUAAUUUAUUUAAUUAUAAUUAUAAUUAUAAUUUAUAUUUGGGUCAAUAUAUUAGGAACCUAAUAGGUCAUACACAUUAAGAAUUUAAACUGUGAUGAUUUAAUUAAGUAUAACUUGAUUAAAAUAUAUUUUAGAAAUUAAGGACUAUAAUAUAAUUAAUACAAGGAUUAUGUUUCCAGAUCUAGAAAAAUCAGGUAAGGACUUGAUUGAGUUAAUUUAUAAAAUUAUCUUAAAUUAAUAUAUGAAUAUUAUUCAAGGGGGAAAAUUAAUAUUUUGUCAAUUUAUAGGGUUUUUCAUAUUUUCUUAUAAAUAGUAAGUUAUGCCUCUUAUUUUUUAGGAGUUAUCUGUUAGAAAGAAAAACUACGUAUGUUACAGAAUAAAGAGAUAACACUUUAUACAUAACAAUCCCUCUCUUCUAAAUAGAGACUUGAGAGAUUUUUUACUAGUAGUUCAUGUGGAUUACUGUUAAAGAACGAACAAUUGAACGACUUCUAAUUUGCAAUAACUCAGUCUUUAAAAAAUUAUUCAAAACCGAAGAUAAUCAAAUCUUCAGGUGAUAAAUCCCUAAAUAACUCUAAAUUAUUUUAUUGUUUCAGCUGCGUAUAUGCUAUUCGGCAAACCCAACACCAACUUCACCACGGGUUUAACAUUUCUUUUACAUGUUGGGAAUUUGGUACUAAUGGGUGUAUUUUCUUAAGUUGAAAUAAUGUCACACAAUGCAGGUUCAAGUGGGUUCAUGAAUCAAAUAGUGGUUGUUAUUUGACACCGCAAUUGGAUGGCUUGGAGUUCGCCGGAACUUGGGCAUACCAUUUUUGAAUAAAUAACAAGGUAAAAACAUCUUUUAAUGAUAUGAAAUCAUUUAUUCAUUUAAAGGUAUCAACAUUGUCAUUUAUAGUGAAACAUUUAAUUUUACUACAUUGAGAAUACGUUGACCAAUAGAAUCCCCGCCUUCAGCCAACCCCAAAUUUGUCUAUCAUCGUGUAAUAUUGAUCAUUACAUUAUGCGCUUUCCAGCUAAUGAUAGGAUUUUAAGGACAACAUUAUUAAAUUGACAUCCAACCGACCAUUAUGGCUGUCAUAGAAUAGCAAUGGCCAUCCUUUGGCCAUCAUGCCAUAAAAGCCUCAUUUGGAGCCAAUUCCUCUCUCUCUCUUGCCACUAUUAGCUUCCAACCAUUCUUCGCGUUUCACUUUUCUUCAAAUGUUUUCACCAAAAUUGUUGCUCAUAAAGUCGAGAUCCAAGGGAUUAUUUAAGAUUUUAUGGAAAGUACGUAUUUCAAAUAUUUUAUGUUUAUUUUUCUGAAAUAUUGUUUGAAGAAAAAAAAAAUUUAAUUUUUUCAAAAUCAUUUUUAAAACACAAAAAUAAAUAGAGUUUGUUUUUUAUUUUUUAAAGUAUUGUUUUUUAAAAAUAAUUUUUGUAUUCUAAAUUAAUUUUUUUAUUUUUAUAUUAAUAUUAAAAAUAAUUUUUAAAAAAUAAAAAAAUAUUAUUUUAAUAUAUUUUUAAAUAAAAAAAUAUUUUAAAAAACAUCUACUUAAAAAAUAUUAUUUUUCAAAAAUAAUACUUUUCUCUAUAUUUUGAGUUUUAGUUUUUAAUAGCUAUGGCUUGUUUGAUUUUUUAUUUUUAUUUUUUUCAUGCUCUUGCAAAUAAGGCACGAAAAAAGUACUCGAAAUCACGGUGUAAAUAAGAAGAGAAAUAACAUGUUUGUUUUUUAUUUUUUAAAUUAAAUUUUUGUAUUUUUAUAUUAAUAUUAUAAAUAAUUUUUUAAAAAUAAAAAAAUUAUUUUAUAAUAACAUGGAGAUAAAGAUAAUCUCAAAAGCUAAUAGAUGGUCACCACGUGUUCAACUAGGAAAGGAUAGAAAGAGGGAGAGAGAAAGGUCAAAAAGGCUUUAAAAAAAAAAGAAAAGGAAAGACACGGUUGAGAUAAGAGGGACGUGGAUAUAGAAGCAGAAACGGAAGGAGACAUAAGCCCUGUUUGUUUGCUGGAAAGUAGUUUUUUUUUGGAAAGUGAAUUCCGGGAAAGUAUUUUCCGAUGUUUGGUAGUGUAAUGGAAAAUAAGUUGGAAAACACUUUCCAGUGUUUGGUUAUGUCAUGGAAAAUGAGCUGGAAAAUAACUUAUUAAUGUUUUAUUUUUCUCAAGUUUAUUAAAAUAAUGAGGAACAAAUCUUACAAAUUAAAAAGUUGAAUGAGAAUGAAAUUGAAAAAAAAUAUAAUUUCAUAAAUUAUCUCAAAUAAAAUAAAUAAUAAUCAAAAUAAUAGAGAUCAAAUCUAAAAAAUUAAAAAAAAAAUUAAAGGUGAAGAAAUUAAAAUAAUAAUAAUUAACAUUUCAUAAAUUAUUUCAAAUAAAAUAAGUAACAAUCAAAAGAAUGAGGACCAAAUUUGAUAGAUAAAAAAUUUCAAUAAAAAAUGAUAAGGAAAAAGCAAAUAACAAUUAUAAAAAUAAGGACCAAAAUUAAUAUAAAAAUUAAAUUUUAAGAGAUGGAAUUGAAAAAUAAAUAUUCAAAACAAAUUAUAUAUAGCAAUCAAAAGUUUGAGGAUCAAAUUUGAUAUAAUCAGCAAAUAAUGACAUUUCUAAAUUUUUCACAACUUCUGGAAAGUGUUUUCCGCCCAAAUUUUCCAGGAAAACACUUUCCUGAAAACCAAGCCAAAUUUUCCUUUGACUGGAAAGUGUUUUCCGUUGACCAACUUUUCUAAUGGCAAACAAACACAGGAAAGUUUGGAAAGUGGUUUCCCGGAAAUCACUUUCCGGGAAACAAACACAGCCAAAAGGGAAAACACUUUCCUGAAAACCAAACCAAAUUCGAAAAGUGUUUCCAUUGACUAGAAAGUGUUUUUCGUUGACCGAAAAGUGUUUCCGUUGACUGGAAAGUGGUUUCCGUUUACCAACUUUCCUAAUGGCAAACAAACACAGGAAAGUUUGGAAAGUAGUUUCCCGGAAAGUGAAUUCCGGAAAACAAACAUGGCCAUAGAAAGAUCAGAGGAGAGUAAGAAAAAAAAAUGAAUAUGUGAUGUCCUAUUUCUGAUAAAAAAUACUUUGUUUUGUUUUUUUUCUCUUUUAUUUGGAAUUUCUUUAGACACUUUAAUAAUAUAAUAACAAAAUUUUUUUUUUCUUUAUUUAUAUUUUGAGUUUUAGUUUUUAAUAGCCAUGCUCCUUUGAUUUUUUAAAAUCAUUUUUUUCAUACUCUUGCAAACACGGCAGAAGAGGAGGACCUGAAAUCACGACAGUGAAUAAGGAGAGAAAUAAGCAUGUUGGUUUUUUUAUUUUUUAAAGUACUUAAAAAAUAUUUUUUUUAUUUUUAUAUUGAUAUUAAAAAUAAUUUUAAAAAAAUAAAAAAAUAUUAUUUUAAUAUAUUUUUAAAUAAAAAAUAUAAAAAAAAACUACUUUAAAAACCUUAAAACCACGGCAUGAUAAAAGGAGAAAGAAAGGAAUAGGACAAAGGAAGAAAGUGAAUUGGACACAGGAAGAAAGUAAGGUCACGUAGGGGGGCCAGUAUCGUAGAUAAUAGGAGAUGAAAAUUAGUAUGAAAAAGAGGAUGAUAGAGUGGUUGUCCGAAUCAUUGUGGUUUUUAUAAUUAUAUUUAAUUUAUAGAAAUAUUAAAUUAAUAUAUUCUUAGUAUUUUAUAUGAUUUAAAAAAUAUGUGUAUAAAAAAAUAUUUUAAUAUAUUUUUAAAUAAAAAAUAUUUUUAAAAGUAUAUGUCACAGUACCAAAUUAUAUUAUAAAUUAAAAAAAUGGGGUUUUAUGUUCAUUAGUACUUACUUAGAGUCAUUUAAUUGUGGACAAAAUGGUGUAUUCUUUUGAAAAUUUUCAAUUUUAUACUUGAAUUUGUUUUCCACAAUUGAUCCUUUUUAAUUAAAAUUAGAGUUCAAUUGCAUAUUUUUUUAAAGAUAAAAGUUGAAUUAAAAAUAGAUAAAAGUUGAAUUAAAAGAAAGGGGACUAGUUAAGUGAAAAACUCAGCCAAAAUAGGUAGCGGCUCUAUAAUUUGUUGGCAAAGUUUAUUUUAGUUUUUCAUCUUUUUAAGUUAUUAAAUAAAAAGUCCCUAUAAUUUUCCAACAUUGCAUUUUGAAUUUUUUUAUUGAUACUUUUUUAUAUAUAUUUUUAAAAAUAAUUUUAAAAAUGAUGUUUUCAUUAAUACCCAUUUUCUAUGAUUUUUUUUGGCUUUAUGUAGUCUUUCUUCAAUUAUUUUUAAUUUUGCUAGAUGUGUUUAAUUUUUUAAGAGGUUAGUAUAAUUUAUCUGUAAAUAUUUUUUGUACAUUUCAAAUAGAUUAAGUAUUUAAUUUUUAUAAUAUUUUGAAUAUGUGUAGCCUUAUAUAGUUUUUUUUUAUGAUAUUAAAAAAAUAUGUGUAUUGAUUUCUAUUAUAAAUUAAUUUUAAUAAAUAAAUUUAUUAAAUAUAACCAGAUAAAUCAUUCAUGUAAUAUUAAAUACUUAAUCUAUAUUUAUCCCUCAAUUUUCUAGGCAAGCAAAAGGAGCUAAACUUAUUCCCGACUAAAACGUCAAGAAUUUCAGGAGAACAAAAGAAGAGAUUAUUACUUGACCAAAAACAAUUAGUCCGCGUCCAAAGAAACCGAGUGAAUGAGAGAAAAAAGACUAUAUAUUAGCUAGAAAACAAUCAACAGAACCAAGAACUUUCGGUAUGGUUUCCAAGAAAAAUGAAAUGAAACGAGCAGCACAACCCUCUUUCCCCUCUAAGAAAAAGAAAAAGAAGGGAAAGAAACAAAGAAGUUCGAGGAAGUGGGCAGCCUUUGUUCUGCUGUUCACACAGACUAAGAACUCCUCAAAUUGUAAAAUCAUAUAAUUAAAACACAACAAUAAAAAUGUAAUAAGCAGCUGAUUAAUGCUAUUGUUCUUUCUUCUUGUUUUGCUAUUUUGAUUUUAUCAUAUUUUCUUAAGAAAUUAUGAUUGUGAAAGCUAGCCAAACUAUUAGAUCCAAGCAAUCUAAGAUAAAAACUAGCGUACUUGCGUCCUGUUGUCGCAAGUACUUUUUAUAAUUAACUUUUUGUAAUAUUUUUUUAUUUAAUUAUACAAUAAAUUCAUAGAAAAAACUACAAGAGGAAAAUAUAUAUUUCAUCAAAAUUGUGUAAUCUGAUUCAUGUAUUUUUCUUAACAAAAAAAAAAGAUUUUGAUGAUAUAAAAAGUAAAAAAAAUAAAUAGAAAAUGAAGACAUGGAGAGUGGCGGGCGGGCAUUAUUGUGUUAUUUUUGAAUCCGACUCCCAUAUAUAAUGAAAGUAAGAACGUUCAUUCCUUUAUAAACAUUGACUUUGAUUUUUCCUUUAUAAAACCAUAAACCUGCAAGUCCUACAAAUCAACAUGAAGACUUAUCAGAUCCUAAUGAAAAGCUGUCAAAAUCCUAUCAGAAAUUAAGGAAGAUGACGUUAACUUCAAAUCUGAGGAUUAAUUGUAGCAGAUCUUAUAGCGUUCAGCUGAUUGCUUUACUUGUUUAAAUAAUUCUCUUGUAAGCCUAAUGGUUCACGUCUUCCAUCAUUGCAACCUUUUUUUCUGUGAUUGAAAAAUCUAUAAUAGGAACCUGCACUGCAUCCCUUCUAUGCUGUUGUUCUUUCUUCUUGUUUUGCUAUUUUGAUUUUAUCAUAUUUUCUAUGAUGAAAGUUGAAGAAAUUCUACUUCGAAACUAAAGACAAAGUCUCUCGGACUGCAUAUUAGUGGGUUGCUCAUUGGGAUUUCUAUAAACAACUGAUUCUAUUGCAAAGCAACACCACGAAAAACUGAAUAUUUCACACAUAGUCUAAUAAAAGUAGAUUCCAUUGUCAAUUCCUUAACAUUUUCCAAACAAAUCCAUGCUCCUCAUUUUAUACUUUCUUGAGGGUUUCUAUUCUCUUAUUACCAAUUUCAGUGAGUUUCAUAAUAAGCUGCUUAGAAAGAAGCUAUCUAACAGGAGGGUGGGGCUACUCUUAGCCAAUGAAAACAGCUUCACAUGCUAUACAGCAACGUGAAAAAAAGAUUCUCAGCCUGUUCUCUCUUUAAUGAACACCCUCUUGGAUUCUCUAGCAUUAGCCAACAAGGUAUCUGCUUGGAAUUACUAAUUCCACCGACCUGAAAAAGAACGUCCAACCUAUUUAAUAUACUUAAUAAAGUUCUAUUUUAUAAUCCUAUAUAUUUUUUAACUGAACUACUUAUUUUUCUCAAAAACCCAAAAAGUAAACGAUUUUCCAGAAAUCUAAUUCAUAAUAAAACAAAUAAUGAGACUUGAUAUUAAUGCAUUAAAUAACCAUCAAUUAUUCAUCAAACCAAUCUGAAAAAUCUAAUAUUAAAGCUAGGGACCAAUCUAGACUUUUAUUAUAUUUUUAGGGGUCAAAUUAUAAUUUUAUCAAAUUGGAGGACCAAACUAAAAAUAUCAUAAAUUCAUGACUAUACUGGAAUUCUGCCCAUAAUUCAUCCUAAAUUUUGCCCAGAAUCUCAAAUUAUGCUCCAAGGACCACUACAUAAUUUUAUCAAAUAUCUAGGGUCAAAUUGUAAUUUUAUCAAAUUGGAGGACCAAAGUGAAAAUAUCAUAAAUUCAUAACUAUACUGGAAUUCUGUCCAUAAUUUAACUUUAAUUCUAUCCAGAAUCUCGAAUUAUGCUCCAGGGACCAAUCUCUAAUUUUUCUAAAGUUCAGAAAUUAAACUGUAAUUUUCAUAAAUUGAGGGACCAAGCUGAAAUUUUAUAAUCUUCAACCUCAAACCCAGAAUUCACACAGAUAACCUAUUAAUAUAUCAAGAUUUCUAACUUAAAUUCACCAUUUAAAUAAACCAUAACUUAAAAUCAUUAUUUUUACCUAAAAUGUUUCAAAAUCAAUUAAAUAACUCAUUACCCAUAACAAUCGAUCCAUAAUUUUUCUGUAAUGUAAUUGUAAUUCCUAGCAUAAUGCAUAUUCGAGGGCAAGCACAACAAUUCAAGAGCAAAGAAACUCGAUGAAAUAGCAAAAUAAAAAGACAUGAAGGACUGAAAUAAAAUAAAACCAAAAAAGAGGGAUGAAAAAAGUAACCGCACUCUGGUUGCCAUCAAAAACAUAUAUAGUUCUUUUAGUAUUUUUUUUUUUAAAAUAAUAUUGUAAUAGGUCAAUCAUAUUACCCUGAGUGUGUGACACAGAGAUAAUCAUCAUAGAAAAUUACUUUUAAUUGCUUGUGUUUUAUCCUGAGAUGACAAACUUACCUUGUCCUACUAAUGCUUUUGCUUUCAUUGUUUCGAAAGUAAAAGAGACUUAAACAUAAUCAUUUCCUUCCUUUUACUUUCCACUUCUUUGUAAUAUUGGAUUGCAAACGGGAUGGUGCUUAGAGGGGCCACUUUUUCUUUUCCUUUCUUUUUAAAAUCUUAUGCCUUUGGGUGAGGAAAUUAGUGGAGCAUUAGACUUUUUAAAAGACAACAAAAAAAAGCGAUGUCUCAUCUUUUGAUAUGGUGGUACAAGAUACACCAUGGUAUGGUGGUCCUGCAAGAAAUGUCUUAGCUUUUGAUAUGGUGGUCUUCCAUGAUCAGUUUUCGAAAGAUUCGAGUCUCCGUUCUAGUUCGGGUUGGAAGCUAGGCCGAAAGCUAAGCUUCUUUUAAUUAUGAAUUGUUUAUGCAAAGGAAACCCAGAAGCUUGAACAAACAGAAAUGCCUUGUUGAUUUCUCUGCUACUACUCAUUAUUUCCAAUAUUAUUCCAUUAUCUUACCCGAAAGCAAUUAUACAAGAAAUUUCAUUAUCCUGCCCCAGAAGGCAAUUUAUUACAAGGACUUCCUUUAACCUCCUUGAAGGCAAUUUAUUUGAUGAAAAUUCCUUUAAUCCACCUCAAAGACAAUUUAUCUUAGGGAAUUCCAACAACCCAGGCAAUUUAUUUCUUAAUUUUAUAUUACUGUUUUCAUUAAUUUUAUUAAAGCUUAAUUUUAUAUUUUUUCUGCCCUUUUCUUUUAAAAAUGUUAUCUCCUUGGUAAGGAAUCCUUGGUUCCCAACAGCAACUGUAGCAUAGUUAAAGGUUGCGUUAAAAAAAUAUCAAAACUCCACCGAAAGUAGUGGAGCCUUAGAAUUUUUAAAAGACAAAACGGGGACAAGUGAGAGACGAAGAAAAAGACAAAAGCAAUUCCAUCUAUUGAUGUGGUGAUCCAAGAUACACCAUAACAUGGUGUUCUUCCAUGAAGUCUAAGAUGCACCGCCGUGUUGUUUCAUAUAUAUUUAUAUAUAUGAAAAUAAUAAAACUACCGUUUAAAACAACUCUGAAAACAAAAGUUUUAAUAAUUCAUAAUUUAUAAGCAAACAUCACUUAUAAGCAAAUAAUUAAUGAUGGUUAAACUAAUUCAUUGUUAGGCGGAUAUAUAUUAAGGUUGAGACCCAUCUAUCUAACACUAAUAACUAAUCACUGAUAAUAUUUAUGCAAAACUUGUAGCUUAGGAUGAACUCUCAGAGAUGUGGGCGAGGCAACUCAAAGUAGAAGGGAAGGGGUAACCUCUGAUAACAGAGAAAAUUGUAGAGUAAAUUGUAGAUGUGGACCGAAUUUUCUUAAAUUAACAACAGAAAUCUACAAUGAACAGUUCUCGAGAAGAAACUCAAGAAACGUAAUAAAGCUACAUGAUGACAUAAUAGGAACCUGCAUUGCCUUCAUUCUAUGAUGAAAGUUCAAGAAAUUUUACAUCGAAUCUCAAGACAAAGUCUCUCAGACUACAUAUUGCAAAGCAACUGAUUCUAUUGCAAAGCAACAUUACGAAAAAUUGAAUAUUUCACACUCAGUCUAAUAAAAGUAGAUUCCAUUGUCAAUUCCUCAACAUUUUCCAAACAAAUCCAUGCUCCUCAUUUUAUACUUUCUCUCUUAUUACCAACUUCAUUGAGUUUCAUAUAAGCAUAGUCAAUCACACAACUAAUAUGUGAAUUCACAAUUUCUUACCGAAAACAUUUUAUCAGUGCAAAUUAAUACAUAAUUUUACCUCUCCUCUUGGUGAAAACACAAAGACACAACCACCGAGCAGAUCUCUGGUAAUGGUCUCUACAAAUUCCCUACAGUUCCUAUUGCCAACAAACUCCUCUUGCCAUUCCCUAACUGCAUUGAGCCAGCUAAUCUGGAUGAAAGAAAAGACUUCAGCCAUUCCCUAACCUUAAAGCAGACCCAACUUUGUAGCUCAUUACCAGUUAAGUAAAAGUUAUCAAUAGCUGUGUAAAUCAUUGAAACUGCCACAAAAGCAACCCAAAUUAGUUAUGAAUUGGAUUCGAUAAGGGAAAGAGGGGAAGAGGGGAAAUGGGUAACGGAAAAUUAAAGAGAGAUGAAGAUCUGCGCAGGGCUACCUGUUUUGAGAAUUAUGGAUUUUUAUCCCUAACUCCAAAUUGCACCAAUUAUAAGUUCAUUAAAACAAAUCUGGAACAGAACAGAUGGAAAAAACUCGAAACAACUUGGCUAGAAUUUGGGCAAGAAAUUCAGAACGGCCAAGAUUUUAAGUGAGAUAAAAGUUAUCCCAUUUUGUUCUGUUUUUUUUUUUAAAUUAAUAUGAGAUAUACUAUCCAUUUCAAGCGGAACAUAAUGGAAUGAACAACCUUGCAUCGAAGACCUAAUUUUAGUGAAACUCAAGUUUAUUGUGUCAAAGAAAAUGUUCUAAAAAAAUGUUUUAAGCAUUAACAAAAUCUAGUUGGCCUAGGCAAUCCACUAUUGUUGCUGUUACCGUUGGUGCAUACUCAAUUACACCAUUGACAUAGUGCAACUGUUUUUCUUUCUUUCUUUCUUUCUUUUAAAAAAUCCAUGUUAUGUUUUUUAUUUGAAGCUUUUUUGUUAACAUCUUUCGCAAUUGGCCUUGGUAUUUUGUUUCCAUUUUCUCUAUGUUUCCUUCUUCUGUAGUUAGAAAACAUCAUGUCUUUGGGUUUGCGCUUGAUACCGCAAAAUUAAGGACACAAUAGUCAAAGAACACAAAAAAAUUUAUAAGUGAAGGGGGUUGCAGUUGUGAACCCUAAAAUUUACAAGUUUAUUUUCUUAAUAAUAAUAAUAAUAAUAAUAAAGAAGUUUGCCUUCUUAGAAAGUUUACAAAGCCUUAAAUUGGUUAGGAACCUUACCUCAACAAGGAAACAAAAAAAAAAUCCAAAAUUAUAAAGGAAAGAAGCAUAAAAUCUAAAAUAAGCAAGAAAUUUGAAAAUAACAAAGAAAAUCACAAAAAACUAACAAAACCCGGGGCAUCAGUGAGAGUUUUGAUAUUUAAAGAUCCGAUGGUCUGUAUAAAAAUUUGAGCACAAUCCAAUAAUCGAAUAAAAAAUUCUGGCUCUUUUGAGCUGUUAUUCUUGUCUAGUACAACCAAACAUUCUCUUGGGCUUAAACCUGUUCUAUUGGUUCAUAAAUGCAUUUACUAGGCCAUCAACAUUAUUUGUCUGAGGCAAAUCCUCAUCUAGUUAUGGGAGACCCACAUCUGACUGCUUAGAAUCACUAGUUAUCGUAGGAUCGACUAUAUCAAAAUUGGUUGGUUUUUUGUUUUCAAAAAGAAUUAAAAUUUGAUGGAGAUGAAAGCUAAAAACACAAUAAUUAAAGAGCACAAAAAAUUUUAUGAGCAAAAGAGGCUGCAGAUGUGAACCUUCAAAUUCACAAGUUUAUUUUCUCUAAAAUAAUAAUAAUGAAGUUUGUUUUCUUAGGAGGUUUCCAAAGCUAUAAAAAUAUCAAGAAUCCUAUCUUAACUUGGAAAUAAAAAUACAAACUCAAAAUUACAAAGGAAAGAAGCAUAAAAUCUAAAAUAAGCAAGAAAUUAAAAAAUAACAAAGAAAAUCACAAAAAACUACCAAAACUAGAGGGCUUAACAAGAUUUUUGUUAUCUAAAGAUUCGAUGGUCCGCGUAAGAAUUUUAGCAUGAUCUAACGGUCGGAUAAGAAAUUAUGACCCUUUUGAGCUAUUAUUUUCGUUUAACGCGACCAAAUCUUUUUUUGGUCCUAUACUUAUCCUAUUAUUCCAUAAAUACAUCUCUAUGACCUAUCUUUUUUUUUCCUACUAUAGAUGGAGUUUGACCAUCAUCAUCAUAUGAUUUGACUUAGUUGUAUCGGUUUUCAAUCAGAUCAACUUUAUAUAUUAUGGGUUUACAUUUACUAUUUUUAAAAAAUGCUCAUUAUCGGUUUUCGAUCACCAUAAGUCCAUUGUUCACACCUCAAGUCCGUACCUGCAGCGGAUCGCAGGCAACGAAACUAUAGACUCGAGAGUAAACAUGCUACUAUAGUUAGCUAGUAAGGGUCCAGGUCAUUUGUUGUCUGGUUUCAAAUAGUGUUUCAACUCAUUUAAUAAAUGUAUACAUGGCUCAUAGUUGGAUUACUUGUGUUUUUGUUAUUUGUUCUUCCCAGUACUUGUACCAGAAGCUGCUCUCAUAUUUGAAGGAAUGCAAACAAUUGUUAAUAUGAAACUUAUGAUGCAUAGGAAAUUGCCAUUUUUCUCAUUUUUAAUUGGAAGAAAAAUCACACGUAUGUUUUUGUUAGAAAUAACUUCUUAUUUCAAUCAGAAGUGUGUCACUAAAUUGAUUUAUAAGUAAGUUUUUAAAUCGUGGAUUAUAUCUUACAUUAUAUUUUUUUAUUUACAAAAGUUUAUUUGAGUUAUUUUUAUUAAAAAUACUUAUAAUUUAAAAUUAUUUUAAUUCUUUUUUAUCAUAAAUUAUUUAUUAAAAACAACUUAGAUUAUCGCUUGAAAUAAAAAAAGAAAAAGAAAAAUUUUUCAGCCUGUUUUCUCUUUACUGAACAACCUCUUUGAUUCUCUAGCAUCUGCUUGGAAAAACCAUUCAACAAGGGAUUCUGCUAGGAAAACAUGCAAUUGUUCUUCUAUCUGAUAUCAGUUUCAAAAUUCUAAACAAAUAAUGCAACAAGUCACAUUUAUUACAAAAAAAGUCACGUUUAUUCCAGACCUCAAGCUGCAUUGCCUAUUUCAAAACCACAAAGAGAACAUCAUACAGAACAACAAAUACCCAAGUCGUAGAGCCAUUAAUUUGAGCAUAAAGGAGAAUGAAAGUCCACGCAUUAAACAGUAGGCACACACAUGAGUAGACAUUAUGCCCUUGUUUUUGAAGAUUCAGACACUUCAAAAGAAAACUCACGCUCUUAUUUUUGGGAAGUUCUUCUAUGGUAAAUAAGACUGUUACAAUGUGAAGCCAAUUUGUAUCCCAUUGCCAGUGAAACAGUAGGAAUUACUUCCACCAAUCUAAAACAUAUUCGCAGCACCACAGCUCAAGGACAUGAAUCUCUGUGAAAUCGCCUAAGGUCGAGUUGCUCAUGUAAUAGGCAACCAACCUGCCUAAUGCAAACAGAAGUACAAAGACCAUUCAUGCAUAUCCAUUACCUGAUUAGGAUGUUUUUCAAAUUCCAAUGCCAAACUAAUCAUCCUACCCAUCAUCAUCAUCACCACCAUCUCCCUUCACCACCUUCCUUCAUCUCCUUCACCACAUACCCACCCAUUAUUUCGGGUCCACGUUCUACAACUGCUGAUUGGCGCAGAGCAACCAGUGCUUGAAUCCUCAGCUACUUCAGAUACCUGUAAUCCAAUCCAAGCAUGGCAUACACAUUUUAACUUCUAAAUCUUAUUAUUGAGCGAAACAAGAAACAAACACACAAAAAGAGAAGCAAGAAAUCAAGACAAUUCAGCAGCACCUCUGAUUGAGCUCUUAUUGAACCAUUUGGGAGCAUGAACGAAAACAGAGAGGGGACCUAAAAAGAGAGAAAUAGGGAGAGAGCAAAAGGACAGCAGGCCUGCUUUGCCUUUGUUCUCAAAACGCAAGUGAAGUGCAGGGAAACUGCAAGCGUUGGUCAGCCUAAUUAUUCGUCUCCAGCUACACACUCCAAACCAUCGAAAGAAAGAACUGAGAAAAACAGGAGAAAAGGAGGAACACGAAAAAAAACCAAGGGAACGGGCAGAUACAGAAAAAAAAAACUGGAGGGAAAAACCCAGGGGAAAGAAAAACAGAGGACUGCAGGUGGAAAAACUGGGGAAGAAAAGGGCAGAACCGCGGGAACAGAGAGAAGAGACUCAGGAAAAAAAGUAGAAGGAAAGGCAGAGGAGAGUCACAGAUCAGCUCUGCCAUUGUCUUCAUCCCUGCAAAAAAAUAAAAGAAUGACACUGAACCAAAGACUAUUGACAACCGGCAUCACCAUUGUUUACUUUCCUUCAUCUCAAAACUAGAGGAGACAGAACGCAAUCAAAGAAAGAAGCAGAGGAAAGUCACCGAGACCGUUGCUACUGCCUUCGGCGUUUCCAGAACUAGGAGAGAAAGCAAAAGAAAGCAGGAGGAAAGGUGUUAAGCAGACAACAGGCACCAUCACACUGCAGCCAUCUUCGCCGUUUCCAGAAGCAGGUACGCCCCUCAUCCCAUUUUGCAUCUUCAUUUCAAAUUGAAUUGUUACAAGAGCUGUGCGAAGGUAAUUUAAUUACCUUCGCACUGCUCAUGCACGCGUGAAGCCACUUCACGCGUGCUUUUCGUUUUGCCCAGCCGGUCACUGGCUUGGGCCAGUGACCGGGCCGGGCUGGCUGGGUCCAGUCCAUGCCAUGUGGGCUGAGCUGGGCCCAGCCCCAAAAAAAUAAAAGAAAAAAACAGAAAAAUAAAAAAAUAGAAAAAAUAGAAAAAAAUAAAAAUAAAAAAUAUGCAUGCAUGAAUAAAAAUAAUGUAAAUUUAUUGGUUUAUUUACUGACGCCAGAGUCAGUAAUAAAAAUAUCGGUUUAAAUUUAUAUUAUUUUUAUUCGUUGUAUUUUAUUUUAUUUAGCUAGAAAAAAAAUAUGUGCAUGCUGAAAAAUAAAUUUAUUUUUUCAUUGGCGCUAGAGUAGGGAAUAAAAAAUAUUGAUAUAAUUUUUUUUAUAGCUACGUAAUAUUUAUCAACACCAGAGUUGGAGAUAUUCAUAGUUGAAUAUUCACUGACGCCAGAGUUAGAAAUAUUAUAAGCAAAUUAUCAUAGUGUAAACUAAUAAAUAUUUAGCAAUUUAAAACAAAACCGGCAAUGCAGUCUGCCUCAGGCAGAACGUUUAAGGGGUGAUAAUAUCUUCCUUUUUACGUAACCAGUCCCAUACUAUAGAAUUUCUGUUGAUCAGUUAGGGUUUCUAGUGACCAUAAUACUAGGUGGCGACUCCAUAAACAAGAUAUUUUUUUCUAAAAGAACAAGAUAUCAGAAAUCUGUUUUUUUUCCACAGUCAAGUUUAUUUUGUGGAUCGUCACGAUAUCGGGUACGAUAAAAGUAGUCAAAUUGUGCAGCACGAGACCCUUCCACAAACAUCUCAUGCUUGUGUCAGGCAGGGACUUCAAUUUUAAUGUUUUCAAACUUGUUAACUCCUACAUCAGAAGACAACAAAGGCACUAAUUUGUUAGAUAUAAUUCCUAGUAUGUUUUGGUAAAUAGAUGAAUCAAUUAUCCCCAAUACUUACUUAUCAACAAAAGGAUAUAUGUAGACAUGGCAAUAGACAACUCAAUAUUAGCAAAUGGAGGUUUAUCGUCCUGUCCAAAUACUUCCAUUAUUUGGGGAAGAGCCUCAUUUUCACUCAAACUGGGAAAGCAUAAAUCUAGGUAUCAUUUCAUUACAAUAAUUAAUUUCUUACUUCUUAAGCCCUGCGUCAAGAGACAGGGAAUGAUACAGUUAGACAACUCCUUUUAAAUUUAGUGGAUGGCUAAAGGAUUUAUCUCCACUUAUCAAUUACUUCAGUUUCAGAAAUUUAAAGGAAGAAAUCAACAUGUAUUGAAGUUGACAAUUUAAAUUAAAAAGGAAAACAAAUAUUGGAGAAAUAUAAAGGACAAAUUAUCAAUUACAUGUACUUGGAGCUGUGCAGACAAAUUACCCAAUCCUUCGUGGCCAUAAAUGGUUAGACUUUUCAAAGAAGGCAAUUGGGCAGCAAAAUUCUUUGGACCAAAAAAGCUGCAAUUUGAAAGAGACAAUUUUCUUAGUCGAGGAAACUUGAUGAUGCCAUCUGUGGUGAGUGCAUCUCCUUCUCCACUGUAAAAUAUUUGCUUUAAAUUAUAAGCUUUAAAAAUCCGCAUCUCUUCCAGGUUUAGAAGGCUUGGAGACACAGAUACAGGGAAGACAUAUUCCAGUUUACCACAGUGAGAUAUGUAGAGAGUUUCCAAUUUUGGGAAGCGAGGAGACUCUAGAAAUAUUUCCCUUUCACCAUCCUCUUCUCUGAUAAUAUGCUUCAACUCACCGCAUGUUCUUAUCUCAAGUGUUUCUAGCUUUGGCAGAUUUUGAGCGAGGGACGGUGUGAAGAUAAAUGUCAGUUUGUCCAGAUACCCCAACUCCAGACGAGCAAGACUUUGGAGGCUGACAUGCCCGGUGGGCCCCUUCCAUAUGCAUUUGAGCUCGGGUAACUCUCGCAGCUCUAACAGUGUUAAAGAUGACAGCAACGGCAGCUCCUUCUCCUCACUGCUUCCUUCAUCAGCCUCACCCAAUUCAAAUACCUCUUCCAAUGAUUUGCAGUCCUCAAUUUCCACACUCCUUAGAUUUUUCAGACCUUGUAGCAAUUUUGCUGGAAACGGAGCGCGAACAUCCCCACAAUCGUACAAAUGUACAGAUUCUAAUCUUUGUAAGAAGCCGUUUUGCUGUCCAUGGGCGGCCAUGUUAUCAGAAAACAAUAUUAUAUUUUUUCACUCUCAUGAAAACAAUUUAUAUGAUGUAUAAAUAGGAGAAAAAAAUAGAAAAAACAGGAUUAUAUACUUUUUAGAGAUUACAUAUUAUUGUUUUAGUUUUUUUCUUAAUCAGAGAAAACUUGAAUAAUAAUUAGAUUUUUGUGAAAAAAAGGUUAAUACAACUACUAAUAAUUAGUUUCAUGUAAAAAAUAAAAAUAAAAAUAAAAAUAAAAAUAGUAACUAAUAUUUUUAUUUUAGUUAUAAAGUUAAUAAAUUUUUAAAGAUAUUUUAAUUGAAUUAAAUAUUUGAACACAAAAUUUAUGUUCUUAUAUAUAUAUUAAAUCAACAUGUAUUGAAAAAUACUUCCAUUAAUUGGGGGAAGAGCCUCAAUUUCACUCAAACUGGAAAGCAUAAAGAUUGAAAAAUCUGGAUAUCAUUUCAUUACAAUAAUUAAUUUCUUACUUCUUAAGCCCUCUAUCAAGAGACAGGGAAUGAUACAGUUAGACAACUCCUUUUAAAUUUAGUGGAUGGCUAAAGGAUUUAUCUCCACUUAUCAAUUACUUCAGUUUCAGAAAUUUAAAGGAAGAAAUCAACAUGUAUUGAAAUUGACAACCAGAAGCCCAAAAGAAAACAAUUUUGACGAAUACCCACCAAACAGUUGAAGUGCUGCUGUAACUGAGAUUUUUUAUUAUAUGUAUUUUUUGUGGUCCAAUGGAUAAAUAAUUUUUUUUUCUUUUAUUUUAUCAGCUUAAUUUUGCAUGUGGAAUAUUGAGUUUUCUGUUAUUUUUUCAGACACAGAAUUGAAUCCUUUAUACAUUCUUAAAACCAAAUUUGAAUUCUAAGUUCCUAAAUGAAGGAAUAAUAAAGAUUGUUGCAUGUACAAAUUCUCCUUAAAAAAAUUAACAAAUAAUAAAGUCCCCUAUGUUAAUAAGAUUUAACUAUAACUUAGCCCUGUAAUUUCUUAAAAUUAAUUAUUUAGCCCUGUAAUAAUAAAGUCCUCCAUUUACUAUAUUUUUCUCUAAAAAAUGCCUUCCUUCCUAAUGAAAUUUCCUCAAAUGCAUACUUUUGUUGUCCUUAUUCUAUUUUUCAAGAAUGAAGAAAAACCUCUAAAUAGCAUUAGGUUCCAUGAAAUUGAAUGUUUACAUUAUAAUUCUUCUAUAGAAGUCUUCAAUAUUCUAUCACUUAAAAUAUAAAGCUUCAAACCUCCAAAUUUUCAAGACCCCAUCUUUCAAUCUCAAAACCAGAAACAACCCCUUCUCCAUUUAACCGAAUCUCAUAACUCUAGGAAAGGAGAGGGAUACGACUUUUGUAAAUUGAUUUAAUAUAUUUUUGACUUUUGAUUUUAAUUUUCUUUUUAAGUAUGUUAGUUAAAAUUGCUUUUGAUUUAAUUUUUUUUUGUUAUAAAUUGGAUUCAAAACUUUGAUUUAAUAAUAAAAAAAUCUUAACUUUAGUUUGUGGAUUGUAUACUAAAUUCCUUAAUAAAAAUAGUAAUUUUGAAUCUUUUUUACAAAUAAUGCUUAUAACUUAUGGUUAUUUUAAUUUAUUUUUUUCAUAAAAAAACUUUUAAAUUAUAGUUCAAAGCUACCAGAUUAGGCAUGUAGCUUAUGAAGGGUUUGUAAGCAGCAAACAAUUAAAAUUAGAAAUCAGAGGAACAUUUAGAAUCUCUAGCAAUAGCCAGCAAUGUAUCUGCUCGAAAAAACCAUUCAACAUGAGAUUGUUCUGCUAGAAAAACAUGAGAUUGCUCUGCUAUUUGAUAUCAGUUUCAAACUUCUGAACAAAUAAUACAGCAUCAAGUCUCAGUCAUCACAUGCCCAUACAAAAACAUUUAUUCCAGAUCUCAAGCUGCAUUGCCAGGCCCGUUUCCAAAACCACAUAAGCAUAUGCAAUAGAAACAGAGCAUCAAACUGACAGAGAAAGCAUGAGAAUGAAAAUCCACACAUUAAACAAGAGUAAACAUUAUGCCUUUAUUUUUGAAAGGUUCACACACUUCAAAACAAACACGAAUGGGCAAGCAACAUUCGCCCUUACUUCUGGAGGCUUGUACGAUAAUGGGCAAGCAACAUUAUUUUUUUGAGGUUCGCACAGUAAUGACUAAACACACAACAUUACAUUACAUGGGUAAACAAGCAGAUAACCUUAUUCACACAUAUAUAGAUAAGUCGAUAUCUUCUUUUGAAAUCACACAUAGCAGAUAACCAAACGAGGGAAUAAGAAAUCACAGCAUCCGAAACUGAAGCAGACAAUACUUGAUAAUUGUUUUAGCGACAGCUUCUUUAGAUUAGGAAGCACCAUCUCCUUCUCAACGUUGACAGGUGAAACAUGAUCAUCCUGCCCAAACACUCCCAAUAAUUGAGACGCUUUUUUUACUCUAAGUAUUUGGAGCUAUGGGAGACCUGAAGCCAUGGUAACUGGGAAGAGGCUCUUCAACAUGUUACAUUCUCUAAUCUCAAUUUCACACAAAUUGGGAAAGCAUAAAGAUUGGAGAUGAUCUCCUAACAAUAUCUGGUCGUUUUCAUCAUCAUCCUUAGCAAUGAUUUGCUUGAAUUCCUCAUAGGACAAUAUCUUUAGAACUUUCAGUUGGACUAGACUGACAAUCAUGCUGCAUGUGAAUACCAGUGUCAGUCUCUUACACUCAACCACCUUCAAAGUAGUCAAUUUGCUCAGCACGAGACCCUUCCAUAUACACCUCAUGUCAGGCAGGGAUUCCAAGCAUAAUUUUUCCAAAUUUGUCAACCCUUGCAUCAAAAGAAAACAAGGAUACCAAAUUUAUAAAACAUUCUUACUUACAAAAACUUGUAGGUCUAGUGUUACCAAUCCUUGUCUUGGGCUUAUACAUGUUCCAUUGGUCCAUAAAUAUAUUUGCUAAGCUAUCAACAUAAUUUGUUUGGGACAAAUCCUCAUCUAGUUAUAAUAGACUCACACCUGACUGCUUAAAAUCACUAGUUAUUGUAGGAUUGACUACAUCAAAAUUGAUUGGUUUUUUGUUUUCAAAGAGAUUUAAACUUUUGAUGCAGACGAAAGCUAAAAACACAAUAAUCAAAGAAAACAAAAAAAAAAUAUAAGCAAAAGGGACUAUAGAUGUAAACCCUCAAAUUCACAAGUUUAUUUUCUCUAAAAUAAUAACAAUGAAGUUUGUUUUCUUAGAAUGUUUACAAAUCCUUAAAUAUGUCAGGAACCUUACCUCCACUAGGAAACAAAAACAAAAAUACAAAAUUACAAAGAAAAGAUGCAUAAAAUCCAAAACAAGCAAGAAAUAAAAAAAAUAACAAGGAAAAUCACAGAAACUAUUAAAACUAUAGGCCUAAACAAAAUUUUUGAUAUCUAAAGAUUUGAUGGUCCACGUAAAAAUUUAAGUAUGAUCCAAUAGUCGAAUAAGAAAUUGUAACUCUUUUGAGUUGUUAUUCUAGUCUGACGUAUUUUUUCUCUUUUUUUCACUAUAAAUGAAGUUUGACCAUCAUUGUCAUAUAGUUUGACUUAGUUGUAUCGGUUUUUAAUCAGAUCAACUUUAUAUAAAUCAGAUCAACUUUAUAUAUUAUGAGUUUACAUUUACUAAUUUUAAAAAAAUGCUCACAAGUCCAUUGUUCACACCUCAAAUUCGUAACUGCAGCGAUUCAUAGGCAACGAAACCAGUUAGAGACUAGAGAGUAAACAUGCUAUUAAAGUUUGCAAGUAAGGGUUUAGAUUAGAUUAUUUGUUGUCUUGUUUCAAAUAUUAGAUCAGUCUCAACUCAUUAAAUAAACUAGUGGUGCAUUGAUCCUUGCAUUAAUUGUUCAUUAACAAACAAUUGUUAAUAUGAAACUUAUGAUGUAUUAAUAACGCAUACAACAAUGAGGCAGUUAAGUUUCUUCGAUAAAAUAAAAUCAUUUAAAAAAUAAAAAUAAGCUAGUAUGUUUGUUACAUAACUAAAAAAAAAAUUGAUUUUUUUAAAUUGAUUUUUUUAAAAAUCAUUUUAAUAGACUAAUAUUAAAAAUAAAUUUUAAAAAAUAAAAAAUAUAUUAUUUUGAUAUAUUUUCAAGGAAAAAACAUUAUGAAAAGAAAUUGUUAAUGUUUGUUAAAACAUUAUUGUUAAUAUUUCUUACUAAAUAUAUAAUGACAUGUGAUUGGAAUAAUGUAUGUGAACUUGUACACAACUUAAUAAAUGAGAAAACUAAGGUAGCCGGUCACAUGUGAUUGGAAUAAUGUAUGUGAACUUGUACACAACAUUAUUGUGGGCUUAAUGGACCACAUACAAGUUUGCCCUGUAUUUUAAGUGAAGUUUUGCAGAUUUUUGAAAGUUUUUUUUUUUCAAAUUGAAUUUUUUUUUUUUUUUUUUUGUGGUUACCAUAUCAGACAAAGUAGAGGUUGAUUUCAACAAGCAUGAAAAACCAAAUUCAUUAUGAGAUAUAUAGCCUCAAGAUUAUCACAUCAUAAAGAAGAGUAGAGGUUCAAAUCCCUAAAUCUAUAAAUAAAUAAAAAAUGAACUAACCAAUUUUAUCUCGAAACAACAUUGAUCGUGGUCAACCGUGUGACUUGUUCCGCCCCCGUCCCGGGUUCGACCCUCUAUGUGCACGCCUGUCACCCCCGCGGUGCCUUACCUGCCCCUGGGCUUGCAGGAUGUCCAGUGGGCCGUGGGGAAUAGUCGUGGUGCGCGCAAGCUGGCCCGGACACCCCACGUGAAUCAAAAAAAAAAAAAAAAAAACAUUGACACUAACUUAAUGCUGAGCCUUGGUACAAAUUAAGUCAGCACUUCCAUGCCUUGUGAUCUUGACAAAAAUAUUUUUGGUCCUUUUAGUUUAGAAAUGAAACUUUUCAGUACAAAGCUUUAUUUUACCUCUAUAUAUAGUUUCUGAGUUUGAGAAAAGAAAGAAAGAUUUGUUGAAAAACUACAAAGGAGAGAUAAAAUUAGUCAAUUUAGAUUUGGGUUGAUUUUCUAAUUUUAAAUCAAUUAAAUGUUUAUUUAAAAUAUUUAUAUAUCUAACUUUUCAAUAAAGGAGCAAUUUUUCAUUACAUUCAGCACAAUAUUUAUUUCACUAACCUGUACGAAGAUGACACGAGUUAAAAUAAUUGUUUAAACACACACUAUAUAUAUUGUGCAUAUAACUGUCUUGUAUUCACAUUAUUAGAUCAGUGUAUGCACACAACAUUUGAUAUUUUUAACUGUUAUGAAUAAUCUGUAUAUUAUGUGUCGCACGUGAGCGACGUCGCGGCGAUCGUCCACCCAAAACAAAUGUAAUAAUAUGGGGGAUAUAUAUCUGGUCAAUGUAGGGAGACAAGGAAUUCGUUGUCUCUUAGCAGUGAAAAAUGGUGUGGGAGUCGCCACCUAGUAUUUUGGUCACUAGGAACCCUAACUGGUCUCAGAGAUCGGGUACGGGGACUGGUUGCGUAAAGGGAAGGUAUUAGCACCCCAAAUACGCCCUACCUAAGGUAAGCUGCAUCGUUUAAUUGUCUGAUAAAAUUUAAGGUGUUUUCAUUGUGUUUCCUAGUUGUUGGUCCGUCUAUGGUUCAAGAAAAGUCCUCCUUAAUAAGGAGGUCCUUAUCUUAUCGGGUAAAACCUAACCGUUCUAGCGUCUAUGUAAAAAAACAUAUUUUUAAUUUCAGGAAUACGUUUUACGUAUAAAUUCGUAAUCCCAUAUACUAACAGAGGACAAAAAGAUUUUUUAGAAUUUUUGGAAUAUUGGCCUAGUUCUCAUGGCUUGAAUAAACUGGUUAUUAAAGCCAAAAUGCAUGCUAAUACAUAUAUUGUUUUGAAAUUUCUUUUGUUGUGUGAAAAUAUGAUGUUAUAAUAUUUAUAUAUAUAUAUUGGAGAGACUAGGCCGUAUUUUAAAACAAAAACAUUUUUUAAAUAUGUAUUUUGUACGUUUUGACGCAAAUCGGGUAUUUUAAUACUGGGUUUGUAUCCUUGCAGUAUAAAAAUACAACCAAAUAUUAAUCUACUUUGAUAAAGCAAAUGCAGAAAAAUCAACAAUAUUUUCAAAGAUAUUUUAGAAAAUUUUUGAAAGCAAAAGACAUUUUUUAUUUUGAAAAUCUUUGAUGUUUUGAUGAAAACCGGGUAUGUUAAUACCGGAUUUGUAUCUUUACAGUAUAAAAUACCAACCAAUAUUAAUCAAAAUACAGUAAUAAAAUUACAGAAAAUCACAUAUUUUUGAAAUAAUUUUUGAAGAAUUUUUGUAAUUUUUUCAUAUAUAUAUAUAUCUAUAUAAAUAAUACAAAAUAUAAUAUAUAUAAUAUAAUAUAUAAUAUUAAAUGGGCUGGGCUGGUCCGGCCCAACCGACUGGGCCGGACUCAGCCCAAAAUUGUUGGGCCGAUCUCGGCCCAAAAUGGGUUGGGCCGAUCUCGGCCCAAAACAAAAAACACAUUAUCUUCUGGGCCAGACCCGGCCUAGAAGACAGGGCUGGGCCAGGAUCCGCCUGGCCCAAGCCAAAACGGGGCGGGGGGGGGAAUUAUUUUCCCCCCACCCCUGCAUGCAGAACGCUACUCGUUCUGCAUGCAGGGAACGAAACGAGAAAAUAAACGCUCUCCUAGAAACCGCAGAAAAGUUACCUGGCGCGGAGGCGAAAGCGGUGGCUGGCUGCGUUUCUGGCGGUUCUGUGGUGGAGGCUGGUAGCGGUGUCGCUGCUCCCUGGCGGCGACUCCAAGCAGCGGCGCUGCUGUCUCAAGCGGCGGAAAGAGGGAUUCUUCCUCUUUCCUUCUCCUCUGUUUCCUUCCCUUUUCUUCUCCUUCUUUGGUUUUCUUUCCCCCUGUUUUCCCUUCUUUCGGUUCUCUUCUCCCUCUCCCCUUUCUCUCUCUUUCGGUUUUUUCCGUUCCUCUCUCUCUCCUCUGUUUUUCGUUUUCUCCUUCUUCCCCCGUCUGUUCUCCUCCCUCUUUUUCUUCUACUGUCGUGUUGGUUGUUAUUUAUAGAGCCAAGUGAGUGGCUUUUCGCUGUGGAGCAUGGGGAGCAGCCGGCCGGUCGGCCAUUGGGCGCGACUGCCAACGCUCGGCCCCCCUCCCCGGCUUUCUGGCAGGUGCGCGGUGGGUGGUCGGCCAUUGUGUUCGGUCGGUGGGCUCCAGGCGAGAGAGAGGGGCCGGCAAAAAUUUCAAAAAAAAGCACCAUUUUUCCCUUCUUCCCCGCUGCAUGUUCGGGGGGGAAGAAGAAAGAUGAACAGUGUCGUUCAAAACGACACCGUUCUGCCCUUUUCCCUUUUUUUUUUUUUUUUGAAUGGAUGAAACGACGUCGUUUUGGAUAAAACGCGCCGUUUCAUUUAAAUCCUACAAGACGCCAAAACGCGUCAAUUUGCAAAGCAGCCCUCAAUUAUCUUUUGUCCCUUCAAUUGCAUCCCUGCCGAAUUUGAACCCCGUCCCUAUAUUUGGCCGCGUUUUUCACUUUGGUCCUUGGCCUUUGAAUUAUGCAAUUGAGCCCUUAAUUGAUCAAUAAACUUCCAAUUUCUUCAAUUAGGCCCCUGAAUCAAUUAAUUCCAGCCCCUAUACUUACGCACCUUCUUCAAUUUGGUCCUUGGUUUCGGAUUCCUUCAAUUAAGUCCCCAAUUGGCCCUUAAACUUCAAUAUUUAUGCAAUUAAGCCCCUGAUUUGACCUAAUAAAUUCCUAAAAAAUAUAUUUUGGCCCCAGAACUUAAAUUUCUUCUAAUUAAAGCCCAAAUUGACUUAAAAAUCAAUUUUUCUUGCAAUCAAAUCCCCUAUAAAUUCAUUUAAAAAUCAAAUUAAGUCCAUAAACAUCUAAAUUUGGGCUUUUCUCCUCAAAUUUGAAAUUUUCCUUGUCAACAGGGCUCUCCUCCUUCAAGAAUAUAUUAUCAAAAAUUCCAUCUUUGUUUUUUUAACCUUAUUGACCAAUUUUCCAACCAUUUUCUGAGCGCUUCUGCCUCCUGUUAUUUUUCUAACCUCCUUUGGCUAUAUAUUUUUAUAUAUAUUUUGUGGGGACCCAAAAAUGGGUUACAACAUUAUGAAUGCUUAGUCUUAACCUAAAUACAAAUAAAGUAUAUAUAGGUCAAACUGAAAGUACUAUUCUACCCUUGAUAAAUAAGACUACAUAAAUAUUAUUUAACAUCUCCCCUCAAACUCACGAUGCGGCAGCUACAAGCAUCGAGAGUUUGCCAGCCAAAAAACGAAAACGAGAGAUGGAAUGCGCCUUGGUAAAGAAAUCUGCAAUCUGCAAGGAAGAAGGAACAAAAGGCAAAGCAAUGGUGCCAUGUUUGAGAUGAUGACGAGUAAGAUGACAAUCGAUCUCAAUGUGCUUAGUGCGUUCAUGAAAAACCGAGUUAUGAGCAAUCUGAAUAGAACUCUGGUUGUCACAAUACAUAGGAGUAGGAUGAGAAAAGGAAAUUCCCAUAUCAGCAAGUAACCAACGUAACCAAACAAUCUCUUUGGUAGUAGAUGCCAUGACACGAUAUUCUGCUUCGGUGGAUGAUUGAGAAACAAUAGAUUGUUUCUUGUUCUGCCAAGAAAUAAGAGAAUCACCUAAAAAGAUAUAGAACCCGGUAACAGACUUGCGAUCUGUGGGAUCACUACCAUGAUCAGCAUUAGAGUAUACACGCAACUCCAAGGAAGAGGUGGAUGAAAGUAAAAGACUCUGAAAAACUGUACCCCGAAGAUAUCGCAAAAUACGAAGAACAGCUGCCCAGUGAACAGUAGUAGGAGAAGCAACAAACUGACUAACAACAUGAACAACAUAUGCAAUAUCUGGACGAGUAAUGGUGAGAUAUACCAAACUCCCAACAAUAGUGCGGUAUAAAGUAGGAUCUAUCAAAGGUAAAUCAUCAGAAGAAGAGUACCUUGUGUUAACCUCAAUAGGAGUAUCUACAGUCUUGUUAUCAGUAAGUCUAACCCGCUCAAGAAUAUCUGCAACAUAUUUCGACUGAGAAAGAAGGUAACCUCUAGGUGAGUAUGCUACCUCAAUACCCAGGAAAUAUUAAAGAUAACCCAAAUCCUUCAUUUCAAAUCGUCUAGCCAACUCUGUCUUCAAAACUGAAAUACCAUCAAUAUCAUCACCAGUAAUAAUCAUGUCAUCAACAUAUAAAGACAGAAUGAUACGACCUGCAUCAGUGCACUUAAUAAAAAUAGCAGAAUCAUGACUACUAGAAACAAAGCCACGAGACGAGAUCACAAUAGAAAAUUUCUCAAACCAAGCACGAGGUGCUUGUUUGAGACCAUAUAAUGCUUUCUUAAGCUUACAAACAUAUCCAGAGUCAUGUGAAAUACCAGGAGGGGGUGCCAUAUAAACUUCUUCUUGAAGAUCUCCAUUCAAGAAUGCAUUUUUAACAUCAAGCUGAGAAAUAUGCCACUGACGAAUCGAAGCUACGACAAUAAGAGUAUGAAUAGUAGUCAUUUUUGCAACCGGGGCAAAUGUCUCCUCAUAGUCCAUACCAUACUGUUGAGAGUAUCCUUUUACAACCAGCCUAGCUUUGUAUCGCUCAAUAGACCCAUCAGAAUUAGUCUUGAUCUUAUACACCCAACGACAACCAACAACACUCUUACCAGGAGGUAGAGGAACCAGAUCCCAAGUAUUUGUCUUAUGCAAAGCAGAAAGUUCCUCAUCCAUAGCUUGCUGCCAAAGCGGAUCAAGAAUUGCCUCUUUAUAGGAAGAGGGCUCAAAGAGACAAUGAAUAGAAGCUAAAAAGGAAGUAAAUGAUGAAGAAUAACAAGAAUAAGCAAAAUCUGGUAGUUUUGUGGACUUACGAAUGCGGAUGGACUGACUUGGAGGUGGAUCCACAAUCUCAGAUGAAGCUUGAGGGGAUGUAGAUGAGAAUGGAGCUUCAGGUGUGCCAGAGAGUAAAGUACCAGUACCUGCAGAGUUAUGAGUACAAAUUGAUCGAACAUAGGGAGAGGUAUCAUUACCAGAAUCCUUAGAAAAAGGAUCUAUAUAAAUAAGAUCAGAUUUUGUCAGGCUAUGAGUAGUGGAUGAAAUAGAAAAGAAAGGUAUAUGCUUAAGGAAGACAACAUGACGAGACACAUAAAGUUUCUGAGUUAUUGGAUCAAAUCAACGAUACCCCUUUUUACCUUCACCAUAACCCAGAAAGACACAAAUAACGGAUUGAGAGGAUAGCUUACUGCGUUCUACAUGAGGAAGAAGAACGAAACAAGUACAACCAAAGACUCUAAAUGAGGAAUAAUCAGGGACAUACCCAUAUAACUUUUCAAAAGGAGAUAGACCCGAACUUGACCUAUAUAUACUUUAUUUGUAUUUAGGUUAAGACUAAACAUUCAUAAUAUACAGAUUAUUCAGAAUUCUAGCCUCCUUUCUCUAUUUGAUCUCAAUUAAUUUAACAUUAACCAUUCACAUACAUUAAAUAAAACCCAUGGAAACAGGACACAAACGUCGACUGCAACUGCAACAUUAUACUAAUGAGUGUAUUUUCUGAAGUCGAAAGAGUGCUACCCAAUCUAGGUUCAAGUGGGAUGAUGAAUUGAAGAGCAGUUGUUAUUUGACACUGCAAUUAGAUGGCUCAUAUUUGAUUUAUGGAGCUAUGAUAAGGGAUUCGUGCUUGUAUCACAUAUAACAAUAUUUACAUAGUAACAAGCACUAUUAAAGAUGCUACACUAGUAAUUGCUUUAUCAAAUAUUUUAUGUUUUUUUUUUUGAAAUAUUGUUAUAGACAUAGAAUCAUCUAGAUUAUGUGACAUUCUAUAUUGAUUUUGUGAUAUUUUAAUCACUAAAAGUAUGGGUUUCAGAGAAAAAAAACCAAACAAAAAAUUGAAAAAAUUAAAAAUUUUCAAACCAACCCAAUCCAACAUAUUGAUCAGUUUUGGUCUGGUCUGGUUCAAAUAUUUUUUAGCUGAAACAAUUAAUAACCAUUUUCAAAAGGUAACUAUUGACAAGCCUUUCACCGAAACCAUGUUCAUUUAUCCUGAAUCAAUCCAAAUCAGGUUCAGGUUUGAAAGGUUCGGAUAAUCACUUAGACGUCUUCGGUUCUAAUUUUAGGCCUUGUCACUUAGUCAUCCCUUAUCCUAACUUUUUAUUUCCUAAUAAAAUCUCACGGUUUUUCAUCUAUGUUCAAAGGAAAAGUUGACCUUGCAAAUGGUGCUCUAAGGAACCAAGUCAUCCUAGAACUAAUCAUCCACCUAAUCUCAUCAACUCCUUGUUGCACAAACAGCUUGUCUCACUUAAAGGGGAUUUUAAUGAUGAACAAACACCAACUCCUUGUUGCUCAAAUACAUAUGCUCAUUUAAACACAAUUUUGCAUUACCUAGAACUGACAAGGCCUAAAAUUCCUGACAUAUAAUUUUGUUUUAAAGGAACUUCAGGAUUUCUAUAUAGGAUGCUUGACCUCAUUAAAGAAAAACUGAGGACAUCCAUAACAUAAAUUAUCUUCCUUGCCCCAAAGUCAGCACAGAAAAACCCUGUUCAAUAUAAAGGUUCUGAAUGUUUUUCCUAAAUUUCAUGAGCUGGCAUUCAACACAUCAAACUCCCAAUUUAGCAUUCUUAUGCAAACUACAACUGCAAAAGGCUUGUACAUGUAGGGGAGGUAGGAAGAGCUGCAAAGAAUUGUGGCAUCUAUUGUUAUGCUGUUCAGAGUUUCUAUCUCAUCAUCCAAUCUGCCAAAAAUAUAAGAGAUCAUGUGCAUCAUCAAAAGCCCCAGCCGCUAUAUGAACAAAGCACCUAAAAAAUUAAUCACCUAGCUAAUCUAAUUCAGGAAAAUUCGGUCAAAAUCUCCUACAAUGAAACGAGUUAUUGGAAUGCAUAGAUAGGAAAUUCAGGUAAACACACACACAUACACACACACACCUGAUCAUAAAUUUCCUAAAGAAAUUCUGAAUCGUAACAUUGGUAAACAAAGAGUGACAAUAUCAUCACAUUAAAAAUGCAUUUCACUCAAAACAAAUAACAGCUCAAGAAAAAAAAUUGCAAGAAGCCAAUAGAGAAUAAAGUAAGCAGUCCAUAAACAAGAGACAGAGAGACAUUGUUCCAAUAGAGAAAAGUAAUUAAAACCCAACAACUAAAACUGAGAAAGAAUCAAACCAGGGAGUAACUAAUCCUUUUAAAGCAUUCCAAGAAUGGCAACCAAAUGUAACAUAAUCAACCUGCAAAAACAAACACAAAAAGAAUUAGAAGAAGAAAUCCCAUUAGUUAAUAAGUUAAAACAGCAGCAGCAGCAAAAAGACUAAAAUUUUAGUUAUUUGGACUUGAGAAAAAGCACUGAACCUGUGUGAAAAUGCCAUGAAAGGGGUGCUAAGAAACCAGGAACAUAAAAACUUGUAAAAGGGUCUUUUUACAAAGCAAGAAAGAAGCUAGGAAGCAAGGAAGCAUGCCAGCCUACCCUCACGAACUCUGUUUGUUAGGCCAUGUUUGUUUCCCGGAAUUCACUUUCCGGGAAACCAUUUUCCAAACUUUCCUGUGUUUGUUUGCCAUUAGAAAAAUUGAUCAACGGAAAACACUUUCCGGUCAACGGAAAACACUUUUCAAUCAACGAAAACACUUUCCCAUCAAAGAAAAAAUUGGUUUGGUUUUUCAGGAAAGUGUUUUCCCUUUUGGCUGUGUUUGUUUUCCGGAAAGUGGUUUCCGGGAAACCACUUUCCAAACUUUCUUGUGUUUGUUUGUCAUUAGAAAAGUUGGUCAACGGAAAACACUUUUCGGAAGUUGUGAAAAAUUUAGAAAUGUCAUUAUUUGUUGAUUAUAUCAAAUUUAAUCCUCAAACUUUUGAUUGCUAUAUAUAAUUUGUUUUGAAUAUUUAUUUUUCAAUUCCAUUUCUUAAAAUUUAAUUUUUAUAUUAAUUUUGCUCCUUAUUUUUAUAAUUGUUAUUUGCUUUUUCCUUAUCAUUUUUUUAUUGAAAUUUUUUAUCUGUCAAAUUUGGUCCUCAUUCUUUUGAUUGUUACUUAGUUUAUUUGAAAUAAUUUAUGAAAUGUUAAUUAUUAUUAUUUUAAUUUCUUCACCUUUCAUUUUUUUAAAAUUUUUAGAUUUGAUUUCUAUUAUUUUGAUUAUUAUUUAUUUUAUUUGAGAUAAUUUAUGAAAUUGUAUUUUUUUUCAAUUUCAUUCUCAUUCAACUUUUUAAUUUGUAAGAUUUGUUCCUCAUUAUUUUAAUAAACUUGAGAAAAUAAAACAUUAAUAAGUUAUUUUCCAGCUCAUUUUCCAUGACAUAACCAAACACUGGAAAAUGUUUUCCAACUUAUUUUUCAUUACACUACCAAACAUCAGAAAAUACUUUCCCGGAAUUCAUUUUCCCGGAAUUCACUUUCCAAAAUGAAACUACUUUCCAGCAAACAAACGGGGCCUUAAUUGUUUUUUCUCCUUUCAAGUAAAAAAAAAAAAAAAAAACAAAGAGCACCAAGAAAAUCUAAUCAGAAAUAUUUUUUUUUUAGUCUGAAAUAUUUUAUGUUGUUGUCUUGGAGAGAUGCAGAUACCGAGGAACAGUUGUGGGGCCACCAUUGGUGAGCAGUGAUACAGUGGCAAGUACGUGAAGUAACGCAUAUUACAGUGCGCAAUGAUAGAGUGAGUCUGGGUGGACAAACUUUUGGUGGUACACGUGGUGCGUAAUGAUUUGACGGCUAUGGAGAGAAGUUACAUGAGGGAAAUAAGAUGAAAAAAGUGGCCUCUCUAGAUUUUGGAAAUGUUCUCUGAAGAAAGAAAGAAAAUAAUCUCAAGGGUGGACAAAAAUGGGGUAAUAUCAGAUUUGGAACAUAAUCUUGGUUGGUGAAGAAUAACAUAAUCUGAAGAGAAAUCUAGGGCAAGCCAGUGAGAUUUGAGCUUAGAUUUUGGACCAAUUUAUAGGUGGAUGAUACCAUCAUGGAUGAUGUCUAGCUGAUAAAUGUUUAGUUACUAGCAAUUCUAUCAUAAGUUAUCAGAUUCUGUGUGUGUGAGGCUGCCAUAAAUUUCUUUCUUCUAUGAUGGAUAAAAAACGCUAAGCAAUGAACCAUUUUGUCAACCUAGUAAAAAAGGUAUUAUGGUAUUAUAGACUUAAAUUCAUAGAUAAUUAAGUAAAUUUCUUGAGGAAAAGCAAAAUUUAACUAUAGAUAAUCAAAGUGAAAAAAAAACACCUCAAAAAAAGAUGGUAGUUUCAAGAUUAAAGCCAAAAAUUCACUUUGAUUCUCAUACUUUUCAGAUAAUGACUUUUUGGUCCCUUAAGUUUUCUCACAUUUUAUUUUUGAUCCACAACUUCAUUUUUCUAUAUUCUCAUUCCCUAAUUUGAUAGAGGAGACAAAAUGUUAUUGGAUUACAAUGUUAGAGAGAGUCUCUGUAACAGCCUCAACAUUUGUAUUCAAAACAAAGAGUAAGGACAUGAUGAUUCAAAUAAGAUUAUGGAAUUUUUUUUUGUAAUCAAUAAAAAAUUCAGCAGAGUUUUUUUUAUAUUUUUAGAUACUAAAUUAUCGACUUUUCAUCUACAAUCCUCAAUUAUCAAAUUUCUUACUCAUCCUAUCAUCCAGAACUUCCUCCUCUCAUUACAUCACAACUUCUCAAUAAUCAAAUGCACAUAUGUCUAAAUAAUUCAAUAUCCCACAUUUACAUGGAUGCAAUCCAAAGAAUUAUUCUACAAAUUAUAAUUGAAGUACAUUACAUAAUUCAAAGAUUUACAAAUAAGGACCAUUAACGAAAUUAUAAUCGAAAUAAGUAUAUAAUUAAAGAAGAAAUUCAUAAUUAAGAUUAUACUACACAAAAGAGCUUUCGAUAAACUGUUGACACAUUAUAUUACAUAACAAAAUGAUAAAUUCAUUCAUUACAAAAAGAUACCCAACAAAAUAUAAGAAAAUUAAUCUAUUGUUCAGCCCGAUAAGGGGAUGUACCUGAAAAUUGAUUUAAUACAAAAAUUUAAUUAGACAGAUGAAAAAAAGAUAUCCUGCUUUCUUUCUUUCUUCCUUUUUUUUUUAAAAAAAAAUUAGUCAAAAGAUCAUUAAAUUAACUUGCUCAUGUAGUAUUAUAUAUAUAUAUAUAUAUAUAUAUAUAUAUAUAUAUAUAUAUAUAUAUAUAUCAAUUAAAUUUCAGAAUAAUCUAUGAGUUUGAGUUUGUUUUCUUUUUCUUUUUUAAUAUCAACCAAAAAUAUAAUUAUUCAUAUCACUCAAUUAACCCGACAUUACUUUCACUAAUAGAUGAUUAAUUUUCCACCAGUCUAUUCAACAAACACUAUUGUCAUCAAUCCAAAAAUUAGUUUAACGUUUCAUCCAUUCAUCAGGUACAAAUCCCAUUAACUAGGAAAAUUAAUUCUUCAUCUUGCCUAUUUGCCAGGGCACUAAUUCCAUUAAAUCAGGAAUUAGUUCAACGAUUUACCCAUUCACUAGGGUACUAAUCCCAUUAACCAAAGACUUAAUUCCUCAUCAUGCCCAUUCACCGGGACAUUAAUCCCAUUAAUUCAGGAAUUAGUUCAACGAUUUGUCUAUUCACCAGGGUUCUAAUCCCAUUAACUAGAGAAUUAAUUCCUUAUCACGCCCAUUCACCAAGGCAUUAAUCCCAUUAGUUCAAGAAUUAAUUCAUCACAUCGCAUAUCUUAUUUUCUAAAGUAAACAAUAUAAUAAUUUCAUAUUUAUCAACCAUAAUUAAUCAAAUAAAAAUACAUAUUGACCAAUAAUAAAUUCAGGUACCGUGUAAUUACCUGAUGACUAAGCUCGAGCUGAAAUUUCCUGCUGUGGUGUCGGCCUGGCAGCCUCUCUUGAAUUGACAAGUAUAUCAUAUCAUUAUUCUACUUUCCAUAUUGAAACACUCAAUAAAUAAAAUCAUUCCAAUUAUCCUUUUAUUUGCCAAAAUAAAAUCAUUUUGUAAAUUUCCUUCCUAUUCUUUCAAUUUCCACAUUGUAACACAAUUCAUUUCAUCAUUCAAAUCAAUAUAUAUAUUCUUUAAAUUUAUUUAUUUAAUUUUUACCGUAAUUUAAAUCAAAGAAAAACAUAAAAAAAUUUCAUGAUCUAUUCACUCUUUAACAUUAAUAUCAUCUCUUUCUUACACAAUCUCAUCAUCUUAUCAAAACUCUUAAAUUUUUAUUUUUCUUAUUAUUAUUUUUCCAAAAAUCCCUUCUUCAAGAACACCUAAAAUUUUGCUUUAAUUACCAUAAUUUCUUACCUUCCCUACUCACUUCAAUAAUCUUAACACAAUUUCACAAUCAAUUGUAAUUUUCUCUAAAAUAUAUCAUGAACCCUAAUUCCUCAUUUCACAAAGUUCAAUCAAUUUAAAGCAUAAAUUCUUCGAGAAUCUUAUUUAAAAGUGUGAGGACAUCUUACCAAGCAAUAACCAAAGCUUUAACACUUUUAAAUUGAGAAAUUUUCCUUGCUUGAAUUUGUUUUUCCUCUCCUGGCCGAAUGCUUAAAAAGCAAGUUUUUUUUUUUGUUUCCUUAUAGCACACUCACUUGCACUCAUAUAUAUAUAUAUAUAACUCUUUUUUUAAAUACCUUCCACAUCCCUCAAUUUUUUCUUUCCCCCUACACAUAUAUAAUUACUUAACUUUUUAAAAAUACCUUUUAUAUUCCUUAAUAGUAAAUUUUAUGAUUUUUGGGUAAAAUUUCUUGAAUCCUAAUGCCUGUUUAUACCAAAUUUUAUCCAGGUUAUUUCAAAUUUCACUCAGUUACUCGUUAGUAUUUUCAGUUUCAUGAAAUUCAUUUCCAUAAAAAUUUUAUUCAUAUUUUCAUGUUUAUUUAUUUAUAUUUAUUUUUUAUAUAUAUUUUAACACCCGAACAAAACAUUUCAAUUCAGAUUCUCGAAUAUAUCAUCAUUCUUAUAAUUUAAUUUAUCACUUUUCCUCAUUUUUCGUAAUCUUGACUUUUAUUAAUAUCAAUAAUAUUACCCGGGGUUUUACAAUCUCAGUUGGCACUGAUUUUUGCCAUAAAAAAUGGUUGAUUUUAAUGAUUUUUUUUAAUAUCUAUAUGUUUUUUUUAUAUUUUAUAUGAAUAAACUUUAUUUUCAUGAUGUGUUUAUAAAAAUAAGAAUUAUUUGUUCUUGGUAAGAAAAAGUGACCUUUAAGAUUAAAAAGAAGGAGAAAAGUGACCUUUAAGAUUAAAAGUAUCUGCUCGAAAAAACCAUUCAACAUAAGAUUGCUCUGCUAGGAAAACAUGAUAUCAGUAUCAAACUUUUGAACAAAGAGUUCAGCAUCAAGUCUCAGUCAUCUUGAGAUUUGAAUGCCCAAACAUAUUCAGAUGCUCAUAAAAUAACAUUUUUAAUAAUGCAUUAUGCAAUAGAAACAGAACAUCAAACAAAGAGUUCAGCAUCUUACGCAUGAAAGUCCACACAUUAAACCAAAAGAAACACAAAUGGCCAAGCAAACAUACGCCCUUACUUCUGGAGGCUUGUACGAUAAUGGGCAAGCAACAUUAUUUUUUUGACUAUUAAGCAUCACCAUCACCAUCACCAUCACCAUCACCAUCUUCCUCUUCCUCUACUUCUUCUUCUGUCCACCCAUUAUCUCGGGUCCACUCUCUAUUAAUGCUUGAAUCUUCAGCUACUUCAGAUACCUGUAAACCAAUCAAGAAAAGAGAAAUUCAUAAAAAAAUUACAAAGAAAAGAGAAAAUUAGCGAAAGCCAUUCAACAUAAGAUUGCUCUGCUAGGGAAACAUGAUAUCAGUAUCAAACUUUUGAACAAAGAGUUCAGCAUCAAGUCUCAGUCAUCUGGAGAUUUGAAUGCCCAAAUAUAUUCACAUGCUCAUACAAUAACAUUUUUAAAAAUGCAUUAUGCAUUAGAAACAGAACAUCAAACUGCAGAGAAAACAUGCUGAUGCAGAAAAUACUCAAGUCGUAGAAAGGAGAAUGCAUGAAAGUCCACACAUUAAACAUUAUGCCUUUCUUUUUGAAGGUUCACACACUUCAAAAGAAACACAAAUGGGCAAGCAAUAUACGCCCUUACUUCUGGAGGCUUGUAAGAUAAUAAUGGGCAAGCAACAUUAUUUUUUUGAGGUUCGCACAGUAAUGACUAAAUACACAACAUUACAUUACUCCUGUGCUGUCAACAAUUCUUCUAACUUCUUCAGCAAACACAUAGAUAGAUAAGUCGAAAUCUUCUAUGGUAAAUAAGACUGUCACAAUGUGAAGCCAAUUUGUAUCCCGUUGCCAAUGGAACAGGAGGAAUUAUUUCCCACCAAUCUAAAACAUAUUCGCAGCACCAACCUUGAAAUCAUGUAAGAGCUAACCACCAUUCAACAUGAGAUUGUUCUGCUAGGAAAACAUGAUAUCAAACUUUUGAACAAAUAGUACACCAUCAAGUCCAAAUAUAUUCACAGCUCAAAGACAUGAGUCUCCAUCUUCUUUCCACCCCAUAUUUCUGGUCCACUCUCUAUUAAUGCUUGAAUCUUCAGCUACUUCAGGUACCUGUAAACCAAUUCAAGCAUGGCAUGCUCAUUUAACUUGUAAAUCUUAUUAUUGAGAGAAACAAGAAACAAACACACUAAAAGAGAGGCAAGAAAUCAAGUCAAAUCAGCAGCACCUCUGAUUGAGCAUUCAUUGAACCAUCUGGUGUAGUAGCAAAUUUUGUGGUCAGCUUUGGACAUUGAUGGACCUUCAACUUCUCCAAACGAGGGAAUAAGAAAUAAUCACACCAUCUGAAACUAAAACAGACAAUACUUGAUAAUUGUUCUAGCGACAACUCCUUUAGAUUAGGAAGCACUAUCUCCUUCUCAACGUUGAUAGGUGAAGCUUGACCAUCCUGCCCAGGAGACUCUGGAAUUAUUUCCCUUUCACCAUCCUCUUCUCUGAUAAUAUGCUUCAAUUGACCGCAUUUACUUAUGUAAAGUCUUUGUAGCUUUGGCAGACUUCGAGCGAGGGACGGUGUGAAGAUAAAUGUCAGUUUGUUGAGAGACUCCAAAUUCAGACGAUUAAGACUUUGGAGGCUGACAUGUCUAGAUGGCCCCUUCCAUAUACANNNN
Molecule: long non-coding RNA, 138723 nt
Filed under: Populus trichocarpa (black cottonwood)
Lineage: Eukaryota; Viridiplantae; Streptophyta; Magnoliopsida; Malpighiales; Salicaceae
Description: long non-coding RNA (PTRI_LNC000457)
Rfam family: MIR2912 microRNA precursor family (bases 52711-52865)
Source: RNAcentral